CAGGUCCAGGAUCAGGAACUGGAAGCAAAGAAUCUCUAAAGUGAUUCUUGCUUGCAGACCUCAGAACGCAGGUCCUCUCUCCAUACUUGAUAAUUCCAGCCACAAACAUCGGAAUGGAUAGAAAUGUGAGUGGAGUUCCUGCCCAUGACCUCAGAAACACGUAGAAAGCCACUCCAACUUGGACAACUAGUCCAAGCAAGUGCCUUAACCACAACUCAUUAUCUUCUAAGGAGUAAGCUGUGAUAGUGUCCGGACCACCAAGGUGCAAGAGAAGGAAUGGCGCCCAAAAUGCCAUGAGGGUAUAGUUUGGAUCCAGAAGUUUCCCUUCCGAAUCUCCUUGGCUGUUUGAGAGGGUACCGAGGGAUACUGUCGCCACCCAGUCUGCGGACAAGUAGGCCGACCAAAUCAGGAUUCUGAACCAAGGUGUGACUCUGUACUUUCGUCGGUUGCUAAAGAUGAUUAGGACGAUUUGUAGGAAAAGGCUGAGUAGAACCAUCAAGCGUAGGUCCCAUUCAUUCCAAAGUUUCCGCACACUUUCUGGGAAUAUCUGCAUUGCUCUCGCGCGUGUUCUCUGUAAAAAGAUCAAACUGAAAACAACUAAACAUUAAAAAAUAUUAGAGCCAAAAAUGAAGAAUAAAAGAAUAAAUUUGUAAAAUAAAACUCUUAAAUUCAUACCAAUCAUUUUCACUUUUAUUCAUUUGCCACUUGUAACUUUCCAACAUUUAUAACUCAACAUUAAAGUUUAGCACUUAAUUUUUAAUCUUCAAUUUUAUUAAACACCUUAUAAAUAGCUUCACUUUUCACUUAAAAUUAGAAAGAUAGGUUGUUUCACCAUUUUUUUCUACUUUUUUUUUAUAAACUAUUUUUAAAUUAAAGAAUAAAAAAAUAAUUUUUAAAAAUUUUAUUAAAAGAAAUAAGGGUGUUUGACAAGUUUUUAAAAAACAAAAAACAAAAACUUGUUUCCAUAAAUUAUUAAAAAAAUGAUUUUUUUUAAUUGAAAUAAUUAAUUAAAAUUGAUAAAAUAAUAUUUUUGAUAUAGAUGUCUUUUACUAUUUCAAGUAUUUAUAUAUAUAUAUAUUGAAAAAAGGUUAUUUCAAUAAGAAAAUAAUAAGGGCGUUUUUAUCAAAAUAAGGCCAAAAAUGGGUAAAGGGUUAGAUUUAAAAAAUUGGGCUUCAAAUGAUCCUUUUAAUCAAAUAACCCUUUUCUAUUUUGAUUUUAUAAAAAACAUUGUAAAUUUUAAUUUAUAUAAUAUUAAUUAAAUUUAAUUCAAGUCUUCUUUAAAAUAAAAUUGGUUUUUUAAUUACAAAUAAAUUAAAAAAUUAAUAGAUUUUAGUAAAACAAGAAAGUAAUAUUAUUAUAAAAUAAUAAAUUAAAUUUUUUUAUAAAAAAAAUACUACGUUAAUAUGUAUUAAAAAAAUAUGGAUAUUAACAUUUUCGUAAAAGAGUCAUUAAUUUCUUUUUUUUUGUUAAAAGUGAAUAAUAAUAAUAUUUAAUGAUAAAUUGUUAAUAAUAUUGUAUUUAAAAUGAAUAUAAAAUAAAGUUUAGCUUUUUUAACAUGUAAAUGAACCAAAAAUUUUCAUUACACGCACACAUUUAGUCAUCAAUUAUAAGCACAAUAUUUUAGAAUGUUUGGAUUUAAUAUAUAACUAAUCAAAUCAAUUUUUUGAAUUUCAAAUUAUUCUCAAAAAUUAAAAGGUUCAUCAAAUAAUUUAAAUUAUAAAUUAUGUGUUACUUAAUUUAGAAUCUAUUUACGUAAUAAGAAAAUUAAAAAAUUAUAGUUGUGUAUAAAAGAAAAAUAGUAAAGUUAUAAUUCAUGAUAUAUCAAUUUUUAUUUCUUAUUUUUUAUAGUAAUUAGAUCUAUUUUUUGAGUUUCAAUUAUAAUAUUUUUAAUACUUAAAAAUUUUUAUUAUUCAAAUAUUAUAAAAGGUAUAAACAUUUCUAAGAAUCACUAGGGUGUACUCAUAGAGUCACAUUAAUAAUUGUAAGGGAGAAGCCCAGAGUGUAGGACUUGGUCACAAGUCGAGGAACACAUGCUAAUUUCGCCUUUGAUUUUCUGAAACUCUGUUAUGGCUGCAAUAUUGAUGGGUUGAUAUCUAACCCAAAUUCAACUGGAAUAAAAAACAAUUGAUCAAAAUCUAACCCAAAUUGACUUCAUGCCCAAAGUAUUAAGCCAAAACUUAACCCAACCUCAUUUCUCUAAACCCGCUUGAGUUCAAGGUAGUCAAGUUUUAUUUCAGGUUAAUCGAGUUAUAUAAUUCAAAAUCCUUCUACAAUGUUUUAUUUUCUUCUUUUUUUAACAAAAUUUCUAUAUAUUUAUAUGAAAAUUUAAAUAAUAAAAUAAGACAAUUUAGAUAUAACAACAAAAAUAUAAAAACAAAUUUGUAUAUAUAUAUAUAUAUAUAUAUUUUAAAUGAAGAUGUAUAUUAUAUAAUAUUAAUUUAACAUUUUUUCACAAAAAUAUAAAAAAAAUGAAUAUUAUUGUACAAGAUAAUAUAUAUUAUAAAUAUUAAGAAACAUUAAAUUGAAUUCAAAUUAGGUUUAUUCAAACCCGAGGAAAAUAUAAUGUUUUUUUGAGUUAUAUAAUUCAAAAUUCAUUUAUAAUAUUUUUUUAAUAAAAUUUUUAUAUAUUUAUAUGAGAAAUUAAAUAGUAAAUAAGAAAAAAAAUUAUAUGUAACAACAAAAAGUAAAAAUAAAUUUAUAUUUAAAAAAAUAAAAAUAUAUAUUAUAUAAUAUUAAUUUGAUAUUUUUUCUUAAAAAUCUAAAAAAAUAAAUAUUACUAUAUAAAAAAAUAUACAUUAUAAAUAUUAUAAAAACAUAAAAUUGGAUUCAAAUUAGGUUUAUGUUGUCCAAACCUUAAUCUUAACCUAGGCACAAACCAAAUUGAACUUGAUUUGAAAACUUUAACUCAAGCUCAAUCCCAAUAAUAAAAAUGAUUAUCUAAACCCGCCAAACAUUAUAUCAAGUUUAGAUUGAGUCGAGCUGACCCGCCCCAAAUUGCACCCUAAGCACUAUCCAAUGAAUAAUGAACUUGUGCAUUCACUUCAAAAGUUCCCUAUCAUCAGUGACAGAACAGUACUAUAUUCACUGAGUAUGGCUUAAGCUUUCUUUUUCUUUUUCCUUUUCCUUUUUCACACCUCACUCGUUAAUUUUCUUGUUUUUCAGAUCCUCCUGUGCCACAUUUUACCUUCUAACCAUUAUUUCUUAACUACGAAAAAACUCACAAGACUAGACAGAAGAUUACACGAAGCAGAUUCUCCAUGGCUUGCUCCAAUCUUUUUCUCCUUAGACUCAACUCAUGUGUCUUUGACCAACUCAAAGAGAUCAAAGAGCAAUAAUAAUUUGUUGAAAAAUUAGUAUCGCAUAAUUUUAUGUUUAAAAAUGAUAUUGUAAUUGUAUAUUUUUUAAUUGAUGGAUAAUUAUGAUAUUUAAAAAAAAAAUUCUAUUAUGGUAUUAUUGUCUUGAUCAUAAUGAAGCAAUAGAGGAUCAUUACCUUGUUCAUGGAAGCUAAUAUACAAAUGUCGGUAUCUUAGGUUUGCAAUAUAACAUCUUUAGAUCUUAGAAAAUAAUGUCUCAAAUCCUUGGGAUUGUAAGCUACAUAAGGGGAUUAGAGUGCUCAAAAGCCUCAGAAUGGUAAGCCUGAUUAUAAUGCCAUGUUAAAUGUUAUAAAAUGAUGAGACUAUGAUUGCUGAGGUGGUGGUUCACUGUGUGAAGUUCGUGAAGGUGGAGUGUAGUGGUGAGAUGGUAUGGUGACCAACCAAAAAAAAAGAGGAAGAAGAUUUGCUGGGAACAAGGAAAGCACCCCAAAUCAGUUUUUCUUUUUCUUUUGACACUUUUUCUUUGUCCUGUUGGAAUAACCCAACCUAGAGUUUGGAUUAGGUCUUGGUGGACAAGAGACUGAUCACUCCAAAUCAAUUUCUCUUUCUUUCUUCUUUUAUCAGUUUUUUGAGCAUCACCCAGAAUUCUUUAUUCACAGGAACAUAUUUACAAGAUUAAACAGAAGAUUAGCACAAAGAAAUACAGAAGAAGAUUGUGGUGAACUGAUGUAGUACAGCAAGAGAGUUGACAGUGGCAGAGUGACUAAAAUAGAAUACUGAUGAAGAGAAUCUAAUUAAAAAUAUCCCAUAAAAUGUAGGAAAUCCAUGCAUGGAUAAAUCAUCUUCAUUUUGAAAAGAUUAUAUUAGAAACUAUUACAUAAAUUCUAUAAAAAUUAGGAAACAAUAAUAAUAAUAAUAAGAACAAGAACAAAAGCAAAAGGUUUGAAAGCCAAAUAAGAAGGGAAAUAUAUAUACCAGAGAGUGAUGGUGGUGGGUUGGUUGGUGGUGCUGCCGGGGAUGUCACGAGACUAAGAUUGAUAUGGAGGUGGUCGCCUGUUUGAACCACAAUGCUUUGCUUCAGUUGUGUGAAGGACGAUGACUGUCCUGUAGGAAUUAUGGUGGCAGUGGUGUGAAGCUCAUGAAGGGGGAGUACUGUAGCAGUGAGAUGAUGGCCUUCUUAUCUUUAAACCAGAGCCUGGGCUCAAACACAGCUCAGAAUAACAUUUUUUUUUUCCUUGGAGAGUUGCCCCUCUGGCCACAUGCUUGGAGGAUUCAGAGCCGGGGGCGGGGGAAGGGGAAGUUGUCCCUCUGGCCACAUGCUGGCUCUGCCAAUGGUUGCAGUAUAAAAAGGAAGAAGACAUAGAGGGGCGAGAGAGAGACGGACGUGGACUGAGAUGGUAGCAACAUUAACACGACCAGUGGAGGUGAUGCCGGAAUUAACGGAGAUGGGGAGAGGGGAUCUGUGAGAGCAGUAGCUCCACAAUGAUGAAAGCAUUAAAAUAAACAAACGAAACCGAAUCUUCCAGCCAAUCCAGGACGUGAUCUGAAGUGGAGUUUAACUUAGGUUCUUCAAUGGCCAUUGUAGUGGAAAAAGAAUGGUGAAGAAGAGAAGUUGUGCGGUACUGUUUGAUCAUUGACCAAAGAGGAAGAUAAGAGAGGGCUUUGACACACAUUCGAUGAAAGCAUUAAAAUAAUGAAAUGGGGAAUGAUGGCUUUUGGAAGAGACGAUGACAGCAUAUUCAAAGCUUGACUUGAGAUGGUGAGGAGCUUUGAAAGUUGGAAACAGUGAUGGGAUUGACCUUGAAUUUCCAAGAGACGGCAAACAGCGAGGAGCUUUGCUCCUUAUCAUACAAUAAAAUCAACUAUCAUCAAUUUUAAUUAAAUUUAUCUAAUUAAAAUUCUGAAGUAUAAUUGACAUUCAUUUAAAUAUCCGCUAGAAGUAAUGAUUUUAAUUUUUUUUUUCAAAAUAAAAGCUAGGAUGUUAUGUUUUCCCCUAAAUUAAAAAAAAUCCAAAAAUUAAAUAAUUAAUCUCAAUAAUAAUUGAAUCACAAAUCCAUAAAUUUAAAGAUGUAGCACAUAAAAAUCACAAAGUAAUUAAUAUAACUUAAUUAAUAUUUUUUUUAACACUUUCUUAGCAAUCAAAUGUAAUUGAAAACCCCUUAACUGUCAAUUGCUUAACCAAUAUAUAAUUAAUUAUUAUAAACUUUUGUUAUCAUAAUAAACAUUGUUGUUUUGAAAUAUUUGGAAAUAUUUUAAAUUAGUUUAUUUAUUUAUUUUAUUUUAUCAAAUGAUUAGUUUUCAAAUAUUUUUAUUUUAACUAUAUAAAAUAAAAAGACACAUAAUCAUUAAUAUUUUAACAAAUGUUUUAAGCAUAUAAAAAUGAAUAUGUUUCACAUUUAAUUUCCAAAUUGUUAAAUGAUUAUUUUUUUAUUUUCUAAAUGGUUAGCUUUCAAGUAAUUUAUUUCAUUUGCAUAAAAUAAGAGGAAAUAUAAUCAUUAAUAUCACUAUGGGAUCUUUUUAGCAUAUUAAAAUAAGCAGAUUUAACAUUUAAUAACAUUCAAAAAUAAAAUAAAAGAACUUUAGUACUUUACAAUAUUUAAAAAUCUAAAGGGUGCAAUCUCUUUCAAUAUUUUUAGAAUCGGACUAGUCAUGAAACUAGAAAUGCUAUCAGAACACGAUUUACUGGUAGGAUCGAUAGUUAAACUGUGGUCAAACCAUGAUGUCAACAAAACAUUAAAAAAUAAACAUAUUUAAUUAAAAAUAAGAUAAUUACAAUAAAUUAAAAAAUAUGUAUAAAUAAUUAAAUUUUUUAAUAAUAUUUCAUUUUUUAUGUUUAAUAAUAUCAAAUUAAUUCAUGAUAAAAAUAAAUAUAAAUGUAUUAAGACAUAAUAUUUAAGUGUGAAAAUAUAUUCAAAAAAGGAAAAAAAAAUUCUAUUAUUUAAUUUUACUUACAUGACAAAAGUUAUAGGCUUAUUAUUUAGUGAUGAAAUGAAGGUUACAUAUUUCCGUUUAUUUAAACAUUUUAACUAAUAAGUAAGAAGACAUAGAGGGAGUUCUUCUUACUGCUAAACCAGACGAUGCUCCUGUCAGACAAAAUCAGCAUAAUGAUGGCAUAAAUCUCUCGAAAAAUAGCUCCUAAGAGUAAUAAGUAAUGUUGAUGUCCAUGUUUGAGAACUCAUGCUUAUCGAUGAAGGAGCAGAAGGCCACUAAGGUAGAAAUAGUGGAGAAGAAGCUGGCGGUGCGGAGAAGAAUUCCUAGGAGAGAAUAAACCACAGUUGCCUUGGUGUAGAGCACAUCAUACAUAAAACUGAUCUCCAUCUCUACCACUUGGAAGGCCUCUUCGGGUGACAGGUGCCUGAUGAUGGACUCACUGUUUUUUCUGUCACUAAAGCUGAGGAUGAGGUCUGCAUAUAGAUGCCGGAAUUGCUUCUUGAAUAAGGAGUAAGCUUCAUCAGUAUAUUUUCCAGCAGGACUAAUAAUGUCGCCCUUAUCUUUGUGAAACACAAUCGCUGUAACUCCUUCCGUGAUUUCAAUAUAUUUUCCAUAUAUAUAUAGAAAAUGAUCAUGCCUAACACAGGCAUGAUACUUUGUUAUUGUUGGGAUGCGUUUGGCAUGUGGGAAUAAAAAUGAAAAUAUGAUGAGAAUGAAGGUGAAUCACAAUAUUAUGUAAAAAAGAGGAAUCAAAAUACCAAUGAGAAUGGGAUUUGGUUUCUAUUCUAAUGAAUUUUUUAUUCUUAUUUCCAUUCUAAAAAAUAAUUCAAAUAAAGUAAAAAAUAAGAAUAAAAUUGAUUUCUCAUUUCUCAUUCUUUGAUUUAGGUUCUAAACCUAAUCUUAGGGUUAUUCUUAUGAGUUUUUCAUCUAUAUACUUCUAGAAUUUUAGGGAAUUCAAGCUAUUUCAAGAGAAAAAGAUAGAAAACCAUUUACUUAAAGGAAAACGAGAGGAAGAUAAACAGUGUGGUGUUUGGAAGUUGUUUUUGAAACCAUUUUUCUGUUUUUAAGAAUAAAGAAAAAGAAAAAGGAAAACAUGUUUGACAAUUAAAAAAUAGAAAAUAGUUUUUUGUUAUUAAAAAUAUAAGACAACGUUUUUUUAGAAGACAUACUUUAGUUGUUUAAUUUAAGUUGUUUUUUCAGGAUUGUUUUAAAAAAUAAUUAUAUAAAUAUAGAGAAUAAUUGAAAAUAAAAAACCUAGAUAAAAGUUAUUUUUGAAAAAUAUAUAAAAAAUGUUUAAAACAUUUUAAGUUUUCAAACAAAUUUUUAUUUUACAAAACAUCAAAGAAAUCAUUUUCAAAAACCAUUUUUUUAGAAUUGUUUUAAAAAAUACACUUCCUAGAUAUGAUGGAGUCAAAGCUUUGUUAAUUUGGUUGCCUUUUUUAUUUGAGAAUAUUUUAGUCUAUUUGUUUUCAAAUUUAUCAUCUUUUCUAAAAUAAGUUUGUAUACAAUGGGUAAAACCUUUUUACUUUCAUAGUAGGAAAAUGUGUGUUUUGGUACAAAAUUAAGAAAAAAAGAAAAUGAAAAAUAAAAACCUCUAAAAGUAAUUCAAAUUUUAGGCAUUCUUACAUCAAAUAUAGUAUCUAAACAAAUUAAAGGUAGUACUCGUAUCAUUAAAUAUAGUAUUUGAAACUACCUUUGACAGCAUACAAUAUAUAUUUUUUUUAAUCAGAUGCUAUGGAUUGAAAUAUCAAAUAAGAACAUGUUGUAGCUUUUUCUCAACAAAUAUACUUUCAUGAGUUGCAUGCUUGCUCUUAUCAACGAAUAGUUAUAGGUCAUGAAGGUACACUAGGCCCAUGAGCUUACUUAUAAGUCUGUGGACCCCGCAUUUCGGCUCAAAUGCGUUUCCCACUCGAAUGGCGAAACUCGAAUUUUUAUUUGAAAAAUUGGUUUUAUUUGAUUAUUUGAAAAUGACUUGGAGUCGCCACUUAUUUUUGUUUUAUUUUUAAAGGGUAAACAAAAUAAGAAAGAAAAUCCCUAAGUGUGACUCCUUAUUUGGAAAAGGUGAUCUACGAAAAACCGGAUCGGGUUCGGGGGUCAGGUUACUUAUCGGGAAGGUACAGUAUGGACUGUAGCACCCUUCUAAGUCCCUAAAGUCGGGUCUCUACUAAUAAAAUGAAACUGGUGUGGCAAUGAUGAGGAAAUCAGUAAAUACUCAAAUCAAUCAUGCACAUAUGAGUAUCAAAACAUGCGUAGAGCAAGAUCAGAAUAAGAACAGAUGCGUACCUGGGCAACGAUCUUCAAUGCGCUAUCAAGAAACAUGGUUAGUGAACAAUGAACAGAUAUAAUUAAGCGCAUAUCAGAGAAUAGAGUAAACCAAUCAUGCAUGGCAAAUAAAUCAAUCGAUCAGUCAAUCAAUCAUGAAGUCAAGUAUGUGGGGCCCCCACCAAAGCCCGAUUUAUUUUUAUAUGAAUUAAUUCCAUAAAUUCCAUUAUUUGGAAUAACAGAAUUAAAUUCAUACUUAUUUUAAAACAUUUUAAAAAAACCAUGGGAGUUAUAAAAUUUGCUUGCCAGAAAAGAAAAUGGCAGCAAAGUUUUAUUUAAAAACGGGAUUUUUGAUACCUAAGACUCUAAGGAUGAAAAACUUGGAUUAUUUAAAGAAAUGGACUUUGAAAGCUAUUUUAAAAAAAAACAAAAGGAAGAAAUGGAAGGUGGCACGUAUUUUAAAUUAUUUUGAAAAUUAGAGAAAAUUCGAAAGUAGCUUGUCGAAAAGAGAAUGGCAGCCAAAUUUUACGAGAAAUGAGAUUUUGGAACCUAAUAAAACUAAAGAUGGAAAACUGUAGAGAUUCGAAAGUAUUUGAAAACCAAAAUUUGGAAGACUGCUUGAAAAUUGGAUUUUUGAGGAGAUCACUUUUGAAAUCUGAGAAGGAAAAGAGCAAUGACAAGUGGACAUCAAUUACAUGCCCACGAUGGCCAUGCAUAAUGAAGCUCUGCACGUAGACUUGAUAUGCUACUGAUACAACCCUGUGAGGUAAGUGAUAACAGCUGCCAUUCCCUUGGGAUUUUAUCUGAGGAGACUUCUGAAAUCCUCCUUGAAUCAUUGGGAAUCCCGACCAAUGGGUUUGCAACAAAUCCGUCACCACUCUGAAGCCGAAACCUUUGAUUCUCCGACUUGAAUGCUCCAGCGUUGUCGUUAUUUCUAGCUAUGUGGCACAUGGCAAUGUCUGAUUGAGUGGCAUACGAAGGAGAAAAUCUCGAUGUUGACCCUUGACCUGUUGUUUUCCUUCAAAACAUGGAGCUCAGAAAAUCAGCACUAGGUGAACAGGCAACACGUGGCUCCCACAGAGUCUGCGCUGGACAUCCUUUUGUUUGACACAGCCGAGUCGAAUGAGAUCACGUCCAAUGCGAGUUCUGAGCCAUGAACACAUGCCUCCAGAGUUUUCAAUCCAUUCUAAGAGUCUCCCGAGAAUUUCGGGUGGAGAUUUAGCAGGCUAGGUUGCUGGUUUUCAAUCUGAGCAAAUUGCUUGCGGACCUGAGACAGACCUUCACAUUCUUUUAUGGUUUCUACGCUAGCCCUCAGUAGCGUUACUCACUCCAACAGUAAUCUCAGAAUUCUCAUCUUGACAUGGAACCACACGAAAUCCAGACCUGAAUGCGCCAGACUUGUUCAUAUUGUCAUCUGAAUUUUUAAUGAAGAGGACUUAUCUCAUUUCUGGCUCUGAGAAUCCAUUUUUCUCGUUCUCCUCUUUUCCUGGAGCUCCAAGUGCAUUGGGAUCGAGAAGCUGUGUGGAGAUUGGCAUCUGAGCAGCCUGACUUGUAGGCUGUAGUAGGACAACAUUUUUAGUUUCAGUGACAAAUGGCUUUGCAUGUUAGCGUCUUUGACAUACCACUAGGCGAUAUUUUGUAGUACACAUUUUCAUGCGACCAUGAAUAUCUGUGGCAGCAGUACAUCUAAUCUCUGAAUAUCCCAAGCUUCCUUUCAAACAGGCGUUGCAGGAGGUAGAUUUGGAGGACACUAGCUCUUCACUAAUGCUACAGAUUCAAACAUAGCUUUGUGGACUGCUCUCUGGCUCAUUCCUCCAUUCACUAUUGCCCGACGGUCAGUCUGAACCUCUAACCAAUGAGGUUCAAACUGGAUGUUGUAAAGAGCUUCCUCCAACUUUGCAAUCUAUCCGUAAUCACUUUAACAAACCCAAAAUGCCCUUUUUCUUUCACAGCAGAAUUGUUCUUGUUGCUUCCAGUGUAAGGAGCAUUGAACAUCAAGCUCAGAUUUGAGUUCCGCUACGUCAGCUAACGCACCAAUGGUGUCAUCUUCCUUAGUUUGAGGGAUUCUACUGCAAGGAGGUGGGACAACUUCUCUGAUGGUCGUGACUCGGGAUCACCACCUUGAGGAUGUCGCCAUGCUGGAUGACUGUAGUAAUAUCUGAGACAUGAUCAUGACUGAUCUGACUGACAUGAGGGAGGCCAUUAAUCCCAUCAAUGUUGACCCGAGAUAUCCAACCCUCAGAUUCCUGAACUUCGUAGCAGCUCAGCUAUUUGGAACCAUGCAUGGCCAUGCAUGCAUACGAUAAGGAAAUGGGAAGGGGGAAUGAGUGAAAAAAGGUAUGAGAAAAUAAGCGAGAGGGAUAUUGGAAGAAAUGAGUUUAAUGGGUAUGGGAAGGUUUAGAGAGAGAAAAUGGGUAUGAGAAUGUAAUGAGAGAGACGGAUAUGUGAAGGUGGUGAUGAAGGAUAAUGAGAUAACAGUGGCUAUAUGUGGGGUCCCUUAUACUUAGGAAAAGGAUGAAAUGAACCGAAGAUGAGUUAUAUGGGGUGAUGGGUAUGGGGCUUGUAUGAAAAGAAUAGGUUCGGGGUAGUGGUCAAGUGAGGAAAGACAGUCAUAGAGGAUGGAGACAAAAUGGGAAUAGGUAGUAGCAUGAUUGGACAUGAUAGAGGCCUAGAAGCGAAUUGAGCCCGGGUGGAAAUGCAUGGUGAUCACGUGCGCAUGGGAAAUGAGGGGCGAGUCAGCUGGGUAUGGAUAUUAUCAAAGAUGGGGAAUGGAUGACCUGAAAAGGUAGAAAGACGAUGAGGUGGAAUGGAAGGGGUGUUUGGGAAGUGGGUAUACGGUGAUAGACGUUAAUGGGUAUGAAGGAGUGGGCAGAGGGCAUGUAAAGCAUUGGAUUAGUACAUGGGUACAGUGGUUAAAAGAGUGGUCAUGCAUCUGCCUGGGAGAGAAUGGGUCCCGGGAUUCUUCAGUGGGGUAGUUCUCAACGCUUUAUCAAGAGCUACACCAAUGAGAGUAGCAAGGUAAGACCAAGGACCCUCAUGCGCCUAUAAUCCAAUUUUUCACUUUCACUGUUGAUGGAGUUCCACUAGCUUUGUUUUAGCAUUCCCAGACUUCUCAGGUCAUUAUCUUUCUCAAAGGUUGAUCCUCUUUGAAUAGCUAUCCCUCCUCGUAUUUUAAUCUUCUAUGAAUUCCUUCCAUAAAACAUGCUUUCUAAUGCAAUUCCAGCGAGCAUAUUUGCUGAGGAGGCAUGCAGUCUGAAAUGAGAAGUGGCACACAUCGGGAAAUCGGUCCCAAGCAUUACAACUUCAGGAGACACCACAGGAAACCAAGACAGAGCCUCAUCCAUAUAACCAUUCCGAAUAUACCCAGAAAUCGUUCCCAUUCAAGAUCACUGUGCAAACCCAAACCACCUGGAGGAGCUUUAUUCAUCCUCAACACUUACGAGCUAUGUAUUGUGAUGGCAUUACCUGGUUCCCUCAGAGAGGGAUGCACAACCUGAUAUACAACAAGGUGGGAUGCCAAGAACAGGGGAAUGGCAAAGCAAAACAGAGCACAAACCAAUGAAACAAAUAAAACAACCAAAACCAUGUUUCAUGUUUAAAUCAACAAGUUUGGUUGUUGGUGAGUGAGCUGGAAUACAUCCUAAGGAGAUAAGAAUAGAACAAAACUCCUAUAUGAGGCAUAACGAAAACUAAAACAGAGCAAUGUCCUUCUCAAAUCAUCACCAGAAAAAUAGGCAAGAUAGCCGCCAAGAAAUCCGAGAACCAAGCAAGAACCGUAAGACAUAACGUAUAGUCAAAUAAGUCAUAGAAAAUCUCAAGAAAAAUGAAUGAAGCUAUAUACUGAUAAAGAAAAUGAAUGAUCCAUGGCGGCCAUACCUCGCUUGUUUUCUCUCUAGUCUCCCUCUUUUCUUCUUCCGAACUCCUUAGUUAACCCCCCCAGAAAACCAGUCUCCUUCUCUCUCAAGCAACUGGCAGCUCCAGAAUCUCUCACAGUCGUCAAUGGAAUCCCCCCCUCCUCCUCCAGAAGGAAAACUCUCUCAACUAAUAUCACUCUCCCACCAGCAAGCUCCCCAGGUUUUCCUCUCUGAAGCUCCUCCUUUUUCUCUCACUCUCCCUGCAGCUGCAUCCUCCCUCUCUACCCCAAAGUCCUCCAACCCAAAAACUCCUGCCCCCCACUCUAAUGGAAAAGCAUCUCCCUCUCUCAUCCGCUCCUCCCUGCAGCUGGCAAAACGGUCUGCAGCUUUUGCAGAUCCCCUCACACCCCGUGUCACAUUCUCAUUGGCUCUUAGAACCACUAUUUUGAUUCCACAACAGCCAAUCUCAGGACAGCAUGUGGACUCCUAGGAUGGUGACAUCUGGCCACAGCUAGCUGCAAGAAAGGAAACGUGAGAAAAAUCACAACUCCCCAAAAUGGGGGGUCUACAAAGUCAUAAUCUAAUUUUUCACCAAAGUUUACAAUAAAAGUAACCCUUUUUCAAAAAAAAAAAAAAAAAUCUCACUUUAUAUUCCUUUUUUUUUUUUUUUUAAAAAAAAGGGUGAUGUGCUAAAGACUAGUUUGAGGAAUAUUCUCAAAUGCAUUAUAGAAUGAGAUUUUUGUUUUCUUUCUUUUUUGAAAAAUGAUUAGUUUUGUGGCAAACUCUAUUCACCUUCCAGUACUUAGAAUUGUUGGAUUUAAGGGUAUGGAAACAAAUGACUAGCCCAAAAGAUACUAACAAAGAAUAGAAUUAAUAAGAAGAAAAACUUACCGGCUAAGGUGUGACAAACACUGUCCUUAAAAUAGAUCUCUCCUCCUCGAAGACGAACUCGGUGCACUAGGGUACAAGUGGUCUACCUCCAGGAUUCAACAUCCAGAUUUCGCCUUGGGUGCACUCUAUAUGUGAGAUGUGUAUAGCUCGGGUUUUGAAAAAAUUCCUCAAAAUAGAUGUAUGAAAAGACUCUCUAAAAAAUUCUUUGAAAAAUUGGUAUUCAUUUUUGGAGAGUGAGAGGUGACAUGCUUUUAUAGGCAACUAACACACUCCCAAUGGGACUCUACUUGUAAUUAGAAAUAUGACUCAAAGUGGAAGAAAAUUCUACUUAUAAAUGGAAUGAGACUCCACUAGCACAAUCCAAAUAGGACUCUUCCUAAAAAUAUAAGACUAAUAGAAUAAAAUAAAAUAAAAUAAAAUAAAAAUUAUUUAUACUCUUCCUAUAAUCCCCCAUAGAGUGUAAACAUGAUUUUUUUUUUUAGAGGAAAAAAGAAUCCAAUGCAUUAGUACUGGUGCCCAAAGGUUAUGAACCAAUCUUAAGAUAAAUAAAUAUUGAAUCACAAAACACGGUGAAAAUAAAUUUCUAUGAACCAGUGUUUCUUGAUGUAACUUAAGGGACUUUUAUCCACAUUGGUUUUCUCAACUACACUACAAGCUGUACAAAUGGGUUGGCACAAAUAGGCUAUGCGCCCUACCUAGAUAUUCAUGAGAGCUCUAGAGAACCUGUCUAAGUUCUUAUAGGAAGCGGCCCCACCUCCACUCUCAUAUAGGUGAAUCUAUCAAGUAUGUUUUGCAUUUAAACAUACCAUCCAUAAGGAAUAUGGUAUUCAUUAAGAGUAAACACUCAACCUUAAUCAAUAUAGAAUAUGCUUUAUUUACACCAUAGGGAUAGACUCUCAUACAAUUAGAGUUGAUAAGGCACCUCAAGUCAACAAGUGAUUUGUUAUUACCCAUAUGAACCUACUUCAUGGAAUUUCCAUUAUGAUAGGUUGGGUUACCAUAACUCUUGACUUCUGUAAUAGGCAUAAGCCUCACCCCCUCGAUGUUUCUUCCAAAAGUUUCUUAUUUAGUGGUUUGGUCAAAGGAUUGGCCAAAUUCAACUUUGACAUCACAAAUUCUAGGGAUAUAACCCCUGUUUCAAGCAGAUUUAGCACAAUAUUGUGCCUUAGGCAUAUAUGCUUGUUCUUCCCAUUAAAUAUUUUACUCUUAACCUUAGCAAUUGCAGCUUGGCUAUCACAACACAUAAACACAGACAUGGUCGGUCUUGUCCAUAAAGGGAUAUCUGCUAAGAGGUUUCUAAGCCACUUAGCCUCAGAACUUGUCUUUUCUAAAGCAAUAAACUCAGCCUCCAUAGCAGACCGAGUAAUGCAAGUUUGUUUGACAGACUUCUAAAAAACUGCACUUCCACCAAGGAUGAAAACAUAUCCACUAGUGGAUUUCAUCUCAUCCGAAUUCGAGAUCCAAUUUGCAUCACUAAAUCUUUCAAGGACACUUGGAAAUCCACUAAAGCACAAACCAUAGUUAAUGGUGCCUCUCAAAUACUUAAGGACUCUACGAACAAUAGUCCUAUGGUCCUGAUUAGGACUUUGAGUGUACCGACUCAAUCUACCUACUGAAAAAGUAAUAUCAGGUCUGAUACAGUUCAUUAAGUACAUUAAACUCCUUAUGAUCUGAGCAUACUCUAUUUGGGCAACACUAUGUUCUCUAUUUUUCUUCAACUAUGAGCUGGGAUCAUAAGGAGUUGACACUAGUUUACAAUCAAAGUGUUCAAACUUCCUUAAGAUCUUUUCAACAUAGUGCUCUUGAGAAAGUUUAAGCUCAUUAGGUGUUCUAGUUAUUUUAAUUCCUAGAAUCACCUCUACCUUUCCUAGGUCUUUCAUGUCAAACUUAGAACCUAGGAAUUUCUUGGUCUCACACACAACCUCUAGGCUAGUUCCAAAGAUCAACAUGUCAUCAACAUAAAGACAGAUGACUACACUUGUGUUAUUCUCAUACUUGCUGUAGAUACACUUAUCAACAUCAUUAAUGGAAUGUCCAUUAGUUACUAACGCAUGAGCAAACUUGUUGUGCCAUUGUUUGGGAGCUUAUUUUAACCCAUAUAGUGAUUUAACCAACUUACACACCUUUUUCUCCUUCUCUGGAACUACACAACCCUCAGGUUGUUCCAUAUAAAUUUCCUAUUCCAAAUCCCCAUUCAAGAAUGCAGUCUUGACUUCCAUUUGGUGUAUCACCAAGUUAUGAAUGGAAGCUAGAGCGAUCAAUACUCUAAUCGAUGUUAUUCUAGUCAUAGGAGCAAAGGUGUCAAAGUAAUCUACAUCCUUAUAGGGCCAAACAAAUAAACAAACACCCUACACUUUCAAGUAUGUUAUAUUAGGUGCAUAACGCUUCCACAACUCAUAAGGAGUUUUAUAGUUUUCUUGUAAGGUAUUCUAUUUUGAAUAUGAAUGUAGAUACCCACAAGUUCAAGGGUGCUCUUGAACUUACCAACAUUGCAUUCAUCAUUUCUUUUAAGGUUCUAUUUUUCCUUUCUACUACUCCAUUAGACUUAGGGGAAUAAGGAGGAGUAGUUUAUUGAAUGAUCCCAUGAUCUUCACAAAAAGAAUUAAAGGGGUUGGACUCAUACUCUCCUCCCCUAUCAGUUCAAAGCCUUUUAAUUUUCUUACUUACUUGAUUUUCCACUUCAUUUUUGUACUUGAUGAAAACAUCUCUUGUUUCAUCUUUGUUUCUCAAAAGAUAUACCCUUGUAUACCUUGAACAGUCAUCUAUGAAAGUUAUGUAGAAUCGUUUAUCACCUCUAGUCAUUGUAUUUUUUUAGGUCUCCUAAGUCACUAUGUAUUAAACUUAGUAGAUUUGAUUCUCUUUCAAUUGAUUUGCAAGAUUUCUUUGUGGUUUUAGAUUCUACACAAGAUUCACAUUUUCCAUGAUUUUCUAAUGAUAGUUUAGGGAAUAAACUCAAUUCAACCAUUUUCUUCAUAUAUGAAAAGUUCACAUGUCCUAGUCUACCAUGCCAAAUAUCACAAGAAUCAACUAUGUAAGCAGAAGAAGAAGAUGCAUAAUUAUUGAUAAUAUCAGAACAUUCAACAUAAAUAAACCUUGAUUACAAUAGCCCUUUCCCACAAAUGCAUCAUUCUUGGUCAAAACUAUUUUAUCAGACUCAAACAAGAUCAUCACUCCUACUUUUCCAAGUAGAGAUACUGACACCAAGUUCCAGCGGAUAUCUGGCAUAUGAAGAACAUCACUGAGGGCAAACACUUUUCCAGAGGUUAGCUUGAGGAGAACUUUUCAUUUGCCAAUUACUGGAGUAGAUCUAGAAUCACCCAUGAACACUUGUUCUUCGAUCUCUUUCCUUUACAAUGGUAUAGGAAGUAAAUGCAUUUCUGUUCCAUAGAUGUGCUUGGUAGCCUAGAGUUCACCACCCAGUCCUUCAUAUUGGUGACUACGCUCACCUCAAAGGAGAUUAAUAUUGUGAUCACCUCUGUCUCUGCCAGAUUUGCCUUUGAAUUGGACUUCUCAGUUUUUUUCUUGUGGCGACAUUGAGCUGUAUGGUGUCAAGACUUGCCACAGACAAAACAAUUACCCCAUUUUUUAAUAGUUGAGUUCUAAACCUUGUUUGAUGCAUUAGGCUCGGUCCUAGAGUUUUGUUUCCUGGACCUAUUGUUUUUAGGUUUAAGUUUUUCUUCUACUACAUUAACCUUAUAAGACAAUUCCUUAGCUUUCUCAACAUUGUCCCUAUUUCAAUUUUAUUCCUUAAUCCUAAUAUGGAUUAUGACAUUCUUUAGGGAGAUCUAUUUCCUUUUAUGUUUCAUGUUAUUUUUGUAGUCUUUCCAAGACUCUAGAAGAGUCUCUACUAAAUAACCAGCCACAAAAGUUUAGGAUAAUUUUAUGUCUUCAAUAGCUAAGUCAUUAAUCAACAAGUGAUAGUCAUGGAUUUAAGGUGAUCCAUCUCUAUCCUCGGUCAUUUGGAAAUUUCUAAAAUUCUCUAUGAUAUAUUUCUAAGUUCUCGCAUCUUCCAAAAUAUAUUUUUUAUUCAUUGCAUCCCAAAUUUCUUUUGUAACUUUAAAUUGACAAUAAAUAUAAAAAAGUUCAUUAGAAAAGGUAUUCAGAAUAGCAUGCCUAACUUGUUUAUUUCUAGUUUCCCAGGUUGGUAACAAAUGAGAACCAUCUUCUGGUUUUGGGUUAGUUAAAAUAUGUCCCAAGUUCACUAUGUCAAUUGCAUAGAAAACCCUUUCCUGCCAUCUCUUAAAGAAUGUCCCGUUGAGGGGAUCAAUUUUAGAUGUGUCAAGACGGGUGUCAACUAGAGAAGCUUCCAUUUGGAUUUAUUUCAAGAUUGUUGAAUUUAAGGGUAUGGAAACAAAUGACUAGCCCAAAAGACACAAACAAAGAACAGAAUUAGUAAGAAGAAAAACUUUUCUGUUGAAGCAUGACAAACACUGUCCUUGAAAGAGAUCCACCUUUCUCAAAGACGAACUCAGUGCACUACGGUACCAGUGGUUUACCUUUAGGAUUCAACAAUCAGAUCUCGCCUUGGGUGCACUCUGUAAGCGAGAUGUGUAUGGCUCGGGUUUUGAAACAAUUCCUCUAGAUAGAUGUAUGAAAAGACUCUUUGAAAAAUUGGUAUUGUUUUUAGAGAGUGAGAGGUGACCUGCUUUUAUAGGCCACUAACACAGUCCCAAUGAGACUCUACUUGUAAUUAGAAAUAUGACUCAAAGUGAAAGGGGAUUUUACUUAUAAAUGGAAUGGGACUUCAUUAACACAAUCCCAAUAGGACUCUUCCCAAAAAUAUAAGACUAAUAGAAUAAAAUAAAAUAAAAUAAAAAAUUAUUUACACUAUUCCUACAAGAAUUGCUCACUAAAAUUGAGGUUUGCCACAAGAAGGCAGACAUGUACAUGCGUGAGCAACUCUCGGCCUCGUCUAAGCUACUAACCAUUUUGAAUCCAUCCACAAUGACUAGUAGCAUAGCACAACAUCUCCACCCACACCGGAUUUAACAUCUCCCAUCGAUCAACAAUGGACUAUCACAAAAAUACUGAAAUCAACACUUUUAACACCUACAGAUCAACACCCAACAAUGCCACGUUUUUGCUCUAUUGCAGAUGGAAAUGGAAACAAGAAUAUUGAAUCAACUACAAUUUAUAUGAUGGUGCCUGUUUGCUAUGGAACCAAAAUAGAAUAUAAAAAAAUAGAGGAAAGAGAAUUCUAGGUCCGUAAAUGGCUCAACCUAAAAACAACUAACCCUUGCACAAGUAUUGGUUUAUUCAUUUACAUUCGGAGUCUAAAAACACACUAAGAUUCCUUUUUAAGUCAAAUUCGUAUGCAUUGCAUUUAGGAUAAUAACAUAAACCCUCAGCAUAUGAAUAUUUGGAAUAUUAAGGGUAGCCAAGGAUUGGCUUUACUUUUUCACUAUCUAAUAUUUGGAAUUGCUCACUUAAACUAAGAUGUGGCAUGAGAAGGCAGACAGAGAAAAAAUGGGGCAUUAAAUUUCCAAUUCAGUGAUUAGGCCUACAACAAUGUAUGAGGAAACAUAAGGCCUAAUGAAGAAUGGGCUGUAGAAUUGGGCCUCUAUAGUAUGUUCAUAUUGUCAGCAUUUCUCUACUCAUCUUAGAUCUCAUCCCACAUCGAAAAUACAUGUAAGAAAUAAGGUGUUUAAAUCACAUACGUCCAGAUACCAACUUACAUGUCUUGUCGCCCCUUAAUCAGAAUUAAAAAAGAAACGACCGGAAUUGUCCCAACCCGUCGUCAUUUGGAAUUGCUCAGUGAGACUACGAGCGAAGCCUUUUUCACCUUCUGCUAUUGGAAUUGCUCAUUGAAACUGAGGUAUGCCAUGAGUAGGCUCACAUGAGUGAGCAACUCCCCGUCUCGCCUAAGUUACUGACCGUGUUGAAUCCACCCACAAUGAGUGGCAGCAUGACACAACAUCUCCACCCACACAUCACUUACCAUCUCUCAUUUCUCUCCAGCCUUCAUUUCUAGAGAUUCCAACAUUUUGGCAAGCCUACAUGCCUCGAAUAACAUUGACUUGCUUUUAUUUCAUUUCACUUCUCCGGGCUCAUGUUUCGUGUUAACUUGAAGCAACAAUUUGCAAGCUUCAUUUUUGCUAGAUAUAAACUCACUUUUUUGUUGAAAAAAUCUUUUGGCCUCUGCACAGGUGUCUCAGAACCUAAACUCCCCUGUUCCUUUAGGUAGCAUAAAUGGACACAUGACUAGCAGAUACAACAUAUACUCCGAUAAGCAUUUGCUUAUUUUGCAUCUUGCUUUAGGAUUGGGGUCCUCAUCAGAAUAGCUAUAGAGAUCUAUUGCGAUAUGCCAAAAGAGGAUUGUGUGAUCAAAUUCUACAUCAACUACACUCCAACCAAGUGUCUCAAUAAACUCCCAAUUCGUAAUCACAUAAUCACCUCUGUGUUUGAGUAGUGACCUGAGAUCCUUGGCAUCAUUUGUCAUAUGUAGGAGCAAGUUGAAGAAGGGUUUCUUCAUGUCAUCCACCUUCUCCCACUUCAUGUACCAGUACCUCUCUAAGAAUUUGUUCAUGUCAAAGAACCUGGGAACUUGAUUGAACUUAGUGUUGUCUCUGAGGCAAUAAUCAAUUAAGUUGUUCUAUGCCAUGCGUCCAGACCAUUUCUUGUCACUGGUUAAAACUGAUCAAAAAUGGGUAAUGACCCGACAAAUGGAAUUAGUGAGAGAGUUCUUCUUACUGCUCAACCAGACAAUGCUCCAGUCAGACAAAAUCAGCAUAAUGAUAGCAUAAAUCUCUAGAAAAAUAGCUCAUAAGAGUAAUAAGUAAUGUUGAUGCCAAUGUUUGAGAACUCAUGCUUAUCGAUGAAGAAGCAAAAGAUCACUAAGGUAGAAAUAGUGGAAAAGAAGCUGGCAGUGUGGAGAAGAAUGCCUAGGAGAGAAUAAACCACAGUUUUCUUGGUGUAGAGCACAUCAUACAUAAAACUGAUCUCCAUCUCUACCACUUAGAAGGCCUCUUCGAGUGACAGGUACCUGAUGAUGGGCUCAUUGUUUUUUAUGUCAUUAAAGCUGAGAAUGAGGUUUGCAUAUAGAUGUCGGAAUUGCUUCUUGAAUAAGGAGUAAGCUUCAUCAAUAUAUUUUCCAUCAGGACUAGUAAUGUUGCCCUUAUCUUUGUGAAACACAAUCGCUGUAUCUCCUCUCAUGAUUUCAACGUAAUCUAGUCAAGGAUCGAGAGAUGGAAACAAAGACUCUCUCAAGUGAUUGUUGCUUGCAGACAUGAGAACCCAAGUCCUCUCUCCAUACUUGAUAAUUCCAGCAACAAACAUUGGAAUGGACAAAAACGUGAGUGAAGUUCCUGCCCAUGACCUCAGAAACACAUAAAAAGCCACUCCAACUUGAGCAACUAGUCCAAGCAAGUGCCUUAACCACAACUCAUUGUCUUUCAAGGAGUAAGCAGUGAUGGUAUUCGGGUUACCAAGGUGUAGGAGAAUAAAUGGUGCCCAAAAUUCCAUGAGGGUGUAGUUCGGAUCCAUAAUUUUAUCAUCCGAAUCUUCUUGACUACUGGAGAGGGUGCCCAGGGAUACCGUUGCCACCCAAUCUGCUGACAGGUAUGCCGCCCAAAUCAGGAUUCUGAUCCAGGGUGUGUUUGUAUACUUUCGUCGCUUGCUGAAGAGGAUGCGGACAAUCUGCAGGGAGACGCUGAGUAGAACCAUCACGCGGAGCUCCCACUCAUUCCAAAGUUUCCGCACACUUUCUAGCAAAACCUGGAUUAGUGAUCUCUUCUCCACAAAAAUCAUACUGCGAGCAACUGAACAUUCAAAAAGUAUUAGAGCCAAAAGAACAAGAGACAGAUUGGUGGGAAAACAAUAUGAACUUACAUGUAAUUAGCAUUGUUGGCUGGUUGUGCACACUAAGAACUUGAGUGAAGCUCAACUACAACGGAUUAGCUUGGUUUUUGCUCUCCUGGAACUAAUUCUUCAUUUCAUUCCAAUCCUAGUGCCUCACUAUUGUAACUCCUUGUGCCCAGCUAUAAAGGAAGUGGAGAGAAUGAGAAAUCUACUCAGGGAAUGUGAUUCGUCUCCAGCAACGGCACCAUUUGAUUCUUGUGCCAGACGGGUGUUAUCAAGAAAAUUUAUAAAACCUAAAUCACUUUACACUAGGGUAGCAUGGCUACUAUCGUAUAGUGGCUCUAGGGUCGUCCAUAGGGAUGGGUUUUCUUCGUACAAGUGACUUUAGUGAAGGUAAUGAAGUGGUGUUUUUCCUUAUGAAAAUUAGCUUUUAAAGAAAAUGAAAUUGUGGUUGAAAAUUUUGAUUUUAAGUUAAGCAAAAAUAACAAUUGAAGUUAACUACAAAAAGAAUGUCUCUUGGAACUUUAGGUCACUAGGAUCGGGUUCCUUAGGCAAAGGGGGAGAUUCCAGAUCUUCUGCUCGCAUUGGGGACAAUAACAUAAAGGAUGGUUAUCUCCCAAACCGGUUUUGUAUUUAGCAAUUAAGAUUUGAUCCAAAGGGUUCAUGAAAAAUGGUAGUUGCUUUCCAUUAAUGGCUUCAAACACUAAAGACCUUCACCUUGAACCACUUUCCAAUGGCUCGUACUUGAUAACUAAUGAAAAUCCAUGGAUCUAGCAAUAAACAUCCAUAGAACCCAUAAAGCUUACCAAGUAUUGGCCAUUCAAGGUGAUUCUCACCUUGAACCGCCUUCCAAUGGCUCGUACUUGAUAACUAAUGGACAUCCAUGGAUCUAGCAAUAAGCAUCCAUAGAAUUCGGAAAGCUUACUAAGUAUUGGCCAUUCAAGGUGAUUAUAAGGGAUUUAAAGCUAAACCUUGAAAUAAAAACCAUUAAUGGUUAACAACUACCUUCAUUUAAAGCAAGGAAAACUCCCACCUUUGCAUCCGGGUCCUUCACCUAGCUUCCAUCACUCCAAGAAAUGUAAAACUUAGCCACUCAUCCCCUGAGAAAUCAUCCUUAGAGGUUCUUUGGCUAGAAAGAAAAAUGAAAACAAAAUGAGAAGGAAAGGUAGAGCAAGGGCUCUAUAUAUUUCUUCCUAUGGGAAUUACAAGUGUCGUAUAUUCGUCCCAUUUUCAAAAGAUUAUAGAAAAAGAUCUUAUUUAGAGAGGUCUUUCCAACCCCCCUUUAUAGUUCCUAACCAAGAAAUCCUAUCAUUGGUUGAUUACAAGGAGAAAAUAGUAAUUUACACAAAUAUCUGGAAAUAAAAAUCUAACGGAGUCGGUGCACAAGAAGAUUUUUUCAACCAUGCGAAAUUUCGCAUGGUGUGCGAAAUUUCGCAUGGUGUGUGAAAUUGUCUUUCACUCAGUCCUACAACUGCUCCUCUUCUUGAUUUUGCAUGCUAUGCGAAAUUGCUACAUGUUGGAUUUCUUCCUUGCAUCUCUGAUUGGCUUGGCAACCUAUUUCCAAGCUUGGCAAAGGGCUAUGAAGUGCUCCAAAACUCAGAUUCUUCAUGUAUUUGAGCUUCAACUUGCAUUGCCAUGGAUUGUACAAAAUUUUUCCUCAUUCUUUUUGCUUGUUUCAAUGAUAAAAAAGCUACCAAAACACCAAAACUAGCCAAAAACUUAUUAGUAACCCUUGCUAGGUUCCUUAAUGUGCCAAUUGAGUUAAAAAGUAUUAACUACUACUCAAAAGUGUUUAAAACAAUUAAUUUCAAGCUAUAAAAGAGCACUUUUUGAGUAGUAAUCACUCCCCCCAACCGACACAUUACAAGUCCCUUAGCAAUGAAGGAGAGAUAAAGAAAAAUGUACAGUAAAAUAAUUUACAAAAUCAUGCUAAUCACUCCAAAAAAUUUUCAAGUGGCAUGAUGCGGAUCAUACUCUCUCAUGAAACAUCAAAGAGGCAAAACCCAACCUUCAACAAGAGUCAUCAAAUAUCUUGCUUAAUCACAAUUUAUAAAGAGUAGACAUUAUACAAAUUUAAACAUCAAAAGAAUUUCCACUCCCAAAGGUCCAAUCCUUACUCUUCCACAAAAAUCUAAGUGUUAAGCUUAUUAGUUUCCGAUUAUAGUAUGUCGAACUAUUUUCUCCCCCCAACCUAGUUCUUUCUCAAACCUUAGCAAACUGACCAACCUCCAAUGGCUAAGAACGCACCUAUUUUAUUUCACAAUUUUUUUUCAUUGUAGGAGUGCAAUGCUAAAGGUAUUGUUUUCUAAAGUGUCCAUGUAACAGGGAUCCAUCAAUGACUCCCAACCAAUCAAGGUUUAGGGCAUCAAGCUUUAAGGCUCUUUCAACCACUAACUCCUUAGAUUUCAUCCUGGAUUUUUGAGAUUGAAAUUCAAUACUCAAGCACCUACAAUAUGUUAAACUCCACCUAUUGACCCUUGUAACGAGCAUUGAGGUCGGUGACUCCCAACCAAUAAAGGCUUAGGGCCGAGUUUUAAAGACUUUCGCCAUAUACCCCUCGAACCUUGCUCGGGUUUCAAGGCAAGUGAAACACUUUUUUUUUUUUUUUUUGAAGGAUCAUUGGCCUUUUAUAAGGUGUCCAACACUAUUAAAACGAGGUCAAAGGUACCAAGUCGAAAUUUUCCUAAGUUCAGGGGAUGAUAUAGUUUUUCAUCUUAUAACAGGAACCUAAUGUGCACAGUGUGUGGUAAGAUUAAAGUGGAAGAAAUAAGGUUGAAUUUAAUAGGAGUUUCAACAAUUCAUCAACCUCAAUAAGCAUAAUACAAACUCUAAGAUUCAAAUAAAAAGACAAGAACUCAAUUUCUCCCAUUUCAUUUUGAGAAUUUUUUUCUUAAUAACCAUGGAGAGUAGAGUAAAAACUUUUAAAAUUAAGCAAAAAGUAACUAAAUUAACAAAUUAACCUAGCAUUAUUAACAAUACUUCCUUCCUCAACUCUCUCCCCAACCAAGAUCAACAUUGCCCUCAAUGUGUCAAGAGCAAUUGAAAAUAAAGGGAGGAAGUGGUACCUCCUGAGUGAAAUGGAGUCUGAGUCGUAUAGGAGAAACCACAUGAGUCAAAAAAAAAAAAGUAAUGAGUAUAGGAAAUAGAAAAAUGCCAAGUUGUAGACCCUCUAUUUUGUCCUACUAGCACAUGUUCUAUUAUGUGUCCAUUUGAUACUUUACGAUAAUUCUCUUAUGACCCAUUGGACACCAUCUGAGGCCUACUUUUGCACUCUAGGCCCAUUUAGAUGCACUUGGCCCAUUAGGUACACUCCUAGGUCAAUUGACGCAUUUCUAAUCACCUUACAUCACUUAGGUCACUUAGACACUUUUUGGCCUAGGUCACUUAGAUGCUUUUUUGGGUUUAAUUCCCUAAGAUUAAUUUUUUGAUUGCUUGAUUUUUUUAAUUAGGUGAGUAUUUGGCUUGAUUUUGAUUUAGAUUGCUUGAGAUGAAUUUUCGAUAUUUAAUUGUGUCAAUUUGAUAUUUUGGUUGUUUGUUUCUUUUUCUUUAUUUAUUUUUUUUAUUUUUAUUUUUUUAAAUUUAAUUUCUUAUUGUAUUUUAGUUUAAUAUUUAGAUUAUUAAUUAUAUGCAUUUGGUAUUUAUUUAUUUUUCUUAUUUUAUUUCUUUAUUUAUCUAUUUAAUUUAUUUUCAGAGAAUUGCAUGUGAUUGGUGAUCUUAUUAUUAUUAUUAUUUAUUUAUUAUUAUUAUCAUUAUUGCAUGAAUUAAUCCUUAGGUUUUUUCUCGUAUAUGCAUGUAUUCAUAUUUUCUAUUUUGUUUCUAAUUAGCAUGAUUUUUAUUAUUAUUAUUAUUAUUAUUAUUAUUAUAAGGUUUUUUUUUAUAUAUAUAGUUACUUAUUUAUUUAUUUUGCAUGGGAGUUUGGUAACUCCCAAAAGAUGCAAGACGAGGGCUGCCACUUUUCAGAAAAAAAAAAAAAAAAAAGGAACAAAAGGGGAUUGGUGAUGUAAAAGGGGUUUUAUAGGGAAGAGAUAGUUAAGUUGAUCUGGAGAAGAGGAUAGUUUUUUUGGAAAGGGUGUUUACAGAGUGGGGAAUAGAGUUUUUUUAAAGAAGUUGAGGAUUUUGAGAAGGAAAGGGAAGAGUCUGGAGAGGGAGAGGUUUUUAAGAACGAUGUGAGGAGUCUGAUAAAAAGGAGAAUGAGGGGUUUUUUUUUUCUGAAAGGCAGGAAGAGGAGGUUUUUCUUAAAGUCCGCAGGAAAAAAAGAGUCUGGGGUAGAGGUUUGGAGAGGAGAAAAAAAAAAAAAAAACGAAGGGGUUUUCUAAAAUGGAGGUGGAGAAAUUCUGGUAAAGAGGGCUGGUCAUUUUAUCAACUGUAGGAGGGAAGCAUAUUCAGGUAUGAUCAUGACAGAUUCAUUGUUAUUCUUCAAUAUCAUGGAGUUCUUCCUUUUCUCUUGCCAUCUAUGGGUAUCAUUGCUAUGGUCUGAAUGUGGAUAUCUUGCACGUUUGAUUUCUGUUGAUCUUUGAGAUGACAUGGUUUUCUUGCUAUUGUCCUAUCUGCUAUUCUUUUUUUUUUUUAUGAUAGAAAGCAACCUGAUUUUGUUUCAUCCUACUGUGAAAUAUCUGAGAACCAUGUCUUUGAUUCUUAUCUGAACCUAUGAUAUCUCUCACUUGCUUUGGAAGCCCAUUGACAACCCAUGGAAUGGGGCUGCAUUUAAUGGAAUCUUUUGGCCCGUUUAUUUUUACUUUGUUGUUGUUGCUAUCCCCUUAUGCAACUUCUCUACUUCUAAACCCAUUUUUGGGCCCGUGAGGCUGGAACUCCCGUCACUCUGAUACUUGAAAAUUGAUUUAGGUGGCUGAGACCACCCUCUUCGUUGCCAUCUUCACUUGGGUCUAUCAAUGGUUUUAUUCAAUCUUCACCAUUCUGUGUAGUUGCAAUUGAAAUAUCUUUCACCAUGAAAUAAUGGCCAUGUUCGCUGAAUAUUCUGGAAAUUCAAGUGGAUAGUUGCUGAAAUUGUAAUCAAACCACACUGAAAUUCAAUGAAAUUGGAACACAUUGAUAUAUGAAUGUAUUGAUUUAAUGUGGCUGGUUGUGAUCAUGAUAACAAUCUGUGUAUUUUUUUAUUUUAAUGUUUAAAGUGGAUGGAAAUUUAGUAUAGUGGCAUAGGUAAAUAUAAGUGACUGAAAAAUUCAAAGGUGUGCAUGUGAAGAUCCCAUGGUUGUUGAAGUAAUAUUCUUGACCGAAUUAAAGAGGUUGCGUGGCUGAAAGUUGGUGUUGUUGAUGAAGAAUUCAAUGGCCAAAAAUUUAUGGUGAAAAUGUAAUGAAGGAAAGACGAAUCCCGGUGACUGCAGGUACAUGAAUUUGGAGUCUGGUUCUGUUAUAAAUAAUAGGAAAUUCUGAUGGUCAGGCAACGCUAUGUUUGUGGCUGCAUAUGCGUAAGCUCACGGCUAAAAUUCAGGUGGAGGUACACUAAGGUUUUACAUAAUGUAAUCUGCUCAAAUUUCAAGGAUUGAAUAUGGAGAUUUUAAGGAUGAAAUUCAUGCCGCAUUGGUGAGUUUUAAUGGAGGAAGUGGCAGCAUGUGUGAAUUUUGUGGUCUAAAAUCAAUGGAGUAAGGUUUUGGUGGAUAGAUAAGGACAUAAGGUUGCAUAGGUGUGCUGAAUCUCCGGGCUGAACUUGUGGAUGUGGAUAGAAACUUUCUCAUGGCUGAAAAUUCAUAGUGAAAUGUGCUGAAAAUUUGGUGAAGGACCAUUUAUAAACGAGCUGGAAGUUAUGGCUGAAAGUUUGCUUUAAUUCAAAAUGGAAAUAUACUUGAGUUUUAAUAAAUUUGAGGUUUGCAUAGAAGAAAGUUGAUAGCUGAAAUUCUAUUGAAAUUAUCCAUGAUUUAGGUAUGGCCUUAAUGAAGAGUGAGGCUGAUUUUUUAAUGGUUGAAUAUGCAGCCACUAACGAAGCUUUGUGCAAGCCGACCAUGACAAAGUUAAUGACUAUUUGUAUGAGUGGCUGAAAUUUGAUUGCGUAUGUGAUUGUGGCUAGCGACCAUGUGUGUUAGUAUUUUAGAUUUUAGAUAUCAAAUAAGUUAGUGCGAUCAAUAUGUGAUGAUUUCUUCAAAAUGUACGUAGAUAAAUAUAAUGGUUGAUUUUUUUUAAGGUAAAAUUUGUGUAGAAGGUUAAUUAAAAUUAGAUUUUUUAACACUUAGGUUUUAGCUUUUUUUUUUUAAUGUUAAUAGGAAAGUUAGUAUUUUUUUUUAAAAUAUUAUUUUUAAUGUAAAUAAACGUUGGAGAUUUAAAAAUUUUAGUUUUCAAUAGUAAUGAAAGAAUUGAAUUUUGCUUAUUUUUAGUUUUAGAUAUUAUUUUAAUAUAGAUAAAAGUUAGAGCAAUUAAAAUUUUAGUUUUAGUUAAAUUUCUUAUGAGAAUGAAAAGUUGGAGUCUUUAAAUCUUUAGUUUAAUUGGGUGAUUAAAGCUAAAGUUAUUUUUACUAGAUUAAUUAGUCAUAUGGUAAAAUGCCUUUUCUAAAUUAGUUUUAAUUUAAUUUAUUUCAUUUAGUUGAUUAGAGUAUUUUAGGUUUUUUUAAAGUUCAUUAAGUUUUUUUUAGCUGUAUGGUAAAAAAAAAAAUGUUUUUUUCUAGUUCACUAUUUCACUAGGUCAUUGUUAAUAAUUCUCAGCGUUAAACAUUUUAUUAUGGUCAUGCAUGGCCACCUUUGGCAUGCGAGUCCCACCAACUACGUACCAUCCUUCUCUUUUAUUUAUUUAUUUAAUUUUUUUUUUUAUUCUCGCGUGUCAAAAUAUAAUUUUCAAAACUCCUAUCUUCACGUUUCGACUUUCAAAAAUAAUUUUCCAAAAUUCCAAUUUUCCAAAAAUUUCUAUUUUCAAAAUAAUCUUCCAAAAUUUCAUUUUUUAAGUUUAAUUUUUUAAAAUUCCAUUCUCAAAGUCCCCAUUUUCCAAAUUCCCAAUUUUCCAAAAUUCCAUUUAUCAAAAUAAUCCUUCCAAAUUUUCAAUUUUUUUUAAAAUUUAAUUUUUCAAAAUUCCAUUCUCGAAAUUCCCAUUUUCCAAAAUUCAAAAUUUAUUUAUUUAUUCAUUUUUAUUUUAUUUUAUUUUAAAUUAUUUUUUAUUUAUUUGUUUUGAAAAUACCAUUCUCAAAGAGAUUUCCAAACUUUUUUUAAAUUCCACUUCCGAAAUUUCAAAUCUAAUUUUCAAAAUUCCUCUUUUCAAAUUUUUUUUAUAUAAAAGUGAAUAAGUUUUCAUAAUUCUAAAAUGAUGGAAUUUAUGAGAAUUAAUUCAUAGCGAAAAUUAAUUGGGCUUUGGUGGGGGCCCGACAUUCAUAACAUUUUUUUCGAAAAUAAUUCAAGUAAGUUAUGCUCUCCAUUUUGUUUGAUUUUGAUUUGGUUUUGUUUGAGAUUUUUUACACUUGUCAUUGUACACUAACCUUAUUUUCAUGACAGCGCUUUAUUACCUAUUACUAAGGUACACUCUCACUCUCACUUCGUUUAUCAUUUCGUCAUCAUGACUUAUUUUUGAACUAUGAUCAUUUUGGUAUCCAUUGAUCUUCUAGUUAAUUGCCAUGUCUGGUUCACCUUAUUUAGUAGAGACCCAUUUUUUAGGGGCUUAAAGGGGUGCUAUGGUCUUUACCGUACCUUCCCAAUAAGUAACCUGAUCCCCGAACCCAGACUCAGGUUUUUCGCAGACAGCUUUUCCAAAAACAAAAUCAGGAGUCCAUUUAGGGGUUUUGUUCUUACUUGUUUUCCCCUUUAAAAAUAAAUAAAAGUAAGUGGCGACUCCAAGUCUUUUCUAAGAAACAUAUUUUUCACCAAAUAAAUGAAAAGCGAGUCUCGCCGAUCGAGUGGGAACGCAUCAUUAAAAAUACGGGGUCCACACAAGUAUAAUAAAAAAUGAUGUCUAUAUAUUAAUAUGAGAAAGUACAAUAUGAGAUAUCAUCAAGUAAUACAUCCAAUCCCAUAAUAUAAAGCAUCAAAACAAGGAACAAUCUCCACUAAUAUAAUAUGUAAAUACAAUAAGAUAAAGAAAUGUCCUAUGAUCAAGUAGUGGGAGCCUCAGGUGGAGAUGAUGCAUCCUCAGGUAUAGUUGUGACUGUGUCAAUUGUCUGAGGCUUAUCCUGAGGAUCAACUGAAGCAAUGGCAUCUGUGGUGGCCUCCUGAGGUGGCGGGAUCUGGACCUCUACUGUGGUAGUGUCCUCAGCUGGAAUAGUAUCCUUAGCUGUAGCUAAAGGCUUUGAUGAUGUAGGAAGGUUAGGCUGAGGUGGAAGUAGAAGACCCAGGUGCUGCUGGAUCUAGCGAAGUAUAGCAGUCUGCUGGUUCUGCUGGGAACGCAUCUUAGCCAUCUGUUGGAAGAGAGCGGUGUGUGUGGUGGAUAGUGUCUGCAAGGUAGGUACAAGGCCGCGAAACUUCAAAGCAGAGAUGGUGAUGGAAGGCUUGGAUGUAGUAGGAGCAACAGAUGGAACAGUAGGAGUCAUAGGGGGAGCAGCAGAAACAGCCUCAGGCAUGGGCACUGGUGGUGCUGAAGUAGGUGAUGCAGGGGCAGGUCGUUUAGUCUCUGUCGGAAGCUCUCCCCGCGUUGUAGGUACUGGAGUAGAUUGUGCAUGCUCCGUCUGCAGGGGCUUUGGAGGUGCUACCAUGAGAUGGGCUCCUGGAGGUGCAAAAUAGCCCGCCAACUGAUUCCAUUUGUCAAGAGUGAAUUGCUCUCAACAAAUACGACGACGUUCUUGCUGAGGCUCAGUAGGAAAACCCAUAUGCUCCAAGAUUUGGCAAAGCAACCUCGGGAAUAGCAAUGGAAUGGUGUCCGCCCUCUAAAGCUUUUUCCUAUGGACCUUCUCCUCAAAGUGGACGAGGGAGGCCACGAUUAAGUGGUGUGGGCCAAAGUAGAAGCCCUUUGAUAUGCGGAACAAAGCAUCCAAGAUAGCUCAUCGCCUCUGUACUGAAUGUUGUAGGGGAAAGAGGUUGGAGCGUAGCACCACAUCUACGAGGAGCAUCCCAGGUGGAAGCUCCUUUUGAAGAAUGAUCGAAUCUGUAGAGGUCCUCCUGGAUAAAAUGCGGACCAUGUCCUUCUGAGAUACUGGGGAGACCACCGGCGGAAAGCAGAUGGAUCAAGUGGCUCGAAAGGAAUAUGUAGAGCCUCUGCAAUAUCUCUGACCUCAAGGAUACCAUGACGUCCAUCAAUGGUGAAGUGAAUCGAGGUCGGACUCGGGACGCCACGAGUAGUCAUGGAUUGUUAAAUGUCUAAUGCUAAUCUGGGAUAAAAAAACUCACAAGGAGUCAUAAGCUGCUUAAGAUAGUACCUCUGUAGUAGGCUAUAAGAGUCUCGGAGCUCAGGCUUCUAUCGGAAGGCCUCCUAAUCAAAAUAGAACUUCGAGUGGAAAGGUCUUGAUCUGUAAUCUGAGUUGCCCUCAAUGGGAGGUGCUGUGAGCAUCGGGCGUCUGAUAAUAGACCCCGGUGACAUGUCGAAAGGAAGCUCAGAAUCUACAGGAGCUCGACCAUGUGUAGCAACAGGAGGCUCAAGCUGUGAAGCUCUAGAUGACUCGCCUGAGCCUAAAGUCUUGGCCUUCUUGGUAGGAGGGCACCGCACUGAACUCUAAGGGCGCGAAGCAGUCGCCCCUUGUGUAGUAGCUGGUCUCCUAGUCUCAUACCUGCGCUGAAAAGCAAAAAAUGAAGGACUAAUGAGCGAUCCACCAUCAGAAGGGGGAAUCUGCGAGGCCUCUAUGGUGGCCUCCUGAGGUGGCGAAUCACAAGGCACCCGAGCAGAUGAGGCUCUCUGCCUCGUAGCGUGACUCUACAAAGGGGUAGCAGGAGCCCCUCGGGUCCUUGCCAUAUGGAAAUGGAGAAAUGGGCCUCGGGUCUGUGCUCGAAGGGGGGGUGUCGAAUGGGAGAUAAACGGAGGAGUGAGAUGCAAGNNNNNNNNNNNNNNNNNNNNNNNNNNNNNNNNNNNNNNNNNNNNNNNNNNNNNNNNNNNNNNNNNNNNNAAGUUGUUAAUCUAAGGGGGGGGGGGGGGGGGGGGGGGGGAGGGGAGUGUGAACAGAGGGUGGAACCAGAAUAGAGGCACGGGGUGACACUUAUUAUUUGAGAAGGGUUUCGCAUACCCUGCGAAAUUUUCGCAAGGGUGUGCAAAAUGCCUUAGUGAAUUUUUUCUUCAGGGUUUUUCCUCUGCCAAGAAUCUUUAAGGACAUGCCCAAUUGCUUUGAAGUUCCCCUUGAAAUUGAUAAUAAAAAACCUAAGUUAAAUCAAACCAAAAUUAAAUUAAAGUGAGAAAUCAAAAUCAAAACAAGUUACAAUACAAGAAAACUCUCUAAUAAAAAAUAAAACAAAAAGAUAUGGACUUGAUAGUCUUUAGAAAUGCUAAGUCCAUCCAAAAACUGGUCUUGUCAAGCUUGAUGUGGAUCAAGGAGUAUGAAUUCCUCUUUGUCACGAGAAAAAGGCUCCACAAAGGGCUUGAGACAAUGACCAUUCAUUUUGAAGCUACUGGUGUUGUUGGAGUUGAGUAGUUCCACUACUCCAUUUGAAUGCACUUGGUGAAUGGUAAAAUGACCUAUCCACCUUAAUUUCAGCUUGCCCGGAAAGAUGUGGAGCUUAGAGUCAUAAAAUAAGACUCUUUGUCCAUUUUGAAAAUCUUUGCGGGAAACUAACUAAUCAUGCCACCUCUUCAAUCUCUCUUUUGCAAUUUUUGAAUUGAUGUAGGCAUCAUUUCUCAGUUCCUCCAACUCACUGAGGUCUAAGAACCUCUUCAUUCCAGCUUUGCUCAAAUCCAUGUUGAGCUUCUUGAUUGCCCACCAAGCUUUGUAUUCCAAUUCCACAGGGAGAUGACAUGCUUUGUCAUAGACUAGGCGAUAAGGAGACAUCCCAAGAAUGGUCUUGUAAGCUGUUCUAUAUGCCCAUAGUGAAUCAAAGAGCUUGGCAGACCAAUCUUUUCUGUUCGUGUUCACCACCUUCAUCAAUAUGUUUUUAAUCUCCCAGUUUGCUAACUCAACUUGCCCACUAGUUUGAGGGUGGUAAGGUGUAGCUACCUUAUGCUUCACCCCAUACUUGGUUAGGAGAGUUUCAAAAGGCUUGUUGCAAAAAUGAGUACCCCCAUCACUAAUUAUGGCUUUGGGUACCCCAAAUCUUGAGCAAAUGUUUUCCUUGAGAAACUUGAGAACCACUCUAUGGUCAUUGUGCUUGGAUGGGACUGCCUCAACCCACUUAGAAACAUAAUCUACUCCCACCAAGAUGUAAGAGUAGCCAAAAGACAUAGAGAAUGGUCUCAUGAAGUCAAUGCCCCAAACACAAAAAAGAUCAACUAUCAAAAUGGGGUUCAAAGGCAUCAUGUUCUUGCGUGUCAACUUUCCAACCCUCUGACAUCGAUCACAACUCUUGCACAUAGUGUGGGCAUCUUUGAAAAGUGAUGGUCAACAGAAACCCGAUUGCAACACCCUCAUGGCUGUCUUCUGAGAAGCAAAGUGGCCUCCACAUGCAUUUUCAUGGAAAUGACUGAGGGUCCCCUGUUGCUCUUCUUCAGGAACACACUUCCUUAUUAUCUGAUCCACACAGUACUUGAAUAGAAAUGGCUCUUCCCAAUAGUAGGCAUGGAUUUUUGCAAAGAAGUACUUCUUAUCUUAUGCUUUCCACUCACUUGGAACUUUUCCUAUGACUAGGUAGUUAGCAAUAUGAGCAUACCAAGGAGCAACUUCCACCAACAUAAGAGACUCAUCUGGAAAAUCAUCAUUGAUGGGCAAACCAUGGGAAUUAUGUGCGAUAGCUAGCCUUGAAAGGUGGUCUACUACCACAUUCUCUACUUUUUUCUUGUCUUUGAUCUGGAGAUCGAACUCUUGAAGCAAGAAGAUCCAUCUAAUUAGCCUUGCUUUAGCAUCUUGCUUAGUCAACAGAUACUUCAAAGCAGAGUAAUAAGUGAAAACCACAAUGAAGGACCCCACCAAGUAAGCCCGAAACUUAUCCAAGGCAAAAACUAAAGCUAACAAUUCUUUCUCGGUGGUUGUGUAGUUUCUUUGCCCCUCAUUCAAUGUCUUGCUCCCAUAGUAGAUCACAUAGGGUUUUCCAUCUUCUCUUUGCCCAAGAACAACUCCUAUGGCAAAGUCAUUGGCAUCACACAUUACCUCAAAGGGCAGUUGCCAGUUAGGAGCCCUCACUAUUGGUGCGAUUGUCAGAAAUAGCUUCAAUUCUUCAAAACUCCUUUGGCAUCUAUCAUCCCAUAUGAAUUUAGCAUCCUUCACCAAUAGUUUACAAAGGGGCCUUGCAAGCUUAGAGAAAUCUUUGAUAAACCUCCUAUAGAACCCGGCAUGGCCAAUGAAUUGCCUUACUCCUUUAACAUUUGUUGGGGAUGGCAACUUGACAAUGAGUUCAACCUUUGCUUUGUCAACUUCAAUGCCUUGCUUGGAGAUGAUGUGCCUAAGGACAAUCCCUUGUUGUACCAUGAAAUGACACUUCUCCCGAUUAAGCACUAAGCCUUUCUCAAUGCAUCGAUUCAGAACAGCUUCUAAAUUGACCAAGCAUUCAUCAAAUGCACUUCCAUAUAUGGUGAUAUCAUCCAUAAAGACUUCCAUAAUACGCUUCAAUAUAUCACUGAAAAUGCUUAACAUGCAUUUUUGGAAAGUUGCGGGUGCAUUGCAUAAGUCGAAAGGCAUUCUCCUAUAUGCAUAGGUGCCAAAUGGGCAUGUGAAAGUGGUAUUCUCCUGGUCUUCAACAUCAAUUUCUAUCUGAAAGUACCCGGAGUAUCCAUCCAAGAAACAAUAAAAAGGAUGCCUAGAGACCCUCUCAAGCACUUGAUCAAUAAAGGGCAACGGGAAAUGGUCAUUCCUUGUCACUGCAUUCAAUCUCCUGUAAUCGAUACACACCCUCCAACCUGUAGUGAGGUAUGUAGAGACAUCUUCUCCCUUAUUAUUUUGCACCACCAUGAUCCCAGACUUCUUUGGCACAACUUGAGUAGGACUCACCCAUAGGCUAUCUGAUAUGGGGUAGAUAAUACCGACCUGAAGCAGCUUAAGAACUUCAGCUCGCACCACCUCUUGCAUGUGAGAGUUCAACCUUCUCUGAGGUUGCUGAACUGGCUUAGCUUCAUCCUUCAUGUAAAUAUGAUGGGUGUAGACUAAAGGGCUGAUCCCUUUCAAAUCAGAAAUUUGCCACCCUAUUGCCUUUUUACAUCUUCUAAGGACUUUAAGUGGACAAUCCUCCUGAUGAAUGGUAAGAGCUGAAGAUAUAACAACAAGGCACUGCUUGUCUUCUUCCAAGUAUGCAUACUUCAGCUCUAUGGGUAGUGGCUUAAGAAUAACUUUUGGGGGCUCCUCCUUAGCAGCUCUUUGUGUCUCAUCCUUAUUGAUUAAGGGUAGAAUUUCUUCUUUCCUCCUCCAAAGAGACAAGGUAGUAAGCAAAUCUAAGGGCUUAGGUAACUCUUCAUCAAGAUCCUCAAGACUCUCAAUCAAAUCCUCCUGUAUUCUCUUAUCACAAUGCCCCUCCACUAAAGUGUCAAUCAUGCACGCUUCCUUUGGACCUUCUUCUUUUUCCGGAUGGAUAUGCUUUUUACACAAAUGGAAGAUGUUGAACUCUAAUGUCAUGUUGCCAAACAUGAGUUUCAUGACUCCAUUCCUACAAUUGAUGAUUGCAUUUGAUGUAGCUAGGAAUGGUCUUCCAAGUAUAAUAGGAACAUAAUUAGUUCCUUUGACAAUCGGAUCCACAUCAAGAAUAACAAAAUCCACUGGAUAGUAUAAUUUGUCAAUUUGAACCAAGAGAUCUUCGAUCAUCCCUCUUGGAAUCUUCACUGAUCUAUCUGCCAGAGAUAGAGUGAUGGAUGUUGGCUUUAACUUUCCAAGUCCCAACUGCUUGUAGACAGAGUAGGGUAGCAAAUUCACACUUGCUCCCAAGUCCAACAAAGCUUUUUCCACACAAUCCCUCAAAUACUCACUGAGAUGGUAGGGUAGCCCGGAUCUUUGUACUUCACUGGAGACUUGCACUAUAUGAUGGCACUCACUUGCUCAGUCAAUAAGGCUUUCUUAUUCACAUUCAACCUUUUCUUUACAGUGCAUAAGUCCUUCAAGAAUUUUGCAUAUGUUGGCACUUGUUUGAUCAUGUCUAGCAAAGGGAUAUUGACCUUCCCUUGCUUCAACACUUCAAAAAUUUCUGAUGCAUUAUUGGUUCCCUUUUUGCCAUGCAAAGCUUGGGGGAAAGAUGGAGGCAUGUGUUUCUUCAUCAUAUCUUCUUUGAUGACUAUCCUCUUGGGUUCUUCAUCCACACUAGAAUCACAGUCAUUUUUUUUUUUGUACUUUUCCCUUUUCUCUUUCCUUUAAUUUCCUCACUCUUUUCUUUUUCUGCUACACUCUCUUCAUCAUGCUUUGGCUUGGAUGUGGGUUGAUCAACCUCUUUACCACUCCUCAAGGUGAUAACUGCUUUAACCUCCCUCACCUUUGAAGAUUCUCCCUCUUGAGCCUCCACUUCAUGGAUACCCUUGGGAUUUUGAUGAGGUUAAAAAGGAAACUUUCCUUUCUCUUGCACUGUGUUGAGGUUGGUAAGCCUUGAGAUUGCGUAUUGGACAUUGUCUAUCUUCUGAGAUAGAUCAUUUUGCAUCCCAUCCAUCCUUUUGUUCAAUGUACUUUCCAUACUGUCAAUUCUCUGAUUCAAUUGAGCAUUGAUGGACUUCUGAUCUCCCACAAAGUCUCCCAUAACCUUGCUAAGGUUCACAAUAACUUGUUCAAGAUUUGAGGUUUGCUGAGGUGCUUGAGCAGGUUGUGUGUACUGAGGUGGCUUUGGUUUCUAAUAGAAAUUUGGAUGGUUCCUCCAAUUUGAAUUGUAGGUGUUGCCAUAUGAAGCAUUGUUAUUGGGCUUGAAUUGACCAAUAACGUUUGCUUGAUCACCAAACAUCUCACUCACUACUGGAAUGGUAGGACAUUCCUCCACCAAGUGCUCAUAAGAUUGACAAAUGGAACAAGGCAUAGCUUGCACUGAUGUCUCAGAAAUGGCUUGCACUUCUUGUACCUUCUUCAUUUCUAACUCUUCCAAUCUCCUUGCCAUAGCUGCAACAUUUGCCUUCAUGUUAAUGUCUUCAUUCAAAACAUACAUCCCACCCUUAGCAUUAGGUUGAGACUUCAUUCUUCCCACCUCUCUAGCAUUUGGUUCAUCCCAUCAUCUUGAAACUUCAGCCACAUAACUCAAAAAGUCCAUGGCUUCCUCCAGAUUCUUACUCAUGAAGUCUCCUCUACACAGUUUCUAGGAGUUGCUUCAUUGAAGAAUGCAUACCAUAGUAAAAAUAGCUCACUAAGAGCCAUGUGUCAAAGCCAUGGUGAGGAUAAGCAUUAAUAGCUUCCAUGUACCUCUCCCAACACUCAUAGAAUUUCUCAUUCUCUUUAGUUGAGAAGUUCAAAAUUCGCCUUUUCAAACCAUUGAUCCUAUGAGUAGGGAAAAAUUUCUUGAGAAACUCGGCUUGCAAAUCGGUCCAAGUUCGGAUACUCCUUGGCCUUAGAGAAUUGAGCCAAAUCUUGGCCUUAUUCUUCAAAGUGAAAGGAAAUAGCUUGAGCCUCAUCAAGUCAAUUGAAGUUCCUCCUUCUUGGAAUGUAUUACAAACCUCCUCGAAUUCCUUAAUAUGCGAGUAGGGAUUCUUAGUUUCCAUCCCAUGGAAAGUAGGUAGGAGUGACACAAUGUGAGGUCGGAUUACUAGCUGCUCAAUGGGAGGCACUAUGCAUGAUGGUGCACUCAUACAAGGUGGAUGCAUGCGGUUCCUCAUGGAUCGGUAUGCAUUGAAAUUAUCCUCUUGACCAUGUUGGCUAUUCUGGUCUUCAGGUGGAACAUCCAUGAUGUUCAAGCACACUUCCAACUCAUUUUCUUGAGGAGUUUCAAUCUUCACAAGUCUUCUCUCAAUAUCUCUUAUCCAAUAGGGCAUGCACAACUAGAGAUCACUGAAACAAAAACAAAGAAAACAAAAUAAAUACAAUUCUAGGAAGAGGUAAAGGUUAGCAAAAAACUAAAUAAAAGAUAAGUUAAAAUAGAGACAAAGAAAAAGAAUUAGUAAAAGAAAAAUCACCAAACUUGUGAUGAAGAUCACAAGUGUUCACCAAAAGUAAUGCCAAUGUACUUUGGCACCAUCCCUGACAACAACGCCAUUUGAUUCGUCCCCAACAAUAGCGCCAUUUGAUUCUUGCGCCAGACAAGUGUUAUCAAUAAAAUUUAUAAAACCUAAAUCACCUUACACUAGGGUAGCAUGGCUACUAUAGUAUAGUGGCUCUAGGAUCAUCCACAUGGAUGAAUUUUCUUCGUACAAGUGACUUUAGUGAAGGUAAUGAAAUGGUGUUUUUCCUUAUGAAAAUUAGCUUUUAAAGAAAAUGGAAUUGUGGUUGAAAAAGUUGAUUUUAAGUUAAGCAAAAAUAGCAAUUGAAGUUAACUACAAACAGAAUGUCUCUUGGAACUUUAGGUCACUAGGAUCGAGUUCCUUAGGCAAAGAGAGAUUCCGGAUUUUCUCCUCGCAUUGGUGACAAUAACAUAAAGGAUGGUUAUCUCCUGAACCAGUUUUGUAUCUAGCAAUUAAGAUUUGAUCUAAAGGGUUCAUGAAAAAUGGUAGUUGCUUCCCAUUAAUGGCUUCAAACACUAAAACCCUUCACCUUGAACCACCUUCCAAUGGCUCGUACUUGAUAAUUAAUGAACAUCCAUGGAUCUAGCAAUAAGCAUCCAUAGAAUUCGGAAAGCUUACCAAGUAUUGGCCAUUCAAGGUGAUUCUCACCUUGAGCCACCUUCCAAUGGCUCAUAAUUGAUAACUAAUGGACAUCCAUGGAUCUAGCAAUAAGCAUCCAUAGAAUCUAGAAAGCUUACCAAGUAUUGGCCAUUUAAGGUGAUUAUAAGGGAUUUAAAGCUAAACCUUGAAAUAAAAACCAUUAAUGGUUAACAACUACCUUCAUUUAAAGCAAGAAAAACUCCCACCUUUGCAUCCGGGUCCUUCACCUAGUUAUUUCCAUCAUUCCAAGAUACGUAAAACUUAGCCACUCAUCCCCUGAGAAAUCAUCCUUAGAGGUUCUUUGGCUAGAAAGAAAAAUGAAAACAAAAUGAGAAGGAAAAGCAGAGCAAGGGCUCUAUAUAUUUCUUCCUAUGGGAAUUACAAGUGUCGUAUAUUUGUCUCCUUUUCAAAAGAUUAUACAAAAAGAUCUUAUAUAGAGAGGUCUUUCCAACCCCCUUUUAUAGUUCCUAACCAAGAAAUCCUAUCAUUGGUUGAUUACAAGGAGAAAAUAGUAAUUUACACAAAUUUCUGGAGAUAAAAAUCUAAUGGAGUUGGUGCAUAAGAAGAUUUCACAGACCAUGCGAAAUUUCGCAUGGUGUGCAAAAUUGUCCUUCACUCAGUCUUGCAGCUGCUCCUCUUAUUGAUUUCGCAUGCUAUGCGAAAUUGCUACAUGUUGGAUUUCUUCCUCUGGUUUUCUUCCUUGCAUCUCUGAUUGGCUUGGCAAAGGGCUAUGAUGUGCUCCAAAACUCGGAUUCUUCAUGUAUUUGAGCUUCAACUUGCAUUGCCAUGGAUUGUACAAAAUUCUCUCUCAUUCUUUGCUUGUUUCAAUGAUAAAAAAGCUACCAAAAACACCAAAACUAGCCAAAAACUGAUUAGUAACCCUUGCUAGGUUCCUUAAUGUACCAAUUGAGUUAAAAAGUAUUAACUACUACUCAAAAGUGUUUAAAACAGUUAAUUUCAAGCUAUAAAAGAGCACUUUUUGAGUAGUAAUAAGAAUGAAAUGUAGGACUUGGUCACAGUGGGAUAUAUAAAAAAAAAACAUCUUUUUCAGUAAGGAAGAAGGUUUGUGGUGGGGAGUUUGAUGGCAUAUAUAGGAUUGUUCUUUUAUAUGCACUCACUCUUGGCUUUGGGGGUACAUGCCCACUUUGAUUGAAAAAUUAAAAGGUUCAUACCCACUUUGAUAAUAAAAAAAUUAAAAAUAAAAGCUUAUUACGAGUAAACGUUACAUGAUGAUGAGAGAAAUCGUGUGUGAAUACUAAAUAUCAAUAAUUCCAAGCACUGAUUCCAUUUUCAAUUUUGUUGAGUCAUCAAUCAAUGUUUUAGAAACAAAUAGGUUUUUAUAAUUGGAUUGGUCAAUUCAAUUAAAAAUAUUAAGGAUUAUGAUUCAUUAGUUAAAGUAUUAAGGGGUUCAAUUGUAGUCAAUUAUUUUGAUGUUAGGAUGACAUUAUAAAUAUAUAAUUUAUAUUUUAUUAAAAUUAAAAUAAUUAUAAAAUAUAUAAAUAAUUAAUAUAUUAAUAUAUUUGAUUUUUUAAAAAGACUUUACUAUUAUUAAAUUAAAUCAUAAUAAGGGUAAAUAUAGAUGUAUUAAAACUUUUAAUUUUAUUUAAUAAAAUAUUUAUAAUAUUGAAGUGAAAAGAUAUAUUCAAGAUGAUAUAAAUUGGUGAUGACUUCUCAACUGACAAAAACUCAUUAAUUAUCAUGUUAUUAUUUAAAGUUUCCAUCAUUACCUUCAUAGCUUUUCUUCGCUCACACGGUUCGUAGGUUGGAAAAGUCCAUUUGCAAGAGAGGAAACCAGAAAGAAGAAAAUGUUUUCCUCCUCGAACUCUCGUGAUCUACGACCACCCUUGGAGAUAAUUUUUCCAAUGAUGGUGAUUCCUAAUAUGAACGAGAUAGGGGGAUGACUAUUGCUAUCCUGGCCUACUCCUCAGGUUUUUUUUGCAAGAGUACCGAUAAUUUAAAAAUAUAAUCUUGUUAAAAAUCCCCUACCUCCUCCCUCGUCGGUAUUAGCAAAAGCUCGAACUUGACCUUCUCUACCCGCUCAAUCGCCACACGUGAUUGGCACACAUGAAACCAGUCGUUCUUGAUCUUCGACCACCCUGUCCUUCAUUCAAUAGAUGGCUUUGCUCUACUUCUCAAUCAAUCCCCUGUGUUCAUGGCUUUGAAUAUUUGGAAAUGCUUUUAUUUUCUAUAAAGAUCUUGAUGACCGCUUAAUUCAUCUGUCUUCCCGCUUUUGAAAUAGAAAUGGCUUUUUUUUUUAUUCCCUGAUCUACGAGCACCCUAAGAAAAGUGAUCUAUGAAACUUACAGGCUUUCGACUAAAAAGUGACCAAUGGAAUAGGCUUUAGAGUAACUCUUUCCAAAUAGGUCGAGAAAUAAAAUUUUAAGGAGCUUUCUAGUUGGAUUCACAAGUGUAAAUAGAAUUCAGGUGAAACAUAGGAAUUCCAAAGAAUAAUAGGUAGAAUAUCAUAUCAGUUCACCUUAAGAGCUCAUCUUAAGCCUGUGUUAUGAAUCUUAUGAUCAGGUUUGAAUUCUAGAGUAAAGAGUUGAUCUUAAGCCUAUGUUCGCACGGUUAGAAAUAGAAUUUUAAGGAGAACAAAAUUCGGCAUUGUUUCAACUAGCCUAGACCUUGAUACAAUUUAAGUCGUUAAACGAAUUCAACAUUCUCCGAGUCAAUCCAUGACGUCUCAUGAAUUUUAAACAAUUUCUCAGAAAAAUAAACAAAUAAAGCAUAAUUAAAAAGAAAAAGAAGAAAGAAGUCAGUUUGAAAGCAAAAUAAGAAGGGAAAUGUACCAGAGUAUAACGGUGGUGGGUUAGUUGGAGUUGUUCACAGUGUUCUACUCAUGAAGGUGGGAGUAGUGUAUUGGUGAUGAGAAGGUGGAUAGUCGGAGAUGGUAGCCAACGACAGUGAGAAUGGUGACUUUGUGACCCUUGAAUGGGUUGCAUUAGUAGUUUUAAACCAGAGAAAAGGCUAAAAAAGAAAAAGAAAAGAGAAAGAAAGUCUUCUUGUGGGCCGACAAGAGUGUGUUUCUAUAGCAAUAAUUCGAAGAAAGUAGGUGGUCGACAACAGUAGUACUAGUUUUAAGAAACCAGGGAGAAAGCAAAAAAAAAAAUAAAAUAAAAUGGAAGAGCUAGGAGGGAAAGAGAUUCGUCUUUUGGAGUGGUGAGAGUAUGGUGGGGAGCUGAUACUAAUAGUACAUAUAGGGUAUUAAUGUUGGUGGGGGUGGUGUGAAUUUGGAAGAUAUGAUGUUGUUAUUAAGGUUUUUUAAAAACCUAUAAGAGAGUAGAAACAUGGGUUUCUUAGUUUUUUCUUGGGGUAUUAACUUAUUUAUUUGUAUAUGUCAUGGUGAUGGAGAUCUGCCAAGCUUGAUUGUUGAUGGUGAUCAUCCCCAGACUUGCGUAUGUUCCACCUAUGACAUUUUUCGUUUGCUCUCCACCUCUCCCAUCUCCUCCUCCAUAUUAGCAUACUGAGUAGCCUUAGACAAGAGUGUUUCCAUUUUGGUAAGUCCACUUUUAGUGAGCGAUCACUGCAAGGGGCUAGCUGGUGGUAGGGCCUUCCUAAAAGUAGUCAUAGUAGUCUUCGAGUUGUCACUCUCGACCUGUAUAAUUUUUGUAACAAAACUAUGAAUGAACUUACGUAACAGUUCUCCGGGGCUCUACUUAAGAUUGAACAAAUUAUCGAUACUGCGUCGAGUACGCAUAUUGCACGUGUAAUGAGUCAUGAAUUAGUCACACAAUUGAGAAAAACUAUGGAUAGAACAAGUAGGGAGUUGAUGGAACCAGGUUAGUGAGGCACCUUGGAGACUGGCGGGGAAAACCCAACAUAGUAAGCCUUCACGACCAUCAACAAGAGCCAUUAAUUGGCUAAAAUGGUAAAUAUGCUCAGUGGGAUCCCCAAUUCUAUUAUAAAGAUUAAAUUUAGGUGGUAAAUAAUGAAUAGGUAAUUCUUCCUACAGCAAUUGUGGAAACAACGGUGACUGCAACAUACUUGCCUAUUUUCGAGUCGUUCCCGGGGAAGAAUUUGCUUGCAGUUUAAUUUGUUGUAUCUCUGUUGCUAGCCUUUUAUACUUCUGUUCCAGCCCUUUCGAUUUUGGUGCUACAAACUGUGAAUAAUUACUACUCAAAAAGUGCUAUUUGAUAGCUUUUAAUUAACUCUUUUAAACACUUUUGAGUAGUUAUUAUUACCUUUUAACUCAAUUAACAUAUUAAGGACCCUUGCAAUCAUUUCUAAUCAAUUUGUGUAAGUUUUGGUGUUUUUGUUAGUAAGUUGAUCACAAAAGCAAUCCGAGAUUGAGGAGAGUUCUUUGGAAUCCAUGGCAAAGCAAUGGAAAGCUCAGAAACAUGAAGAACCAAAGCUUUGAAGCUUUAAAGUCCUUUGCCAUAAGCAAAGAUUUUGGAGCACUUCCUGGAGUUCAAUUUAUGCAUACUGUCGUUUCGAAGCUCGGGAAGUUAGCAAUCUAAUGCUUCAAACGGUGCACGAUUCGGAGUUGAAAUGAAGGAGUUACAACCAUUGGAAGCCGAUCACUCCAAGCUGAAGGCAAAUUUCGCAGGGUUGUGAAAUCAGCCUUUGGCUGCGAAAUGGUGUCCUUCAUGUUGCGAAAUUUCGCAGCCCUCUUGCGCGGCUGCGAAAUUCUCCUGAAGCUUCACGAUAUUUGCGACCGACAUUUUGAGAUUUUUUUGCUUUAGAUAUUUGAUGUCUAAAUCCCCAAACUCUCCUUGUAACCCACCUAUCAUAGGAUUCCUUAGUCUUUAAGCAAGAACAAAGGGUAAAUAAACCCAUAUUUAAUGCUUGUAAGUUUCCAUUAAAAAAGGAGACAAGAAACUUGUUCUCAUACAACUUUUAUAUAGUAUUUGAAGGAAGUAAAUUCAGGGCCUUUGCUCUGCCUUACCUAUUCGUUUUGAUUGUAUAUAUUUAUUUAAUUUUUCUUACUAGCCAAACAAGCUCUGAGGAUGUUUCCUCAGAGAAUGAGUGGCUAGGCUUUUAGUUCCUUGGAACUAAGGUUGCCGGGAAAGGUUCCAAAUGCAAGAAUUGGUAGUUUUGUUGUUUCAGCCAUUAAUGAAGAGAAAGUGCAACUCAUUAAUGAUUUCUAUGUUUUUAGUUAACUUAAAACACCUUCAAUUCACCUGAGCAAACACUUGGUAAGGUAAGUGAUCUCCGUCCAUGGAGAUGCACUAGUUUACCUCUUGUGAGUUUUUGGUAUGUGACUUGAAGAUAGGAUUUUCUAGAAUUGCCAACACUUGGUAAGCUUUUAAACUCCAAGGAGACAUCCAUUAGUUAUCUCUUGCGAGCUUGAGAAGGGAAGUCCAAGGUUAAUGAUCACCUUGAAUGGCAAAUGCUAGGUGAGAGGCACGAGCCAUUGCAAGUUGCAUCAAUGAGAGGGAAUUAGUGCUGAAAUCCAUUAAAGGGAAGCAUCUGUACAACACCGGUUAGAGAAUUGACUAUAUGUUAAUUCUCUAAUGCGAGGAAAUGAACCAAGUGACCGGAGCUCUGUUUUUGCAUGAGGAGCCUCCCCUGUGAACCUAAAACUCCAAGGAAUGCUUUUCUUCAUAAGUAAUUUUCAUUACUUUAUUUUUAGUUAGCUUAAAACAAAACCUUUUUCAACCAAAGUUUAUGUUUUUUUCUUAAGCUAACCUUGAAAUGAAAAAGCACCAAUUUAACUUUGAAUUGGUAUCAGUUGUGAGUUGAAAACCCUUCCCAGUGAACAAUCCUAGAGCCACUAUGCUAUAUUAGCUAAAGCUAUCCUAAUGCAUGGUGAUAUAGGUUAUAAAUUUUGUUGAUUACUUCCUCAAUCAAGGAACACCAGCUGGACAUGAAUCAGCUGAGACACCAAUUGGGAAACACGAAUCAAAUGGCGCCGCUGCCGGGGAAGGUGCCAACUUCACAGUGAUAUUAUUUCAGUGUACUUGUGGUUCUCAUCACAAGUUUGGUGAAUUUUCUUUCAUUUUAAUAACUCUUUUAAUUGUUUCUUUUACUUGUUCAUAUUCUAACAUAGCUUUUAAUUUAGUUUCAGUUAAUCUAAGUCUUUUUGGUAGUCUUGUUUUUUUUGUUUUCCUCUGUUUUUGUUUUUUUUCUAUUUUUGUUUUUUUUCUUUGUUACAGUUGAUACUAGUUGUGUAUGCCAAAUUGGAUACGAGAUAGUGGAGGAAGGCUUGUUAAACGUGAAACACCUCAUAACAAGGAGUUGGAAUUGAGCUUGAACAUCAUGGAAACUACACCUGAAGAUCCGCAUAGUCACCAUGGUCAUCAGGACAAUCCCAACGAAUUCAGAUCAAUGAGGGACCGCAUGCAUCCACCUCGUAUGAGUGCACCAUCAUGUAUAGUGCCCCCUAAAGAGCAGCUAGUGAUCAGGCCCUAUAUUGUUCCACUUCUACCAACUUUCCAUGGAAUGGAAAGUGAGAAUCCCUAUGCACAUAUCAAGGAAUUUGAAGAUGUUUGUAAUACAUUCCGAGAUAGAGGAGCUUCAAUCGACUUGAUGAGGCUUAAGCUAUUUCUUUUUACUUUAAAGGAUAAAGCCAAGAUUUGGCUUAAUUCUUUAAGGCCAAGGAGUAUCCGUACUUGGACUGAUUUACAAGUUGGAUUCCUCAAAAAGUUUUUUCCUACUCACAGAACAAAUGGCUUGAAAAGACAAAUUUCAAACUUCUCAGCUAAAGGAAUGAGAAAUUCUAUGAGUGUUGGGAAAGAUACAUGGAAGCCAUUAAUGCUUGUGAUGCGACUCAUGGUAGCUUAGCUUUAAAGGCGUAUCAACAAAAUUUAUACCUUAAAUACUAUUACUAAAGUAGCCAAGCUACUAUAGCAUAGUGGUUCUAGGAUCGUUCACUGGGAAGGGUUUUCACAAACACUAGUGAUAUUCAAAUUAGGAAAAUAGGUGAUUUUCUUAUGGAUGUUAGCUUUAAAAGAAGAUGUAAAUGUUUUAGAAAGAUUUAAACUAAUCUAAGCUAACAUUAAAGACUAAAAUGAAAGGGUGUAAAAACAAGUUUCUCAAAGAUAGGAUAGCUAUGCUCUGGCUCUUAUGCAAAUUGGAAAUCUCAGGAUAGGCUCCUCGCGUUGGGGUUGCAACUAUGGUGAUGCUUGCUUCCCGAACCGGUAUGGAUUUAGCAAAUCAAGUUUUAAUCCUUUAAAAUGGCAAAACAGAUGGUAGUGAAUUUCAUCAAUGGUUAUUCACUUUAGACUUCCUUUGAAUGGCUCGUAAGAGAUAACUAAUGGUCUAAAGCCAAAAGCUUACCAAAUAUUGGCAACUCAAAGUCAUUCCAGGUGAUAAACUCACCUUUCAAUGGCCAUUGAAAUUGGUUCUAACGGAUUAAUGCAAAACUUGGAAUUGAAAACCUCACCUUCCAAUAGCUCGUAGGAGAUAACUAAUGGAUAGAAAUCCAAAAGCUUAUCAAGUAUUGGCCGUUGGAAGUUGUCCAAAGGAAAUAAAAACCAAACUUUGCAUUAAUGAACCGUUAAUGAAAAACGACUACCUUACCUUCCAGGUGCGAGAAAUUUCCAUGGGAUUGCAUCCAAGCCAUCACAUAACAUCCAUACUUUGAGAAACUAAAAGUUUUAGCCAAUCAUCCUCUGAGGAAAAGCCCUUAGAGGCUGUUUGGCUACUAAGAAAAUAGAAAUGGGGAAGAACAGGAGAAGAGAAAAACAGAGCUUUAUAUAUGUCUAAGUUAAUGUACACAGGAUCGAUCCCCAAUCAUCCCAUUUUUCGUCCCCUGUUGGAGGUGUUGUGCACCUCUAUAUAUAGCAAAAUUACAAGAUAAAGCUUUAUGUCGGCUGAAUACAAGGUUACAAAAGGAAUUUACAUGAGAAAAUAUCAAGCUAAAAAUAUUUGGGAAGUCGGUGGUGCGUGCGUGGAGAAACAGAGGAUUAAAAGGAAUUUCGCAAUGUAAAAGGCACAUUGCGAAAUUUUCGCAAUGUGAAUUACUCAUGAUGCGAAGUGCCAUAUUUUCGCAUCAUGAGUUAAUUCACCUUGCGAAAUUUUCGCAAUGUGAAAUUCACAUUGCGAAAUGGCAAAAUUUCGCACCAUGAAGAAAAUCUCCUUGCGAAAUUUUCGCAAUGUGAAAUUCACCUUGCGAAAUUGGUCAUUUGGCAUGAUGCAGUUGCCUUCCGAAGGCCAUAUCUUCCUCAUUUCAGCUCCAAAUUAUACACGGUUUGAAGCGUUGGAUUCUUGACUUCCUAAGCUUUCAAAUGGUAUAUAGCAUGUAGAAAAUGGACUUCAGGAAGUGCUCCAAAAGUGUGAAAGAAGACUGCAUCUGUUUUCUUCACUUUGUUUUCCUCUUCUCCAUUGCUUGUGCUCGUGUUUCCACUUGAAAUUCAAGCCUGUAAUCAUCCAAAAUCCUUGCUUAACUCGCCCAAAUAGCUCCUCCAUCAAUUGGCAUGCUUGAAUUGGUUCAUAAGCUGAUAAAAACAUGUAAACUUGCCACAAAAUGGUUAAAACCAAUUACUAAGGACCUUAAUGAAUUAAUUAGGUUAAAUGAAUAUGAUUACUACUCAAAGGUGCUUAAAACCAUUAUUAUUAGGUCUACAAAAUAGCACUUUUUGGUAGUAAUCAGCUUGUCCUCACCAUGGUUUUGAUACAUGGCUGUUGGUGAGUUAUUUCUAUGAUGGGAUGUCUUCCUCAAUGAAACAACUCCUCGAAACAAUGUGUGGAGGGGAUUUCUGAGUAAGAAUCCUGAGGAAGCUAUGAAUUUCUUGAGUUAUGUAGCUGAAGUCUCAAGGGGGUGGGAUGAACCGAAUAGAGGAGAAGUGGGAAAGAUGAAGUCUCAACCAAAUGCUUUUCAUGCUAAGGCUGGGAUGUACACCUUGAAUGAAGAUGUUGAUAUGAAAACAAAAUUUGCAGCUAUGACAAGAAGAUUGGAGGAGCUAGAACUGAAAAAGAUGCAUGAAGUGCAAGCUGUUGCUGAAACACCAGUGCAAGUAAAGCUAUGUUCUAUUUGUCAAUCUUAUGAACACUUGGUGGAGAAGUGCCCUACAAUUCCAGUUGCUAGAGAAAUGUUUGGAGAUCAAGCAAAUGUCAUUGGACAAUUCAAGCCCAAUAGCAAUGCUUAGUAUGGAAAUACUUACAACUCAAGUUGGAGGAAUCAUCCAAAUUUUUCAUGGAAGCCAAGAGCACCUCAGUACCAACAGCCGACUCAACCAUCUCAACAAGCUUCAAGUCUUGAACAAGCAAUAGUGAAUCUCAGCAAGGUUGUGGGAGAUUUUAUUGGAGACCAAAAAUCCAUCAAUGCUCAACUCAGUCAAAGAAUUGACAGUGUAGAGAAUACUUUGAAUAAAAGGAUGGAUGAGAUGCAAAAUGACUUAUCUCAGAAGAUAGAUAAUCUCCAAUACUCAAUCUCAAGGCUCACUAAUUUGAACACAGUGCAAGAGAAGGGUAGAUUUCCUUCUCAACCUCACAAAAACCCUAAGGGUAUCCAUGAAGUGGAAACUCAUGAGGGAGAAUCUUCAUAGGUGAGAGAUGUCAAAGCCUUGAUCACUCUAAGGAGUGGUAAAAAGGUUGAGUCACCAACACCCAAGCUACAUGUUGAAGAGAAAGAAGAGGGAGGAAAUGAAAGGAAAGAAGAAAAAUAUCAAUGAAGGGAAAGAGGACCAUGAUUCAACAAUGAAUGCAAAUCCGGAUAAAGAGCUUAUUAAGGAAGAACUGAUGAAGAAACACACAUCUCCACCUUUUCUUCAAGCUUUGCAUGGGAAAAAAUGGAUGAAAAAUGCAUCAGAAAUCCUUGAAGUAUUGAGGCAAGUGAAAGUCAAUAUUCCAUUGCUGGAUAUGAUUAAGCAAGUUCCAACAUAUGCAAAAUUCCUAAAGGAUUUGUGUACUAUCAAAAGAUGGUAGAAUGUGAAUAAGAAAGCCUUCUUGACUGAGUAAGUAAGUGCCAUCAUACAAGUCUCCUUUGAAGUACAAAGAUCCGGGAUGUCCUUCCAUUUUAGUCAUGAUUGGAGGAAAGGUAGUGGAAAAAGCUUUGUUAGACUUGGGAGCAAAUGUGAAUUUGCUACCAAAAUCUGUCUACAAGCAAUUGGGACUUGGUGAAUUGAAGCCAACAUCAAUCACUCUAUCUUUAGCUGAUAGAUCAGUGAAAAUUCCAAGGGGGAUAAUUGAAGAUGUCUUAGUUCAAGUUGAUAAUUUCUACUAUUCAGUAGAUUUUGUUGUUCUUGAUAUUGAUCAUUUUGUUAAGGAAGCUAAUUAUGUCCCUAUCAUCCUUGGUAGGCCAUUCCUUGCUACUUCAAAUGCAAUCAUCAAUUGUAGGAAUGGACUUAUGCAACUCACUUUUGGCAACAUGACACUUGAGCUUAAUAUCUUUUAUAUGUCUAAGAAGCUAAUCACUCCGGAAGAAGAAGAAGGUCCAGAAGAGGUAUGCAUUAUUGACACUCUAGUGGAGGAGCAUUGUAAUCAGAAUAUACAAGACAAGUUAAAUGAAAGUCUUGAGGAUCUUGAAGAAGGGUUGUCUGAACCCGCUGAUGUGCUUGCUACUCUAUAAGGUUGGAGGAGGAAAGAAGAGAUUCUAGCUUUAUUCAAUAAAGAGGAGGCACAAGAAGCUGUUAAGGAAGAGAUCCCAAAGCUCAAUUUGAAACCUCUGCCCAUGGAGUUGAAAUACACGUACCUGGAAGAAAAUAAUCAAUGCCCUGUUGUUAUAUCUUCAUCUCUUACUACUCAUCAGGAGAUUUCUCUACUUGAAGUUCUUAAGAGGUGUAAGAAAGCAAUAGGAUGACAAAUAUCUGACUUGAAAAGAAUCAGUCCUUUGGUUUGUACACAUCACAUAUAUAUGGAGGAAUAAGCUAAACCAAUUCGUCAACCUCAAAGAAGAUUGAAUCCUCAUUUACAAGAAGUGGUGUGAGCUGAGGUGCUGAAGCUACUUCAAACGGGUAUUAUUUAUCCCAUAUCUAACAGCCCUUGGGUGAGUCCUACUCAAGUGGUACCAAAGAAGUCAAGGAUUACUGUGGUUCAAAAUGAAAAAGGAGAAGAAAUUGCCACACGCCUCACUUCAGGUUGGAGGGUGUGUAUUGACUAUAGGAAAUUGAAUGUUGUGACAAGGAAAGAUCAUUUUCCACUCCCGUUUAUUGAUCAAGUGCUGGAGAGGGUCUCUGGUCAUCCUUUCUAUUGUUUCUUGGACGGGUACUCAGGGUAUUUCCAAAUUGAAAUUGAUGUUGAAGAUCAGGAGAAGACCACUUUCACAUGUCCAUUUGUAACAUACGCCUACAGAAGAAUGUCUUUUGGUUUAUGCAAUGCACCUGCAACAUUCCAAAGAUGUAUGCUUAGUAUCUUCAGUGAUAUGGUGAAGUGAAUUAUGGAGGUUUUCAUGGAUGAUAUCACCAUAUAUGGAGGUACAUUUGAAGAAUGCUUAAUCAAUUUGGAAGCGGUUCUUAACAGAUGCAUUGAAAAAGACUUGGUGCUCAACUGGGAGAAAUGCCACUUUAUGGUACAUCAAGGAAUUGUCCUUGGCCAUAUCAUCUCCGAGAAAGGCAUUGAAGUUGAUAAAGCAAAGGUGGAACUUAUUGUCAAAUUGCCAUCCCCAACCACUGUAAAAGGAGUAAGGCAAUUCCUUGGCCAUGCAGGGUUCUACAGGAGAUUUAUAAAAGACUUCUAUAAGCUUUCAAAGCCUCUUUGUGAACUUUUAGCUAAGGAUGCUAGUUUAUAUGGGAUGAAAGAUGUCAAAAGAGUUUUGAUCAAUUGAAGCAAUUUUUUACAACCGCUCCAGUAGUGAAGGCUCCCAACUGGCAACUACCCUUUGAAGUAAUGUGUGAUGUCAGUGACUUUGCUAUAAGAGUUGUACUUGGACAAAGAGAAGAUGGGAAGCCCUAUGUGAUUUACUAUGCAAGCAAAACAUUGAACGAAGCUCAAAGGAACUACACAACUACAGAGAAAGAGUUGUUAGCUGUGGUGUUUGCCUUAGACAAGUUUCGUGCUUAUUUGGUAGGGUCUUUCAUCAUUGUUUUCACUGACCAUUCAGCCUUGAAGUAUUUAUUGACAAAGCAAGAUGCAAAAGCAAGGUUGAUUAGAUGGAUUCUUUUAUUACAAGAGUUCGAUCUCCAAAUCAGAGACAAGAAAGGAGUGGAGAAUGUGGUAGCUGACCACUUUUCAAGGUUGGCUAUAGCACAUAAUUCCCAUGUCUUACCGAUUAAUGAUGACUUUCCUGAGGAAUCACUCAUGUUGCUAGAGAAAACUCCUUGGUAUGCUCAUAUUGCUAACUAUUUGGUUACUGUUGAAGUUCCAAGUGAGUGGAAAGCAUAGGACAGGAAGCACUUCUUUGCAAAGAUUCAUGAUUAUUAUUGGGAAGAGCCCUUUAUUUUCAAGUAUUGUGCAGAUCAGAUCAUAAGGAAGUGUGUCCUUGAAGAAGAGCAACAAGGAAUCCUCAGCCAUUGCCAUGAGAAUGCAUGUGGAGGCCACUUUGCCUCUCAGAAAAUAGCCAUGAAGGUGUUGCAAUCAGGGUUUACUUGGCCAUCACUUUUCAAAGAUUCCCACAUCAUGUGUAGGAGUUGUGAUAGAUGCCAAAGGCUUGGGAAGCUUACAAAAAGAAAUCAAAUGCCCAUGAACCUCAUCCUAAUAGUUGAUCUUUUUUAUGUUUGGGGUAUUGACUUCAUGAGACCUUUCCCAAUGUCUUUUGGUAACUCUUAUAUAUUGGUGGGGGUGGACUAUGUUUCUAAAUGGGUUGAGGCAAUCCCCUGUAAACACAAUGAUCACAGGGUGGUUAUCAAAUUUCUUAAGGAGAACAUCUUCUCAAGAUUUGGGGUACCCAAGGCCAUAAUCAGUGAUGGAAGUACUCAUUUUUGCAACAAACCUUUUGAAACCCUAUUAGCCAAGUAUGGAGUGAAGCAUAAGGUAGCUACACCUUAUCACCCUCAAACUUCCAGGCAAGUGGAGUUAGCAAACAGGGAAAUCAAGAGCAUAUUGAUGAAAAUGGUGAUUACAAGCAGAAAAGAUUGGUCUAUUAAGCUUCACGAUUCAUUAUGGGCAUAUAGAACAACUUAUAAGACUAUUCUUGGCAUGUCUCCCUAUCGUCUAGUCUAUGACAAAGCAUGUCAUCUCCUUGUGGAAGUUGAAUAUAAGGCUUGGUGGGCAAUCAAGAGGUUGAACAUGGACUUGAUCAGAGCCGAGGCAAAGAGGUGCUUAGACCUUAAUGAGAUGGAGGAAUUAAGAAAUGAUGCUUACAUCAAUUCCAAAGUUGCAAAACAGAGGAUGAAGAGGUGGCAUGAUCAACUAAUCUCCAACAAAGAAUUCCAAAAAGGACAAAGAGUCUUACUCUAUGACUCAAGGCUCCAUAUCUUUCCCGGGAAGCUCAAGUCAAGGUGGAUAGGUCCUUUCAUUAUUCACCAAGUGCAUCUCAAUGGAGUGGUGGAAUUACUGAAUUCCAAUGGCACAUACAUCUUUAAAGUCAAUGGUCAUUGUCUCAAGCCAUUCAUUGAGUCAUUCAAGCAAUAAAAUGAGGAAAUCAACCUCCUUGAGCCACAAAAAGCCUGAUCAGAGAAGGGUUAGAUGGACUUGGUUUCACCAAAGUCCAUAUUUUUGUUUAAUUAUGUUAAUUUAUAAACUUUGUAAAUUGUUUUGAUUUUAAUUUUGGUCUUAAAUCGUGUUAAUUAUAUGUAACUUAAUCUUUUUGAAUGAUCAAAAUUAGGAGGAAUUGCAAGGAAAUUGAAAGUAGGAAGCUAGGAAUCAAGAGGAACUCAAAAACAAGGAGAAAGCAUGGUUUGCGAAAUUUUGUAGCCUAAAGUGGGCCCCUGCGAAAAUCACAUCCCACUACGAAAAAAUUUCGCAGCCCUCAGGAGCCGCUGCGAAAAUCCCCCCAUUGCUGCGAAAAUCGAUUCUCGUUGCAAAAUAGUUUCGCAGCCGCCUAGCGCCCUCUGCGAAAAUUUUUGCAGGUGCGGAGAGACCCCUUAUCACACGAGUGCCAUUUUGCAGCCAAGUACACCCGUUUCGUAGCUGUGAAAUGGUUGCAAAAUCUCCACGCCUUGAAAUCCUCCAUUUCGUAGCCGAGACACCAUUUCGAAGAGUGUUUCGCAGCUGCGAAACCACCCUUUGGCACACGAGUGCCAUUUCGCAGCGUUGUACGCCCGUUUCGCAACUAUGAAAUGGGCUGCGAAAAUGAUGCCGAAAUUCCCCUCACUGCGAAAACGCCCAGCCGCUGCAAAAUCCACAUCCCCUCGCUGCGAAAAGUCCUGUCUACUGCGAAAAGGAAUAGUGACCCUUGGUGUCCCUUUUAAACGGUAUAAAUUCCAUUUUUCCUAUUCUAAACGGUCAUUUGAACUUCAACAAAGUACCAAGAGGAGCCAAGCCAGAGCACCCUGCCGUCUGCCUCCUCCGCCUGAGCAAGCUGCGCGCAUCUUCGGCCAUUUUCGCUGAUACCGCCAUGGCCAAAACUCGAGGAGCUAAGUCUUCGUCCCCAUCGACUCGCCUGAGAAUCCCAAGAGACACGCCUGUCCAAGAUUCCACCUCUGAGCUGCCACGGCCUCGCCUCGUCCCACCUCCGGUCCAGGACGCACCUACCAGUCCUCCGCCCAGGCGCUAUAAUACAAGGAGAUCACUUACCAUCAUCGGUGUGAGUUCUUCCAGAGGCCAAAAAUCAAGUACCGAUCCCUAAAAGAAGAAAGCCAAGGUCUCUGAGCCAAUUGAUUUGACAGAGUCAUCUUCAGAGCCUAAAUCAGAGCCUACGCCAUCUCCACCGCCUGCCAAAAAGUCUCCACCACCUGCCAAGAAGCCUCAGCUAUCUCAGACACCAGCAAGAGAAUCUCAAAUUCCCUCAGGCAUGACUCCUGAGGUAGCUAUCAAACGCCCCAUGGUCAUACAACCGCCAAUUGAAGGAAAUUUGGAUUGCAGAGCAAGGCCAUUCCACUCUGAGCUCUGUUUUGACAUAGCCACCUUCAGAAUUCAGCCUGAGCUCAGGGAGUCCUUUCGUCUGCUACAGAGGUAUCAUAUGGAGCAUUUGCUGACUCCUAGGGAUUUUUUUAUCCCUGUGUGGCAUUGGACUUCUAUUAGUCCAUGACCACAAACCAGGUCCGAGAUCCUACAGUCAUCCAUUUUACCAUAGACGGACGACAUGGUAUUUUGGGAGCUCGACAUAUAGCAGAGGCACUCAAUAUCCCCUAUGAGCCAGCACGUCCAGAGGAUUUUCGAGCUUGGACUCAUCCUUCACAGAGUAACAUCGUUCAUACUCUGUCCAGAGGAGCAUCCUCACGCCAUUACAUCCUGAGGAAGGAGCUUCCCCCAAGCAUGUUCUUCAUUGAUGCACUCCUCCGCCAUAACAUUUUCCCACUUCAGCAUUGGGUGCAGAGGAGAGGAGUUUUGCUGGAGGCAUUGUAUAGGAUCUCUGAGGGAUACUUCUUUGGCCCUCACCAUCUCAUCAUGGCUGCUCUUCUAUACUUUGAAGAGAAGGUGCAUCGAAAGAAGCUGCUCCGAGCGGAUGCCAUUCCACUCCUCUUUCCCAGACUAUUAUGCCAUAUAUUGGAGCACUUGUGAUACCUAGUAGAGCCUCAGCAUGAGCGUAGACAUAUUUGUCGAGAGAUUUUCACUCUCGACAAAUGGACCAGUAUGACAGCUUAUGAUGGUGUAGACUAAGGAGCACCAGCUGGACCAUAUCAUCCAGAGCAGCCAGAGGAGCCAGUUGACAUACUUGCUGACACUCAGCCACUUGCCCCUGCAGUGGCCCCUACAGAGCAUAUACCAUAGGUUGCAUCCUCUGCUCCUCAGGCCACACCACAGCCUCCCCCUGUUAUUCCACCUAUUUCAGAGUCAUCUCCUUCAGUUGAGCUAAGGAUAACUAUACCCAUUAUCGAGUAUAGAGGCCUAUGCCACACUUUUCAGGCAUUGGCCACUUCUCAGAGCAUCCUCACUCAGCAGAUGACAACCCUUCGUGCUCAUCAGGAGCAGAUUAUUGCCACUUAGGUCCAGCACACUGCCAUCCUAAGGCAGAUUCAACACCAUCUCGGCAUUAUAUUAGCUCCUGAGCAUGCCAUUCCUAGCCCACCAGAGCCAUCACAGGCCCCUUCUUUCAUGCAUGAGACUAUGCCUCCUGAGGAGCCCACUACAGGAGAGGUAGGGGCAGCUGAGCCAUCAUCUCCACAGCAUCCUCCACCCACCAACUGAUCAUUUUGAUAGUUUCUUUUAUAUAUAUUUCGAUUAUGUAUUUCGUUUAUGUAUUUCCUUAUCAUAGUAGCACUUGAAAUCCCAUGCUUUUGAUAUUAUAUACUGGGAUUACUUGUAUUAUUUGCUUUCAUUUUGUACUCACAUGAAUUAAAGUAAUACAAAUCUAUCACUUUUUGAUCACUCUUAGCAUUAUUUUAUUCUUAUUUCCUCUACUCAUAUCUUUUAUUCUUUUUGAAACAUGUGGUUUCUCCAAUCAAUACUCGAAAUUGAUAUCACUCAAGAGGUACCACUUCCUCCCUAUAAUCUUAAUCGCUCAUGCCACAUUGAGGACAAUGUUCAGCUUGGUUGGGGGGAGAGUUGAGGAAGGAAGUUUUUUGUUAUUUAUGCUAAGUUAUUUUGGUAAUUUAGUUUAUUUUUGGUUUAAUUUUAAAAUUUUUUAAAGUUUUUAUUCUAAUCUCCAUGGUUCCUAAGGAAAAAUUUUCAAAUUAAAAUGGGAGAAAUUGAAUUUUUGUUUUUCAUUUGACUUAGAGUUUGUAUUAUGCUUACUAAAGUUGAUGAAUUGUUGAAACUUCUAUUGAAUUCAAGCUUAGUUCUUCCACUUUAAUCUAUUCACACACUAUGCACAAUAGGUUCCGAUUAUAAGAUGAGAAACUAUUUCCUCUUGACUUGGGAAAAUUUUAGACUUGGUACCUUUGACCUCAUUUAAUAGUGUUGGGACACCUUAUAAAAGGCCAAUGAGUCUUUGAAGAAAAAAAAAGAGAAAGAAAGAAAAAUGUUUGCUUGCCUUGAAACCCGAGCAAGGUCUGAGGGGUAUAUGGUGAAAAUCUUUAAAACCUGGUGCCCUAAGCCUUCAUUGGUUGGGAGUCACUGACCUCAACGCUCGUUACAAGGGUGAAUAGGUGGAGUUUAACAUGUUGUAGGUGCUUGGGUAUAAAAUUUCAUUCUCAAAAGUCUGGGGUAAAAUCCGAGGAGUUAGUGGUUGAAAGAUCCUUAAAGCUUGAUGCCCUAAACCUUAAUUGGUUGGGAGUCAUCGAGACAUGGACAAUUUAGAAAAGAAUACCUUUAAGCCUUGUACUCCUACAAUGAAAAAAAAUGGUGAAACAAAAGGGUACGUUCUUAGCCUAUUGAAUUUGGUCAGUUUGCUAAGUGUUGAAAAAGAACUAGGUUGGGGGAGAGAUUAGUUUAGCAUACUAUAUUCGGAAACUAUCAACUAACACUUAGACUUUUGUGGAAAUGAUUUUAAAGCUUCAAUUUGCAUAAUGCCUUCUCUUUAUGAAUUGUGUUUAGCAAAGUAUUUGAUAACUCUUGUUGAAAUUUGAGUUUAUAUUUCUUUAAUGUUCCAUGUGAGAGUUUGAUCAUCAUGCCACUUAAAAUUUUUUGGAAGUGAUACGCAUAAUCUUGUAAAGUAUAUUACUUUUUAGUACUUUCUCUCUCUUUUUUUUGCUAAAGGACUAGCAAUAUGUCGGUUGGGGGCAGUGAUUACUACUCAAAAAGUGCUAUUUGAUGAAUUUAGCAAAAAGCAGUCUUUUAGACCUAGUUUGACAACUUCCACAGGUUUGUCCUUGAGGAUGAUACCUGGAGUACUACAAAUGUCGUAAAGACUCAUUCUUUGAUUUUUCUUAGCUAGAGUUGCUACGUAAUAUACAAAAGACCUUUUUUUUUGUUUUGUUUUCUCUUUUUCAAAACAACGUCAUUUUGAUGCAUUUUGCAUUGAAACAACGUCGUUUUAUCCCUUAAACCCACCCCCUUCCCUUCUGCCUAGGCAUCGCUACUCUGUGCCACUGUCACUCCCUUUCAACUCUAGUCCCACGACGUCACCGACCUGGCAAUGACAUCAUCUCGGCGACACCAUCCCUACCAUAAGUUGUAACAUUGAAACUUUCCAUACUUUUGAAACUUUUAAAGUUUUAAUAUAGAAAUAUCAAAGUCUAUGACUAAAUUUUUUGCUAUAAUUUUGUGAAUUUUAAAUUUGAUCAUUAAAUUAUUCAAAGAAAUCUUGAUCUUUGAAUUGCUUUAUAUACAUAUAAGUAUGUUAUUAAUUGAGAAUACCAAUUAUAUACAUAUAAGUUAAUUUGUCAUUGAUUGAAAUGGAGAUAUGUGAUAAAGAAAAGUUGUUUUUUUAGUAUCAUAGUUAAAUUAAAAAAUAAUAAUAAUAAGAUAGUGAAUUAGUGAUUCAAUAAUAUAUGAAUAUUUCAAUCUUAGCAUUUUAUAAGUGUGGUUAAAUAUGAACUAUAGAAUAAAAAUACAAAGAAAUAAUAUUUAAAUACAAAAACACAAGAUUAUAAGUCUUUCACUCACAUUUUUAUAUUUUUAUUUUUAUUUAUUUUAUUAGUUUAUUUCCAUUAUUAUUUAUUUUAAUUUUACAAUUGUAAAUUUUAAAAUUUUAUGAUUUUUAAAAUGUAUAAUUUUAAUUUUAAUUAAUGAAAACAUUGUAAUUUUAAAUAAAUUUUUGAAUACAUUUUGUUACUUAGAAUUUAUCAUUUUUAUUUCUAAAAUUAUUUUAAUUUUAAUAAUAUAUAAAAUAUAUAUUUAUAAUAUCACAUGUUCGACCGCCAAUCCAACCAAUGAAUUGUGAAUCGAUAAUUUUUUUGGUUCAAUGACUAGUCUGAUUCUAAAAACAUUGAAAUUAAUUGUGAAAGGAAGACCAUUGAAAGUUGAAACUCCAUUGUGGGCCCUUAUCCCACCAUUGAUAGCUGCUAAGAUCUGCCAAACUUAAUUAGAAAUGGUGAGGGGUUUUGAAAGUUGGAGAAAGCGAUGGGAUUGAGUUUGAAUUUUCAAGAGACAGCAAGCUCUGCUUCACCUAUUAACAUUUAAACCCAAUUUCUCAAUUAAAAUAAAAUAAAAUAAAAUAAAAUAAAAUUUUAAAAAUUUUAUAUGCAAGUUAGAUGAAAAAUAAUUUAUCAUAUAUUAGUAAAAUUGUCAUUAAAAAAGAAUGAAUAUGACUAAGAUAGACUAAGAUAAGUUUUUUUUUUCCACAUUUUGUUCUCUUAUUUUUGAAGUAAAUUUAUAAUUUAUUUAAUGAAUUCUUACUAACAAAACCAAUCAAAUAAUAUAAAAAUCACUUAAUUCAAUAAGAAAUGAAUUUACAAUAUAAAGUUCCAAAAUCCAAACCGAGAUUUAACUACAUGGUAUCAUAACUCAUUCAAUUUUCAAUAAAAUUGUAAUAAAAAAAUGUACCAUAAAUGAAUUUAUUACAAAAUUUUAAAUUUAGCUCCUUAUAAUACAAUAAAAUCAAAAGAAAUCAAUUCUCAUCAAUUUUAAUGAAUUUUCUCUAAUUAAAACUCUAUAAUUCAAGUGCAUUUAAAUAUCCACUGGAGUUAAUAAUUUUAAUUAAUUUUAAAAAAUCCUAAAUUAAUUUUAAAAAAUCAAAAGUUAGGAGGUGAUGUCUUUCCCUAAAUUAAAAAUCCAAACAUUAAAGAAUUAAUCCGAAUAAUCAAACAUAUGUUUCAAUCACAAAUUCAUAAAUUUAAAGAUGUAUCACAUAAAACUGCUAAGUAAUUAAUACAACUUAAUUUAGAAAAUUUUCAACACUUUAUUAGUAAUCAAACAUAAUUAAAGAAACCCUAACCAUCAAUUAAUUAUCAAUUUCUUAACCAACUAUAUAAUUAAUUAUUAUAAACUUUUGUUAUUAUAAUAAAUGAAGUAUUUAAAAUAUGUUAAAUUACUUUUUUUUUUCAAAUGAUUAGUUUUCGAAUAUUUGUAUUUGAAUUACAUAAAAUGAGAUGACACAUAAUCAUUGAAUCUUAGUGGUUAUUUUUAGCAUAUAAAAAUAAAUAGAUUUAAAUAAUUUUUAAAUAUAUUAAAUUAUUAUUUUUUUAAAUGAUUAAUUUUCAAAUAUCUUUAUUUCAAUUAUAUAAAAUUAGAAGAAACAUAAUUAUUAAUAUCAUUAUAGGGUGUUUUUAGCAUAUAAAAAUAAAUAAAUUUAACAGCUAGUGACGUUCUAAUAUCAAUAAAUUAUAGAACUUUAGUGUUUAACAGUAUUAAAAUAUAUAAAAGGUGUAAUCUCGAAAGGACAAUAGUCCAAUGUUUUCAAAGUUGAGUUGGUCCUUCAAUCAUAAAUAUUACUGAAUUAUGUAUAAUAUAUAAUACCAUGCAAUAUCAUAAAUAUAUAAUUUAUAUUUUUAAAAAAUAAUAUAUAUAACAUUAUAAAACUUAAUAAUAUUUCAUCUUUUAUAUUUAUUUAGUAUUAUCAUAUUAAAUUAAGAAUGAAUAUAAAUAUAUUAAAAAUAUUAUUAAGUAAGACAUGCAUAAUAUUUAAAUAUGAAAAUAUAUUCAACCUUCAAAAUCAUACCAAAAUGAAAUAGGGAGAAUUACCCUUAAGGGUAGGCUGGGGAAAAAAAUUACCAAGAAGGGUGGGUAAAUUUGAUAAUUCUUCUGAAGGCCUGACAUUUUUAUUAGACCAAUUUACCCUCAAUUAAAUUCUAAAAUUAUAAUUUAUAACGAAUAAAAGAAUUGAAAAAAAAAAAAAGACUAUCGUUCCAAUGUCUUCCCUUUCGCAUCUUCUCGUCAAAGCUUCCCUUUCGCAUGAUCUGGGUGGCUGCAUUUCCUACCCCUUUAGAAAAGCCUUGUCCUCAAGGCUAAAAUAGAGGAAACUUUUGUUGCAACUUAAAUGCAUGCUCCCACGUUGCAACUUACAGAAAGGAAUUUGACCAUUGAACCAGCCAUUGUGUCACCAGACGAUUAUUCCAUUUGGAUCUGCCUCUGGAAGUCCGCGGGAGACACCACUGGAUCUCCAACAACAUGGCGAUCCUCCGAUCCUAGAUCCGAUCUCACUGAAUAAUCCUUGGGAAGCACAUCUGGAACCAUGGGUGGAGGCGUUGGAUCCUACAAUUUCACGGGGGAGGGGGGGCGGAGCGAGCCCUUUAUCCAACCCAAACAGAAAAUCCGGAUUGGUCUCGGAGGCCGCCGCCUGAGGUGAAGAACCUUCCAGAGGCUGGAUCUGCACAAAAGCCCCACUAGUCCAAGGUAAAGUCCUCACAAAGCCUUCCAAAUCCAUCCCAAUCCCCCAAAAUAUUUCAUUUCAAAGCCCCCAUAUUUAUAUUUAUGGCGUUUCCACCUUGAGAUCAGAAGCAAUACAAAUCUUUAUUUGUUACAUUCUACUUAUUUCAUGCUUUGCCCUAGGUGUUUUGGGUUUGGGUCUGUUUGGUUGCUGAGAAAAUUUAGGAAAAAAAGAAAUAAACUUGGGGUUUAAUUUUCAAUUUUUGAGUGCAGGGAAAACGGAAAUAAAUUGGUUGCUGAAAAAAUUUGGGAAAAAAAGAAAUAAACUUGGGGUUUCAUUUUCAAUUUUUGAGUAUAGGGAAACCCAAAAACGGAAAUAAAAAAAGUCAACUCACCAGGGUUUUUCUUUUGUUUUGCUUUUCGUUUUCUCAGGAACCAAACGGUGGGCGAUUGCAAGGCUUUUCUUUGGCCGAGAGUGGUUUUGUGCUUUGCUUGGGUGGUGGGAAAAAGGUAAGGAAAGAAAAGAAAUUGAUGUCUUAGAAUAUUGAGUUUCUCAUUUUCUGGGACCUGGAAGUAAUUGGCUCAGCCGAGAUGUUUCAUCUUCCAGGAAAUGGAGACAAUUAUAUACUUAAUUGCCUUUCAUUUGUUGCAAACUAAAUUGAGGCCUAAGGUUAAAUUGUUCUUGUCUCACUGAAAUGGAUUUAGCUAGCAAAAUAGUUCCAGGACUUUAUCUUUUGCUUAAACAAUUUAGAAAAUGAAAGAAAUUUGGAGUCUUAGAUUUUUCCUAGGGCAUUGUUUGGUUACUGAGAAAACAAUAAAGAGUAAAGAAAAGAAGAAAGAAAAAUUGAAAGCACGUGUCCUCCGUUUUGGUUCCCACAAACCCACAAUUUGACCACACAAAGUAUUGUAAACAACUUCCUACAAAACAUUAAAAUUUCUUUAGAAGUUAGAACACAUGGAAGCAAAAAAAAAAAUGCAACACCUUUUCUUAUUUAUUUAGUGUUGUCGGCAAUCAAAUCUAAGUUAUAGUUAUAUGGAUUCCUAAUACAUAUAGUUGGAUGAUAUAUAUGAAUUUUGAUAUAAGUGAAAACACGUAAACUCCCGAAAAUUCUUAAAAAAGUAAUACAAAUUAAAAGUUAAAGCCUUCAAUUUUUUUUUUUUAAAAAAAUAACAUAAAGAUAAUUUUGGCAAAUGUUAUUGGCUUACCGCAUUAAAAUUUCUUUAGAAGUUAGAACACUUGGAAGCAAAAAAAAAAAUGCAAGACCUUUUCUUAUUUAUUUAGUGUUGUCGGCAAUCAAAUGUAAGUUAUAGUUAUAUGGAUUCCUAAUACAUAUAGUUGGAUGAUAUAUAUGAAUUUUGAUAUAAGUGAAAACACGUAAACUCCCGAAAACUCUUUAAAAAGUAAUACAAAUUAAAAGUUAAAGCCUUCAAUUUUUUUUUAAAAAAAAAUAACACAGAGAUAAUUUUGGCAAAUGUUAUUGGCUUACCGCAUUAAAAUUUCUUUAGAAGUUAGAACACGUGGAAGCAAAAAAAAAAAUGCAAGACCUUUUCUUAUUUAUUUAGUGUUGUCGACAAUCAAAUGUAAGUUAUAGUUAUAUGGAUUCCUAAUACAUGUAGUUGGAUGAUAUAUAUGAAUUUUGAUAUAAGUGAAAACAUGUAAACUCCCGAAAAUUCUUAAAAAAGUAAUACAAAUUAAAAGUUAAAGCCUUCAAUUUUUAUUUUUUUAAAAAAACACAGAGAUAAUUUUGGCAAAUGUUAUUGGCUUACUGCAUUAUAAUAUUUUUUAAGCUUCCUGAUUUCCUCAUGCAGAAAAGGAUAAUGGAAAAUAGUGCCAUGGAAGGGCAUAAUAUGCAAUUACUAGUUAACUCAGAAAUUUGGUCUUUAAUUAAUUAUAAUAUUUGCAUAUUCUUUUCUUUUGUUUUAUUCUAAUUUGGGGGAAUUAUUACAGUCCCCGAUUCUCAUAUUCGUAUGACAAUAGACCUUUUAAGUAGUGUGAAUGGCUAAGGUUUAGGAUUGUGUUUCCAAUAUUGUCUUAGGGUAUAUUGGACAUUAAUUUUUAAUGCAAACAAAAUAUCAUCUCUUUUUCUGCAUUUCAAUUCUUUCGAAUUUAAUAUAUAUUCUUGGGAGCUGUCAGACACCAUAUUGGAUGGCCAAGGGACAUAGCAUAUGAAAAAAUAAACAUAAAUAUAUUAAAUUAUAUUGUAAUAUAUUGUAACGUUAGUGUAUUUGUAUUGUAAGUAUAAUGCAUUUAUGUUGUACCUAGUUUGUAUAAAUUAUAUAUGAUUUAAAAGGUUAGCCAUGAUGAGCAUUAACAAUGUGUACAUAUUGGAUUACCAUCAAACAACUUAAAUUUGUUAUCCACUAAUACAAUGGCUCUGUGUGUUUUUAGUAGCAUGUAUGUAACUGUAUUUGGGAUCACUAAUAGUAGUUAAACCAAAAUAAAUAAGGGUAGAAUACAAAUGCCCUACAUUUACAAUACAAUUGCACUAGAAGUACAACAUAUUACAACAUUACUUGAUUCAUUAUACAUUUAAUUAUGACAAUUGAUUAUUUGAUAUAAAUUCUAUAGUGCAGUAUGGAGUAUAAUACAUGGAUAAAAGGAAAAAAACAAUACAAUACAACCAGGUUUGAACAUUCUUUUAAUUAGUAUUAUUUUAUUUUGACUAUAUUAAUGUUUGACAUUGUUGUUUAAUUUGAUUGUUUUAAUUUUUAUUUUAUAUUAUCAUUUAUUUACUUUUAUAGGAGGUCAAAAUAAAUAGUCGAUGCUCCAGCAAAAAACUUAGACAUCUACUUGAUGAGCUAAGUGAUGAAAAGAAGAGUACAAUUCAACAUAUUGGCUUUGGUGGAUUACUUCAGCUCUCUUCCACAGAGAUAAGGGAUAGCUUAUGUAGAUGGAUAGUAGCUCAUUUCAAUAUAGUCCACUGUAGGUUAGACAUAGGAUAAGAAAGGCAAUUUCCAAUAACUUGUUCUGAUGUAGGUGAAAUUCUGGGUAUUCCAUAUAUUGGUAGGAGGCUCCUACUUUCACCUACCAAUAGGAAUAAUAGGAUGGAAAACCUAUCAAAUCUUAGAGAUAGGCUGAUUUUAAUGGAAGACAUGGCCGAGUUCAAAAAAUUGUUUAUCUUCUUCUCAUGUGCUACAUUACUUGCUCCAACAUCAAAGUUGGAUGGUAGUCAUGAGUUGUGGUGUACUUUGCUUGUUGGAGACUUUGACAUCAAUGUUAAUUAGGGUCAAUUUGUACUUGACACACUGGUUGCUGGAAUUAGACAUUUUCGAUUGGGUAAAGGCUCAUGGUUUACAGGUUGCCUUAUUUUUUUACAGGUAGAUACCUUUUUUUAUUAAAUGCUGAAGGUUUCCAUAUCAUUUUCUAUGUUUUAACAAGUCUUUUCUAAAUAACAUAUUGAUGUGUGGAAUAUUUGUGUUUCAGCUUUUUUAUGUAAAUAAAUUUUACAUUCCAACCAUGUUGGUGCCACGUACCAUCCCAAUAUGUGCAGCGUGGACUGAUGACUUGAUGAAGAAAAGGGUGCAUGCAGAAUUGCAUGAUUAUGGUGAUUUUGGACUAGCUGAUGUAAGGGACAAUUUUCUUUCAACAUUUUCUUUUAUUUUCAUAUUUGAAAAAUAAAUUUAUAAAAAUUAUAUAUUCUUCUUUUUAUUAUUGUAGGUUCAAGAAGAUGAAAGGAGGGAAGAUGCACAUGAAGACCCUGGUAAUCCAGUAAAUGAAGUUAAAGAAGUGACUACUGAUGUGAGAACCUUCUACAUCUAUUCUUUUAUUUAAAGAGAAAACCAAACACGUUAUGCAUAAUAAUAUACAUCUUUGACACUUUGUACCAUUUUGUAGGAAAUUAUAGCAGAAUAUAAUGCAGCGGAGAAACAAAUUCACCAAUUGCUUCGAACAAUGAGAGGAGCAAUUGAUAAACUAGCAAAGCGGCAGAAUACAAAUAAAACCCCAUCAUUUUCUCAUCAAAGCAGAAGUCAUAAUCAACCUCAUAUCAAUGAUUCUUUCCCAUCACCACCACAUGGUAGUACGAUUUUUAUAGCACUAGUCAUUACAAUUUUGUAUUACUUUUAAUUUAAUUGCAAAUGUUGUAUAAUUUUUUUUUUUUGGAAAAAUUAAUUUUGGUUAUUAUGCAUUCUGAAAUUAGCUUAUGGAUCGCCACUGAAUGAUCGUUUUGCUCAUGGUGAAGAUAAUGCAGGCCCAUCGACCUCACAACCAGCAGCGCAGCAUAACAGUAUACUUUCUGCUUCUUUAUGUUUUAAUAUCAAAAUAAUAAUGAGUAUAUAAUAAUGGCUAGUAUUUCCUGUGCGUGUUAUUUUCAUUAAUGAAUUUUAUUUUCUCUUAUUUUCUAUACAUACAGUGGAGGAUGAAGUUCAGAUGAAUGCUAUUAUUCCUUACGAGACUGGACAUCCUCCAAUACGUUCAUAUCGACUACAUCGACAUGCUACUGCCCUACAAUCACCAUACGUGGUACAACCGUCAAUCAAAUUUUCAGCGUCUUCAUCUGUAGCAAAGCAAGUUUUGGCAUAUGCAUUGGACGAUACACGUGAUGAAAGGUAAGGUUGAACUUAAUUUAGUAUAAACAAAUACAAUUAAGAUAGGCAAUUGAAAUAAUUAGUUUUAAUUUCUAACAUCAUAAUUAUUUAUGUGUAGCCAAAUAUUAUGUUCCAUGCACAAUUUCUUCUUGACAAGGUUUGACUUGAAAUGCUUGGGACCCGACAAAUUGGUUGACAAUAAGGUAUUCAUAUUUAGUUAUGUGAAGUUAGGAUAAAAUUACUCUAAAACUAUAUAUCUAAUUUUCAUUAAUUUACAUGAAGGUUGUAACCAUGCAUUGUCGAAUUUUGAAUGGUAUGGAUAAAGAAAAUAGGAAGCAUUUCUUAUCUCCAAACUUUGUGGUAAGAUAUGUUGUAAGAAUUAUAGAUUGGUUUUCUUGUUUUACGUAGAUUGUUUUAAUCUAAUGUAUGGUUUGUAAUUUUUUUUAUUACAGUCUGAUGUGGAAAACAAGAGGGGUUCCUUAUCUCCAAAAUACAUAUGUGACAAUUUAUGGAAAUAUUUCAAAAAUACUCGGUUGUGCACAUAUGAACAGGUUUUAUUUAGUUUAAUAAAAGUACUUUGUAGUUGGAUAUUUUUAAGUAUUGUGCAGAAAAUACAUGAACACAACUAAUUUGAUAAAAUCAUUGUUUUAUUUUUUAUUUUUUUUGUUCCUUUUAGUUGUUCAUACCAAUAUGCAGGAAAAAUCACUGGUAUUUAAUCAUUUUGAAUAUUCAUGCGAAAAGAAUCGAGUUGUUGGAUUCAUUAAUUGACGGAAGGAAAAAACGGAUGGAUGCCUUCAUAGAGAAACUAGUAAAUAUAGUUAUAGUCCAAUUACUUAUGUGAAUCGUUGUCAUUAUUUUUUAAAGAUGUCCAUAUUUAUAAUUGUAUAUUGUGUUAAGGUGAACGUUUUGUCAACUGUCAUUGGGAUUCAAGAAAGAAGACCAUCAGUGGACAUGACAGAAUUUGAAUUUGUUGUUCCAGAAGUUGUCCAACAAUUGAAUCCGUAAGUUGCAAGAUUUGUAUUCCUCUUUAACUAUGGAAAGCAAAUCAGGUUAUAAAAUUACUAAUUUGAUACCCAAUUGACUUAUAAUUUCCUUAAUUACUAUUUGCAGAACGGAUUGUGGCAUAUUUGUAAUCAAGUUUAUGCAAUUAUGGAGUAACGGUGGACUUUCUCGUGCAAUUGCAAAUGUAUUAUAUUGUGGUGAAUAAAAUAUAUAUUUUUUUUUAUGAUCGUGAAUUUUUCUUAAUAUUAUAUUAUAUACUCUUUUGUACAGGACAAGGUCAUAAAGUACAGGGAAAAACUCCUAACACAACUGAUAAUGUCUCCAGAAAAUGAAGUCAGGGAAAAUGUAUACCAGGCUAUGGAUCAGUGAUGUUGUAAUUUUUUUGGUUUAUAGUUGUUGAUAUUUUUUUAUAGUUUAAUGGAGUUCCAUUUCCAAAUUUACUAGUCUGAUAUUUUUUUACAGAUUGGCUUACAUCAACUAAUUUGUUUGGAACUCAUAGUUGCUACUAUUUAUUAAUAAUUAUUGUUAUGGCAUCAUUUGUUUGUGAUCUUCAGAAUUGUUGUAGGCAUUGCACUGUCAACUCAUCAUUUCCCAAACUCCAUGGUAUCAAAUUGAUAUCACACAUUGAUAACUCCAACGCAUCAAUGAUAGGCCAAUCUGGGAUAACUUAGCUCAGCUACUUGGGUGAUCAAUUUUUUUUUUCUGCCAAAGCAGAAUUGAAAUAACAACAUCAAGAACAAAACAAAAAGACUAUCAUAUUUGUUGUACUUCACAAAGUUUGGGAUCAGACUGACGUGCAAAAAAUAUUCAGCAUGGCAAAAAAACCAUUAAGCCUAUGCUAACCUGUUUGAAUCUCUCAUCAUUUCCCAAACUCCAAAAUCUGAGAUUGAUUUCAUAAUUAUAUUGUCAUACAAUGAGAAAUCUAACCCAUAAAAUAAACACACAAUGAGGUCUAUUAUUAUAACUCCAACAACAUAAAAUUGCACAAUCACUGAUUCAUUGUAGUAAUUUUUUUUCACUGUAGUAAUAAACACACAAUGAGGUCUAUUAUUUUAUCUUAUUUUAAAAAAUUCCUAUUAAACAUAUUACAUUUUCAAGAAACCUAUAAGAGAGUAAUUUCAAGUAUUUCAAAGUCUUUAUAACUAAAUGACAAAAGGUUUUACACUCUAGUUUUGCAUGGUAAAAGCUACCAUUUUGAGUCCAUUUCAACGAAAAAAAUUAUUAAAAAAAUAGAAAAAUAAGAAAUAGAUUUUAAUUUAAUAAAUUAAAAAAUUAAUAUAAUUUAUUUUUACAGGCAAAUAAGUUUAUGAAUAAUUCUAUUCUAUAAUGUUUUCAGAUUGUUGCAAUUUUUUUUUUAAAAAAAAAAAAAUACAAUAGCUCAUUAUCAAAGCUAAGAAGACAUUUCUAAUUUGAGGUUACAAAAAAAAAAAAAAAAAAAAAUUAUUGAACCAUUAUAUAUAAGAAAUUGGUAAUCAACCCAUGAAAUUGGACUUUAUUUAGUCAAAAGAUUGCAUUGUUAGUUUAUGUUGUAAUUUAUCAUACAGUUAGUGUUUUUUUAUCGUAAUGUUAGUGAAUUUAUGUUGUAAAUGUAAUUAAAAAUGUAGGCAAAAUUGUGAACUAUUAUAAUUAAAAAUCUAAUACAAGUCCACAUAAUGGAGAUAAAUAACCUAUUACAAAUAACUCCAAAUACAAAUACAUCAAAGUACAAUACAAUUAAGCAUUACAUAUAUAAUCCAAAACUUAAUAGACAUGAAGUAAGUGUAUGAUUAAGCAAUUUUCAAACAUAGAACAAAAAAUAAAAGUAGUCCUACUACAAUUACUUUCUGCAUGAACUCAAUUCUUGUUAAAAUAUGUUUAAAAUCUUCAUCCACGCCAUACAUUCUUCUUUGAACAACCUCUUCUGGUUCUUGGUAGGUGUUGCCAUCACCAUUUCCUUCCAGGAAUGCCCAUUUAAAGAAAUGACAGUCAUCUCUAGUAUUUGCAUAUUGACAACAAUAAUAUAACCUAUUUGGGUUAUCCUUUGAUUCAGAGAUUCUAACAGCCGCCCUCUGUCUGGGUGAACAUUUACACAUACAAUUAUGAUAAAGUAGAUAUUCACCAUUUCUAGUAUUACCUCUUAUAUUUCUAAAUGAAGCACUUGAAGAUGCCAUGAUGUAACCUGUAUUUCAAUGGAAAACAAGUUAAACAAAUGUAAUGAACAUGUACAAAGUCAAUAAUGAUCUUCAAAAUAACAUUAAAAACAUGGUUACAAACCACCCUAAAUAAUGAUAAGAUCAUAAGUCUAAAAUAGUGGCAUAUGUAAUACAAACAUCUUUUUCAUGACAAUCAAGUAAAUAAGUAAGUUCCAAAACAAAUUCUUACAGAUUCUAAUUUCAUAAACCACACAUAUCAUCACAAUCAAAAUAAGAUAAAAAGUAGCAUGUCACCAUACAAGCAUAACACUAGAAUCAUGGAGCGGGUAAUGGAUUUUUGCAUGAAGCUCGAUUAUGGCCUGCAACUUGACAUCGUGAACAGAAGAUAAGCCUUUUUGAACAAAAUUGAGACUCUAUUUGACGGUGUCGAGGCCUUCCAGGUGGUCGUUUUGAGCAUAGAGGUUUAAGUGAAGGAUAUAAGCGACCUUGAGCAUCACGAACACAUCCAUCAGCAUCAACUAUAGGCAUAUUGUGAUUUGGAAUUGAAUUGAAGUGUCCAGAAUAUAUCAACUCUUGCAUUGGAAGCUUGAAAUAUGAGUCAACAUAUUCAUAAACAUCUUGUUUCAUCUGGCGUAUUGUUGCACAUGCAUGCUCACAAGGUAUUCCGGCCAUUUGCCAAGCCUUACAAGUACAUGUACGCUCUCUCAAAUUCACGUCUACAUAUACUUUCAUAUCGAAUACCUUAAACACACCACCAACAUAGGGAUAUACAGGCAAUGACCCACUCUUUAUAAUGUUAUCCAACCACUUUUCCUCGGUCUUUGGGCCAAUUGGAGCUUUCCAAUUUUCUGUAGUACCCAUAUGAUCACAUGCUAGAUGAGCAAACUUAUCCAUAUUUGUCAUUACUAAGUUGAAAACUGUGUAAUGACGUUCCUCCUUCAGCCAAGCAUUGAAUGAUUCAGCAAGAUUAGUUGUCAUCUUAUCCCACUGUUUUUUAGCAAACUUUGACAUUGCCCAAUGUUGUGGACUGUUCUCUUCAACCCACUUUGCUAGGUCACUAUUAUAUGUCUUUAAUUUUUCCAUGGCUACAACAUAAUCAUCAUCCAACCUAGCAUACACAACAUUAUCAAGUAGCAACAAUGCAUCCAUUUUACAUUUUUUUCCCUUCAUACUAUGCUUCGUCACAUAGCUACUAAAAUUCUCUUUCACAUAACGAUAACAAUAUGCAUGAUUUUCUACUCCAAAAAGUUGAGAAACAUUACGAAGGAUUGCUUGAUGCCUAUCUGAUAUUAUGACUACCUCUUUAUCUUGAAGUAUGCCCUUCAAUUUCUGCAAAAACCAUAGCCAAUCCUCAUAGUUUUCUGAACUUACAACACCAAAUGCAAUUGGGAACAUGCCAUCAUCAGCAUCAUAAGCUGUUGUAGAAAAUAAAGAGCCCCUAUACGAUCCACUCAAAUGAGUUGAGUCAAUUGCAAUAACAGGUCAACAACCCAUUAAAAACCCUUGAAUUGAAAAAGAAUGUGCAAUGAACAAUUGCCAAAAAUGCCCAUCUUGUCUGCUAUAUUCAACAAUCGUCCCUGGAUUAAUGUCUACCAAUCUUUGACAUAACCAUGGCAACAACAUAUAUGAGUUUUCUGGAAGACCAUAUAUUCUCUCUUUUGCCAUUUCUUUGUAUGUCCAAGCUUGCUUAUAACUCACUGAAACACCAUACCGACUCCUGAAGUCUUUGCAAAUUUGACGGGGCAAAUACUGAGGGGUUGCCCUUAUUACUUGCUCUAUGACACGAGCACCUCUCCUUCCCCGCAUUGAAGGUUGGCUUGAACACUCAACAUCUGCACAAUGAUUGUGUACAUCAAUGAAGAUGUUAACCUUCAAAAUUUUGGUUGUGCCUACUGAAUUAGCAGUUAUUCUCCAAGGGCACCCAUCCACUAAACAACACACAGAUAUUCGCUUUGGAGAGUUCUUUUUGAAUUUGCAUUGAAAUCUACCAACUAAUGACAUCGUAUAUAAUGCAUUUCUAAAUUUAUCUGCAUUAGGAAAACUAUGCCCACUCCCAAUAAUAGGUUGAGGACAAAGACUUAAAUCAUGUGGCAUAACUUCAGUUUCUGCACAUCUGGACAUGAAGCCUUGAGAAAGUCCUAAAUUAGACUCAUUGUUUGCUUGACAUGAUGCAGUUGAAUUGUGUGUUUCCUCCGUACUAUUGUGACUGCAUAUUAUAGCACACUCAGUAAUUAAUAUUAAAAGCACUUUGCAUCAUGGAAUUAAUGACAACUAAUACAAGAUAUAUCACUUACCAAUAAUCAUUUUGCACAUUGACUAUACCUCCUUCAACUUCUACUCUUCGAGUCCGUUUUAAUAAAUAAAUACGAGCAUAAUCAUAACUAUGGGAUAACAUCAUAUGCAUGUCCUCAUCAUCAUCCAACUGUUGAAGUGCAGAUGGAUCAAACUCAAGGGUGUAAUGAAAUGUAUAUCCAUUUGAAUUAAUAUUCAACCGUUCACAUGCCUUUAAAACAAAUUCAGCAUAUGACAUCCUUUGUCCAAUGUACAUGCCUUUUUGUUGUCCACCCUUGUAUUGUAUUUGUUUAUCCUCCUUAGGUACAAUCUCCCAUUCUUCAUGAAGGUAGCCAUAAAUGGAAUUUUCCAAGUCCAUUUACCAAUUCAGAAGUACGUCUUCUUUCACCGAUAAUCAAAUCAAUCUAUUUCACAAUAUUACAAUCAAUGAAAAUUUUACAACGAAUACAAAAUAAACAAAUGAAAAUUAUAAUCAAUUGAGACAUAUUUUAUAUAAUAAAUAACAAUAUUUGUUGUAUAUUAUACAUGUUAGGGAUAUGCCAAACAAAGAACCCAUAAUUGCCCAGUUUCAUAAGAAAUUUGACAUUUUCAAAAUUUUACCUUAUCGUAAUGUAUCGUAAUGUUAUUGUAUUUGUAUUGUAAUUGUAGUGUAUUUUUAUUAUACCUCUAUAUUUUUAUAUAAAAAAAAUUAAUUUUAUAGAUUUUUUUUUUAUCCAUCAUUGGAUUAUCAUCAACAACUUCAUGUAUUGAAAUUACAAUAGUGUAUUUUUGUUGUUGUUUUUUUUUUUAUAAUUUUGGCUUGCAAGGAUGCUUUAUGAUAGGAAUACAACAUGAUAGCCUAGAAAUGCCAAUUCAGUAAAAAAUAAUUCAAUAUUUUGUCAUUUUGGUAUAUUGUAAUGUAUCAUAAUGUUAAUGUUUUUUCAUUGUAACUAUAUUGCAUUUGUAUUGUACUUAUACUUUAUAACUGAAAUAAUGGUUCUUUUACACAACCUUCAAACUACUAGGCAUUCGACUCAUCAUACCAAAAUAAUACUUAUACAAAAAGGUAACAAAUUUAUAACAAAAAUAUAGUGAUCUUAAUUACUCUUUAACAAAUUCAUAAUAAAAGGCAAAAUGGUCUCGUACAAAGGGGAUUUCAGUUUUCAAUGACAAUCCAAAUAUGUUCAUAAAUACACAAACAAAGUGGUCCCAAACAAGCAUGAAACAACUGAGAACAUUUUUUCUUCAAUCAUGUCAAAAAGUCUUAACAACAAAACUAAAGUGCAAACCUGUUCAAUGGAAAUCAAUAAUAAUCAUAUCAAACAACCCACCCAGAAAAUAAAUUAAAAAUAAAAACACAUCUUCAAUAUGACCAAAAUAAUAUAAAAAAAUUCAAAAUAAUAAAUUUAAACAACAUUUAAAAAAAUGUAAUUUCUUUCUCAAAACCUCAUUCAAUAUUUCAGAUCUAAUAUCUUACAGCUACAUUGUUAAAAUUAUUAACUUUUCCUUCAUUCAAUCCGAUUUUUAAAUUAUUUAUUUAUUUUUCCAUAAACUGGCGUUUUUUUUGUAUUAAAAAAAAAAAAACUGACCUUUAAUGGAUUUCUUGCUAGAUUCACACAAAAAAAAAACAAGUUUUGUGUAAACAGUUGCAGAGAAUGACCUGAAGUGCUGGACCUUUUUCCUUUCUCUUUUUUCUUCUACAACACUGACAAGCUCCAGGUAGGUUAAAGAAAACUCUUUUUUAUUUUCUGUUGCUUUUCACUUAUUAAGGGUAGUAUUGGCAUUUAAACAAAAGGAAUUAUCAUAAUUUUACCCUACCCUUUACAAUAAUUAUCAAAUUUACCCACCCUCAUCAGUCAUAUUUUUCCCCAGCCUACCCUUAAGGGUAAUUCUCCCAAUGAAAUAUCAGCAUCCGACUCCCGUGCUACCAUUGAUACUGUUUUUGGUACCAUUUUCGGAACAUUUUCACCUUCCAAUAUUUGGAAUUGCUCACUUAAACCGAGGUGGGACAUAAGAAGGCAGACAUGAGUGAGUAGCUCCCCGCCUCGCCGGAGCUCCUGACCGUGUUGAAUCCAUCCACAAUGACUGGCAGCAUAGCACAACAUCUCCACCCACACCUCACUUACCAUCAUCCAUUUCUCUUCCACGCCCAUCUCCAUUUCCAAUGAUUUCAACGCUUUGGCAAGCCUACAUGCCUCGAAUAACACCGACUUGCUUUUAUCUCCUUUCACAUCUUUGGGCUCAACUUCCGUGUCAACUCCAAGCAACAAUGUGGAAGCUUCAAUUCUGUUAGAUAUGUUCUUGCUUCUUUGCUGGAAAAAUCUUUUGGCCUCUGCAUAAGUGUCUCGGAACCUAAACUCUCCUAUCCCUUUUGGCAGCAUAAAUGGACACAUGACUAGCAGAUACAACAUAUACUCAGACAAGCAUUUGCUUAUUUCGCAUCUUGACUUGAGAUUGGUAUCCGGCGAUUUGUCCACAUCACAAGGGUAACAGAGAUCUGUAGCAAUAUGCCAAAGGAGGAGGCUGUGAUCAAAUUCCACAUCAACUAUACUCCAACCGAGUCUAUCAAAAGACCCAUUUUUUCUGGUCACAUAAUCACCUCUACGUUUGAGUAGCGACUUGAGAUCCCUGACAUCGUUUGUCAUCUCUACGAGGCAGCUGAAGAUGGGUUCCUUCAUAUCAUAGACCUUCUCCCAAGUCAUGUACCAGUAUCUCCAAGAAUCUGUUCAUGUCAAAGAACCUGGGAACCUCAUCAAACUUGGUUUCGUCUCUGAGGCAAGAAUCGAUAAAGUUGUUCUGUGCCAUGCGUCUGGUCCAUCUCUUGUCACUCGUUAGAACCGAUCGAAAAGAGGUAAUGGCUCGGCAAAUGGAAUCAGUCAGGAAGCACUUCUUACUGCUCAACCAGGCAAUGGUCCAGUCAGACAAAAUCAGCAUAAUGAUAGCGUAAAUCUCCAGAAAAAUAGCUCCAAAGAGUAACGUGUAAGUAAUGUUGAUGUCAAUGUUUGAGAACUGGUGCUUAUGGAUAAAGAAGAAGGCCGCUAAGGCAGAAAUAGUGCACAUGAAACUGGCAGUGCGGAGAAGAAUGCCUAGUAGAGAAUAAACCACUUUUGCCUUGGUGUAGAGCACAUCAUACAAGAAACUAAGCUCCAUCUCUACCACUUUGAAGGCCUCUUCGAAUGACAAUUCCUUGAUGAUGCGCUCACUGGUUUGUUGGUCAUCCAAGCUGAGGAUGAGGUCUGCAUAUAGAUGUCUGAAUUGGUUCUUGAAUAAGAAAUAAGCUUUAUAAAUAUAUUUUCCACCCGGAAUAGUAAUGUCAUCACCAACGGUAGAUUGAAGUGGCUUUUCAACGAUCUCUUCUUUCCUGAUUCUAGCAACCUCCAUUUUGUCCUUCCAUGAACCAUAUUCCUUCAUGACAUCAGCAUAAUCAGGUCCAGGAUCAGGAACUGAAAGCAAAGAAUCUCUAAAGUGAUUCUUGCUUGCAGACCUCAGAACCCAGGUCCUCUCUCCAUACUUGAUAAUUCCAGCCACAACCAUUGGAAUGGACAGAAAUGUGGGUGGAGUCCCUGCCCAAGACCUCAGAAGCACGUAAAAAGCCACCCCAACUUGGACAACCAGUCCAAGCAAGUGCCUUAACCACAACUCAUUAUCUUCUAAAGAGUAAGCGGUGAUAGUAUCCGGGCCACUAAGGUGCAAGAGAAGGAACGGUACCCAAAAUGCCAUGAGGGUAUAGUUUGGAUCCAGAAGUUUACCUUGCGAAUCUCCUUGGCUUCUGGAGAGGGUACCAAGGGCUACUGUGGCCACCCAGUCUGCAGCCAUGUAUGCCGACCAAAUCAGGAUUCUGAUCCAAGGUCUAAAUGUGUACUUUCGUCGGUUGCUAAAGAUGAUGAGGACAAUUUGUAGGAAGAGGCUGAAUAGAACCAUCAAGCGUAUCUCCCCUUCAUUCCAAAGUUUGCGUAUGCUUUCUGGGAAUGUCUGUAUUGCUCGCCCCUUCUCCGUCAAGAUCAAACUACUAGCAACUAAAAUUCAAAAACAUUAGAGCCAGAAAUGAAGAAUAAAAGAUAGAUUGUUGGAAAAAUAAUAUCAACUUACAUGUGACUAGCAUUGUUACGUUGGGUGGUUUUGCACGCUAAGAAGUUAAGCGAAGCUCAACUACAACAGAUUUUGGCAAGUAGUUUUUGACGUCAUAUUCCAAUCUGACUGCCUCACCUUGUGCCCAUAUAUAUAAGGGAAAAGUAGAGAGAAUCACAAGUGUAGGACAUGGUGUGACACUCGCAUAAAAAAAAGGGCAUCAUAUGCAACUACAUGUUAUUUUUAUUCUUUUUCUAAUUCAUGAAGCAUUUUAGUUAAAAAGAUUCAAUUAAUGUAUUUAUUUAUCUAAGCUAAAUCAUUUUUUUCUUUUUCAAUUAAAUUUAAAUUUUUGAAUCAAUUUAGUUACAAUUUAAUUUUUGUGCAUAUAUAUAUAUAUAUAUAUAUAUAUUUCAACUUGACUAGUUAGUGAAUUGUAUGUAUAUACCAAAUUUUCGAAUCAAGCGAAGUUUGAGUUUACCAAAAUAGAAAAAUAUCAAAUUUUCCAUAAAGUAAUGAAGGAAAUCAAUGGACAAAAGAGGGGGGGGGGGGGGAGAGCAAAAAAUAUAUACAAUUUAAGCUGUUAAACGAACUCAAUAUUCUCCGAGUCAAUCCAUGCAAUCCAACGUCUCAUGAAUUUUAAACAAUUUCUCAGAAGAAUAAACAAAUGAAGCAUAAUUAAAAAGAAGAAGAAGAAGAAAGAAUCGGUUUGAAAGCAAAACAAGAAGGGGAAUAUACCAGAGAGUAUGACGGUGGGGGCUCGGUUGGAGCUGUUCACAGAGUUCAGCUCAUGAAGGUGGGAGUAGUGUGCUGGUGAGAAGGUGAUGGCUGGAGAUGGAGGCCGAGGGAAGUGAGAAUGGUGACUUUGUGACUCUUGAAUGGGUUGCAGUAGUGGUUUUAAACCAGAGAAAAAACCAGAAAAGAAAAAGAAAACAGAAGAAGAGACAGAGGAGCAAGACUGAGAGAAUCGUCUUGUUGGCCGGCCGGAGCGUGUGGCUAUAGCAAUAACUCAAAGAAAGGAAUCCAUUUCUUUUUCAUUUUCCUUUCUAUCUCUUUUUUGUCGCCAUUAAUCAAUUUUCUGUCAAUAACUGGCAACAGUGCUUCUCAAAUAUUCAACUAUGGAAACUUACAAGACUAAGAGUAAUAGGAAGAAGAUUAGAUUCAGGCGAACUGAUGUAACAGUGGAGGUCAGUCAACAGCGGUGGGGUGUUGGGGAUUGAUGUGAAGUAGAGGUUCGGGAUGUUAAGUCUUGGGAUAAUGCAAUGUUGAAUGCAUAAAAAGGUUUUACCACCCUACAUUAAUAAUCAAUUCGCUUAAAAAUGAGAUGGCGAUAUAAAGCCCUGAGCUUAGCAAGUGGUCUCAAGUUACGGAUUCAAGUCACCAAAAUAAUGAAAUGGGGGGUGAUGGUUUUUUGGAAUAGACGGUGGAGAGCAUAUUGAAGUUGGUGGGGGUGGUGUGUAUUUGGAAGAUGUGAUGUUGUUAUUAAGGUUUUUUUAAAGCUUAUAAGAGAGUAGAAACAUGGGUUUCUUAGUUUUUUCUUUGGGGUAUUAACUUAUUCCUUUGCAUAUGUCAUGGUGAUGGAGAUCUGCCAAGCUUGAUUGGAGAUGGUGAAGGGCGGCUUUGAAAGUUGGAGACAGUGAUGGGUUGGGUUGAGUUCGAAUUUUCAAGAGACGGCAAUCUGCUUCACCAAUUAAAUAUUUAAGCUUUUGUCACUUGUCAGCUUCCUUCCCUGUUUUCUUGGAAUCUUCUCCUUCCUCUGUUUUGCUUGCAUUUCAUUUUUUGGGCAGAGUCAUCUAGUAACUACAAUAGCACUUACACCCACUUUUUCAUUUAAAAUAAAAUAAAAUUCAAUCUUAAAAAUUUUAUAUGCAAUUUAGAUCAAUGAGUAAUAAUUUAUCAUAUAUUAGUAAAAUUGUCAUUAAAAAAGAUUGGUAUGAUUAAGUGUUUGUUUUUUUACUUAACAUUAACAUUAAGUAUUAAGUUAUUUGUUUUUAUAAUAUUUUAUUUUUAUUAAACAUUAAAAAAUUUUAAAAAAAAUCAACAUAUUAUUUUUUUCAUUUAGAGUUAAUUAAAAAACAAACAAUUUAAAGUCUGAAAGCAAAUUACUUUUAGCAAAAAGCUAAAAAAACAAACACUCUCUUAAGUGAUAAGUUGUUUUUUGUCCUCAUUUGUUCUCUUAUUUUGGAAGUAAAUUUAGAAUUUAUUAAAUGAAUUCUUACAAAUAAAACAAAUCAAAUAUUAUAAAAAUCGAUUGAUUUGAUAAGAAAUGAAUUUCAAAUGUAUCCACAAAGUUCCAAAAUCAAAACUGAGAUGUAACUACAUGAUGUCUGUGACUCAUCCAAUUCUCAAUAAAUUUAUAAUUUUAAAAAAUUGUAUUAUAAAAAUCCAAAGAUUAAAGAAUUAAUCUAAAUAAUCAAACAUUCAAUUCAAUCACAAAUUCAUAAAUUUAAAAAUGUAUCACAUAAAAAUCACUAAGUAAUUACUACAACUUAAUCUAGAAAAUUUUCAACACUUUGUUAGUAAUCAUACAUAAUCUAGACAUAUAAUCAUUAAAAUCUUAAUGGUUAUUUUUAGCAUAUAAAAAUAAAUAAAUUUAACAUUUAAUUUUCAAAUAUAUUAAAUUACUACUUUUUUUAAAUGAUUAGUUUUCAAAAUACCUUCAUUUCAGUUGUAUAAAAUAAGAAAUAUAAUUAUUAAUAUCAUUAUGGGGUGUUUUUAGCAUAUAAAAAUAAACAAAUUUGACAUUUAAUAACAUUCAAAUAUUAAUAAAAUAAAAAAACUUUAGUGCCUAACGAUAUUUAAAUAUAUAAAAGGUGUAAUAUUCAAAGUAUCCUGAGGACUUUCCUCGAUAUUUUCAAAGCUGGAUUGGUCAUUGAGUCAUAAAUGUCACCCCAUCAUGUAGAAUAAUAUCAACUCGAUGUCAUAAAUAUAUGAUUUUAUAUUUUAUUAAAAUAAUUAUAAGAAAUUAUAUAUAUAUAUAUAUAUGUAAAAUUAUAAUUAUAAAACUUAAUAAUAUUUCCUCUUUUUAUAUUUAAUAUCAUUAUAUUAAAUCACGGUAAAAAUGAAUAUAAAUAUAUUAAAAAUAUUAUUAAAUAAAAUAUUUAUAAUAUUUAAGAGUAAAAAUACAUUGAUGGAAAAAAAUUUAUUAUUUAAUUUUAUUUAAGCGUCAAAAGUUAUAUACUUGUUAUUUUAUACUUUUAAAAAUGUGGUAUAACUUAUGGAACAAUUUCACCUUCCAAUACUUGGAAUUACUCGGUUAAGCCAAGGUGAGACAUAAGAAGGCAGACAUGAGUGAGUAGCUCCCCGCCUCGCCGGAGUUGCUGACGGUGGUGGAGUAGUUGACGGUGUUGAAUCCAUCCACAAUGACUAGCAGCAUAGCACAACAUCUCCAUCCACACGCCACUUAUCAUCUCCCAUUUCUCUCCUGCAGCAUCUAUUUCCAAUGAUUCCAACAUUUUGGCAAGCCUACAUGCCUCAAAUAACACCGACUUGCUUUUAUCUUCUUUCGCAUCUCUGGGCUCAACUUCCGUGUCAAAUUCAAGCAACAAUUUGCAAGCUUAAUUUCUGUUAGAUAUGGAGUUGCUUCUUUCCUGAAAAGAUCUUUUGGCCUCUGAACAAAUGUCUCGGAACCGAAACUCCCCUAUUCCUUUUGGCAGCAUAAAUGGGCACAUGACUAAUAGAUACAGCAUAUACUCAGACAAGCAUUUGCUUAUUUUGCAUCUUGACUUGAGAUUGGUAUCUGGGGAUUUGUCGACAUCACAAGGAUAAUAGGAAUCUGUAGCGAUAUGCCAGAGGAGGAUGCUGUGAUCAAAUUCCACAUCAAUUAUGAUAGGAAAAACUUGGAUACAAUGGAAAAAAGAAACACUCUCAAACACUCUCUUGAUACAAUAAAACUCUCAAAGUUAUAAAAUAAGAACAAGAAGAAGAAGAACACAAGAAAGGCUCAAACAAGUUCUUGGAACUUUGUCCAAAGACUCUAUUUCCUCCCACCACUAGAAAUCUUUAGGGAACUAAUGGAAAUAGUCUUGGGAUUGAUCAAGCCUUUUCACUUUUCUACAUAAGAUUUCAAAAAGAAGAAAAUUCAUAUAAAGCACUCUUAGGGUUUGAAAAAAGGUUACAAGGAUGAGAAAAACCCAUUGUCUUCCUCAAUCUCUUCAUCUUUGUAACAUUCAAAAAUUAAAUCAUAUGUUUAAUUCACACAUUAAACAUGAUUUAAUCUCAAAUGUGUAACUCUCUUACACUUAACCUCUUAAGUUUAUAAAGUUACAAAGAUGAGAAGACUCAUUGUCUUCCUCAACCUUUCAAGUUUUGUAACAUUUCAAAACUUAAUCAUGUGUUUAAUUCACACAUUAAAAGUGUAACCCUUCUUACACUUUAUUUUUCAAAAGUGUAACUCUUCUUACACUUUAUUUUUAACCAACAAUAUAUAUAUUUAUAUAAAUAUAACAAUCCCCCACUUGGUUAAAAAUAAACAUCAACCCUUAUAACCUUAACAGUGAAAAUGCAUAAAAUAAAAUAUCUUUCGAUUUGAAUUUUACCUUAGUGUAAUUGUCACAAAGCUCCGUUGAAAUCCUAGGUUGCUUGUAGCAUUGAAUCAGUUAUUCCUUGUAACGAAACCGGUAACAACACACACACUUCCACUAACCACACGAGUGCCCAUUAUUUUCUUGCUUAGCACUUUUAUGGCCAUAUGCUCAAUCCAUUCAUGAACUUUCUUGAAAGAAACUCCAACUCUCAUGAGAGGCGGCACCACCCCUAAGUUCACAUAGGUGAAAUUCUUCCAGCAUCCUUGUUACCUUUAAGAUGCUUGUCACACAUAGACUGAAUUUCAUUAAAAGCUUUAAGCUUAACCCUCCAACGGUAACAACCAGCAUUAAUCAUCACAGAUGGAACUCACAUGUUCUAAUGCUGCCAUAACCCACUUAUCAAUGAUUUGUUUUUACCUAUUGAACUUAAGACUAGUCAUUUCGUAGUAUUAAGUUAGGUUACCAUCAUUGGUGAAUUUUAUUUAAGGAGUUUUAGUCUCAUCCCUCUAGAUGUUAUCCUUACUAAAUCUCUUGUAAGAGGUUUAGUAAAAGGAUCCGCCAAGUUUCCACUUGACCUCACAAAUGAGAUUGAGAUGAUUCCAUAUUGAAUCAAUUGUCUUACAUACUCAUGUCUAAUGCUUAUAUGUCUAGACUUCCCAUUGUACACUCCACUGUACACACGAGCUAGAGUGGCUUGACUGUCACAAUGUAUCGACACUGUUGACACAUUAUUUGCAGUAAAAGGGAUGUCCAUCAUGAGAUCCCUAAGCCACUCAGCUUCUUUUCCAGUUGCAGCUAGAGCUAUAAACUCUGCCUCCAUGGUUGAGUGUGAUAUACAAGUCUGUUUCUUGGAUCCCCAAGAGACAGCCCCACCACCGAGUGUAAACACCCAACCUGUGGUAGAUAAAUUAUCUCCCACACUCGAUGACUGUCACAAUGUAUCGACACUAUUGACACAUUAUUUGCAGUAAAAUGGAUGUCCAUCAUGAGAUCCCUAAGCCACUCAGCUUCUUUUCCAGUUGCAGCUAGAGCUAUAAACUCUGCCUCCAUGGUUGAGUGUGAUAUACAAGUCUGUUUCUUGGAUCCCCAAGAAACAGCCCCACCACCGAGUGUAAACACCCAACCUGUGGUAGAUAAAUUAUCUCCCACACUCGAUAUCCAGCUUGCAUCUGAAUACCCUUCAAGUAUAGCAGGAAGCUUUGAAUAUUGGAGGCUUAGUUCUUUGGUAUUCUUUAGGUAACCAAGAACUCUACCAAUAGCUUUCCAAUGUUCCACGCUUGGAUUGCUAAUAAACCUACUUAGUUUACUAACUGCAGAUGAAAUGUCAGCCCUAGUACACUGAGCAGCAUACAUAAGACUUCCAAUUGCACUUGCAUACUCAAGUUGAGCCACCGAUCUACCAUCAUUCUUUUCAAGUUUUAUACUUGAAUCAAAUGGAGUAUUAGCAUCUUUAAUCUUGAGAUGACUAAAUUUGCUAACUACUUUCUCAAUAUAGUGGGUUUGGUUCAAAGCAUAACCUCUACUAUUUCUUUUUACUUUGAUACCCAAUAUAGUAUCAACUUCUCCAAGAUCUUUCAUCUUGAAGGUUGAGGAUAGAAACCUUUUCGUUUCUAUUAUUCCUUUCAUGUCAUCACUCAAGAUUAACAUGUCAUCCACAUAUAGACACACUAUGACCAUAUAGUCAUCACAAGUCUUAGAAUAUAAGCACUUGUCCACAUUGUUGUGUCUAAAUCCAUCCGAAAGAAUAGCAUGAUCAAAUUUUUCGUGCCAUUGUUUGGGAGCUUGUUUUAAACCAUAUAAUGAUUUGACAAGCUUACACACUUUGUUUUCAUUCCCCAGUAGAACAAAACCUUCCGGUUGUUCCAUGUAGACCUCCUCAUUGAGAUCCCCAUUCAAGAAUGCCGUUUUCACAACCAUUUGAUGAACAAAUAGAUUAUGAAUUGAUGCCAAAGCAAACAAUAUCCUAAUCGAUGUUGUUCUAGCCACCGGCGCAUAGGUAUCAAAAUAAUCAAUACCUUCUCUUUGUUUAAACCCCUUAGCUACUAAUCUAGCCUUAAAGGUUUGAAUCAUGCCAUCGGUGUGAUAUUUCCUUCGAAAUACCCACUUGCACCCUAUUGGUUUAGAUCCUGGUGGAAGGUCUACCAAUUCGCAUGUUUGGUUGGACAUAAUAGAAUCCAUUUCAUCAUUGAUAGCCUCUUUCCAAAAAGCAACAUCUCUAGAAGCCAUAGCUUCUUUGUAUGUUUUGGGAUCCUCCUCUAUUUGAAGUACUAUAGAAAUUUUUCUUAUAAUAUCUUCUUUAUUUCCUUCUACUAAGUAAAAGGAAAUUCUUUGAGAGUCAAUCUCAUCCGAUCCCAACACUUUCUCUUUUUUAGCUCUUUGGCUUUUCCGAGGCACAAUGGGUUGCUCAACAACCUUUGAAGGUGUCUCCUCUUGAGACUCUCCAACACUAGUAGGUACUUGAGAAUUGCUAUCACUCAACAAAUUCUCAAAGAACUCUACCUCUCUUGAUUCAAUUAUCACAUUAGACUCCAAGUCUAAUAGCCUAUAAGCUUUGUUAUUUGAGGCAUAGCCUACAAAUGCACACUUAAUGGUUCUUGGACCCAAUUUUGUUUUAUUUGGAUCCAUUUUCUUGCAAUAAGCAAGACACCCCCACACUUUGAAGUAACCUAUAUUAGGCUUCCUUCCUUUCCAUAACUCAUAUGGAGAUAUCUCAUUUUUCUUCAUAGGAAUUCUAUUCAAAAUAUGGCAAGCAGUCAACAAAGCUUCACCCCACAAAUUGAAAUUCAAUUUAGCAUGCAAUAACAUAGCAUUCACCAUUUCCAAGAAUGUUCUAUUCUUUCUCUCCGCUAUGCCAUUGUGUUGAGGUGUAUAGGGUGCGGUGCACUCAUGUAUUAUGCCAUAUUCUUCACAAAAAGAAUUGAAUUCACUAGAGAAAUAUUCACCACCUCUAUCACUUCUAAGCACCUUAAUAUUUUUUCCUAGUUGAUUUUCAACUUCGGCUUUGUAAACUUUAAAGGCAUUGAAAGUUUCACUUUUGUUUUUCAACAAAAACACAUAGGUAAAUCUAGAACAAUCAUCUAUGAAUGUAAGAAAAUACCUAUUUCCACCUCUUGUUAACAUGUCAUUAAGUUCACAAAGAUCACUAUGUAUUAAAUCAAGCAAAUUAGAUGAUCUCUCAACACUAUGAAAAGUCUUUUUAAUCAUCUUUGAUUUAACACAUAUUUCACACUUUUCAAAUUUCUUGGUAUCACAAGCAAUCAAACCACAUUUCACAAUCCUUUUAAUAGUGCUUAAACCAACAUGUGCAAGCCUAUUAUGCCACAAAAAUAAAGAAUUUGAAUCACACAUAUAAGCAGAAGUAGACGUCAUUUUAUUGAUAUUGUCAUUAGUACUAAGUUUGAUCAUCCCAUCACAAGAAUACCCCUUUCCCACAAAGUUCCCUGAUUUGGAUAAAAUUAGCUUACCGGAUUCAAACACAGCUUUGAUACCCGAUUUGCCAAGCAAAUCCCCACUAACCAAAUUUUUUUUCAUAUCGGGGACAUACAAUACAUUUAUAAGGGUAACCUUUUUGCCGGAGGUAAAAACAACUUCAAUAGUGCCCUUGCCAAGCACCUUGGAUCUUCCUUCAUUGCCCAUUUGAACCUCUUGAUCUCCCUUUGCAUCUUCAAAGGUCUUGAAAAGAGAUUUGUCAUAGGUAACAUGAAUUGUGGCACAAGUAUCAUACCACCAUCCUUGCACCUUUCCUUGGACAACGCACACAUCGCUUAGUGUUGCAAUGAUCUCCUCAUCAAUUGCAUUCACCACAGCCCCUUUUUGGUCUUUUCGGUACCUACACUCCCUAGCAUAAUGCCUGGGUUUUCCACACACAAAACAAGGACCUUUCUUGCCCUUAAAUUGCUCUUGAUUUUUCUUGGGGCUCAUAUAAUUUCCGGAAUUUCUUUUGUUAUUUUUACCUCUAGGAUGAUUGGCCUUUGAAACCGCAUUGGCUUUGUUAGUCCCACCAUUGGACUCUUCCACCAUUUUGUCUCUUGAUCUCGAUUCUUCCUCAAUGAGAAGAUGUUUUUGAAUCUCUUCCAAGGAGUAAUCUUCACUCUUGUGGAGAAUCCUCUUCCGGUAACCUUUCCAACUUGAUGGUAAUUUAGCCACAAUAGCACCAACUUGGAAGGCCUCUGGAAGUUCAAUUUUGAGAACUUUCAACUUAUUCACAAUUACUUGCAACUCAUGAAUUUGUGGUAAGAGAGGCUUUUCAUCAAAAAAUUUGAAAUCUAUGUAUUGAGAAAUGAGAAACUUUUUGGUACCUUCUUCCUCGGCUUUGUACUUGUUUUCAAGAGCCUCCCAAAUCUCCCUCGCGGAAUAGGUGUUGGUGUAGAGAUCAUAUAGCCUAUCGGAUAAGGCGUUCAAAAUAUGACCCCUACAUAUGAGCUCAUCCUCCUCCCUCUUCUUCCUUGCCACCACCACUUGAGGUGUGUCAUUUUCCUUUGGUUCCGGUAAUGGUGCCAAGGUAGGAUCAAGGAUGUAGAAAAUCUUGAGUGCUGUAAGAAGGAAUCUUACCUUGUCUUACCACCUAGUGAAGUUGGAACCAUCAAAACGAUCCAACCUCACAAGGUCUUGGUUCAUAAUCUUGAUAGUCUCUCCUUCCAUUGAAGAUUAGAGUCUUUGAUUGAUAGGAAAAACUUGGAUACAAUGGAAAAAAAAAACACUCUCAAACACUCUCUUGAUACAAUAAAACUCUCAAAGUUACAAAAUAAGAACAAGAAGAAGAAGAACACAAGAAAGGCUCAAACAAGUUCUUGGAACUUUGUCCAAAGACUCUAUUUCCUCCCACCACUAGAAAUCUUUAGGGAACUAAUGGAAAUAGUCUUGGGAUUGAUCAAGCCUUUUCACUUUUCUACAUAAGAUUUCAAAAAGAAGAAAAGUCAUAUAAAGCACUCUUAGGGUUUGAAAAAAGGUUACAAGGAUGAGAAAAACCCAUUGUCUUCCUCAAUCUCUUCAUCUUUGUAACAUUCAAAAAUUAAAUCGUAUGUUUAAUUCACACAUUAAACAUGAUUUAAUCUCAAAUGUGUAACUCUCUUACACUUAACCUCUUAAGUUUAUAAAGUUACAAAGAUAAGAAGACUCAUUGUCUUCCUCAACCUUUCAAGUUUUGUAACAUUUCAAAACUUAAUCAUAUGUUUAAUUCACACAUUAAAAGUGUAACCCUUCUUACACUUUAUUUUUCAAAAGUGUAACUCUUCUUACACUUUAUUUUUAACCAACAAUAUAUAUAUAUAUUUAUAUAAAUAUAACAAAUUAUACUCCAACGAAGCGUUUCAAAAAACCCUUUUUUUUCUAGUUACAUAAUCACCUCUGUGUUUGAGUAGCUGCCUGCGAUCCCCGGCAUCAUUUGUCAUCUCUAGGAGCCAGCAGAAGAUGGGUUUCUUCAUGUCAUCCACCUUCUCCCAAGUCAUGUACCAGUACCUCUCCAAGAAUUUGUUCAUGUCAAAGAACCUGGGAACCGGAUUGAACUUGGUUUUGUCUCUGAGGCAAGAAUCAAUUAAAUUGUUUUGUGCCAUGCGUCUAGACCAUCUCUGGUCACUGGUUACAACUGAUUGAAAAGAGGCAAUGGCUCGGCAAAUGGAAUCAGCUAGGGAGUUGCUCUUACUGCUCAACCAGACAAUGCGCCAAUCAGACAAAAUCAGCAUAAUGAUAGAGUAAAUCUCCAGAAAAAUAGCUCCAAAGAGUAACGCGUAAGUAAUGUUGAGGUCAAUGUUUGAGAACUCAUGCCUAUCGAUGAAGAAGCAGAAGGCCGCUAAGGUAGAAAUAGUGGACAAGAAGCUGGCAGUGCGGAGAAUAAUGCCUAAUAGAGAAUAGGCCACUGUUGCCUUGGUGUAGAGCGCGUCAUACAAGAAACUAAGCUCCAUCUCUACCACUUUGAAGGCCUCUUCGAAGGACAUGCACCUGAUGAUGCCCUCACUGGUUUUUUGGUCAUCCGGGCUGAGGAUGAGGUCUGCAUAAAGAUGGCUCAAUUGCUGCUUGAAUAAGAAGUAAGCUAUAUGAAGAUAUUUUCCACCAGGAAUUUCGAUCUCUACUUUUGUGAUUGUAUUAACCUGCCUUUCGUCUUUCCUUGAACUACAUCCCUUCAAGAAAUCAGCAUAAUCAGGUCCAGGAAGCAAAGAAUCUCUAACGUGAUUCUUGCUUGCAAACCUGAGAACCCAGGUCCUCUCUCCAUACUUGAUAAUUCCAGCCACAAACAUUGGAAUGGACAGAAAUGUGAGUGGAGUCCCUGCCCAUGACCUCAGAAACACGUAAAAAGCCACUCCAGCUUGGACAACUAGUCCAAGCAAGUGCCUUAACCACAACUCAUUUUCUUCUAUAGAGUAAGCUGCGACAGUAUCCGGACCACCAAGGUGCAAGAGAAGGAAUGGUGCCCAAAAUGCCAUGAGGGUAUAGUUUGGAUCCAGAAGUUUACCUUUAGAAUCUCCUUGGCUGUUGGCGAGGGUACCAAGGGAUAAUGUUGCCACCCAGUCUGCGCACAUGUACGCCGACCAAAUCAGGAUUCUGAUCCAAGGUGUGGCUGUGUACUUUCGUCGGUUGCUAAAGAUGAUGAGGACGAUUUCUAGGAAGAGGCUUAGUGGAACUAUCAAGCGUAGCUCCCAUUCAUUCCAAAGUUUCCGCACUCUUUCUGGCAAUAUCUGCAUUGCUCUCGCUCCUCUGCUCUGUAAAAAGAUCGAACUGAAAAAACAAAACAUUCAAAAGUAUAGCCAAAAAUAGAAUAAAAGAAUAAAUUUGUAAAAUAAAAUUCUUAAAUCAAAUCCAUACAAAAAAUUUCACUUUUAUUAAUUUACCAGUCGUAACUUCCCAACAAUUUAUAACUCAACAUUAAAGUUUAGCACUUAAUUUUUAAUCUUUUAUUAAAGACCAUCUAAAUGAGCUUCACUUUUCACUUAAAAAUAGAAAGUUAGGGCAUGUUUUUUUAUAUUUGUUUUAAAUUAAGGAAUAAAAAAUAGUUUUUUUAGAAUUUAUUAAAAUAAGGGUGUUUGAAAAGUUGUUCCAAAAAAAAAAGAAAAAAACAAAAACAAAAACUUACUUAGAUAAGUUAUUUUUAAAAAUAAUUUUUCUAUUUUGAUUUUAUAAAAAACAUUGUAAAUUUAAUUUAUAUAAUAUUAAUUUAAUUUAAGUUAAGUCUUAUUACAAAAUAAAAUUAGUUCUAUAAGUAUAAAUAAAUUAAAAAAUAAAUAGUUUUUAGUAAAAACAUAAAUAAUAAUAUUAUAGUAAAAGUGUAAAUUAUAUUUUUCUUAUAAAAGAAUAUAUUAUUUUAGUAUGUGUUAAAAAAAAUAUGUAGGUACUAACAUUUUCCUAAAAGUGUCAUUAAUUUCUUUUUUGUUAAAAGAAAACAAUAAUAAUAAUUUAACGAUAAAUUAUUAAUAAUAUUUUAUUUAAAAUUGAACAAUAAUAAUAAUUUAAUAAUAAAUUGUUAAUAAUAUUUUAUUUAAAAUGAAUAUAGAAUGAAGUUUAACUUUUUUAACAUGUAAAUAAACCAAAAUUUAUAUUACAUGUAUACAUUUAGUACUAAAUUACAAACACAAUAUUCUAGAAUGCUUUGAUUUAAUAAGUUUUUUGAAUUACAAAUUAUUAUUAAAAAUUAAAAAAUUCAUCAAAAGAAUUUAAAAAUUAAUAAAUUUUAUGUAUAAAGUAUAAUUUGAUUUGAAAAUUAUUUAAUUAAUGAAAAAUUAUUAUAAAGUUAAAGAAAAUUCAUAAAAACACAUAUAAUUCAAAAGAAUAUCAAUUAAAAAAAUUUCGGUAUCUAUAUUGGAUCGUGGAGAGAAAAACAAUGAUAUCAUGUUCAUUUUUUUUAAUUCUUCUAUAUUUUUAUUUUAAAAGAAAAUCAAAUGAAAACAACUUCUACUUAUUCACUAAAAAUUAUUCUUUAUUUUACUUUGUUUUAAAAUCUGGAAAUAAAGAUAAUGGCCAAAUAGUCUUAUUAAUUUUUAAAAACACUUUUUUAUUUUUAAAAAUAGAAAUCAUUUUUUAAUCAUAGGACCAAAUAGACUUCAUAGUUUAUAAUUUCUAUAUUGUAAUAUUGCCUGAUAAAUUUUUAAUAUUGAAACUUGUAAUAGGCUUCAUUGAUAAAUAAUUUUUGUAGUUUUUAAUUUUGAAUAUGGCUUAGGGUCAAUGAUAAUUUUUUUACAUGUUGGAUUAAUAAUAUUUUUUCACAUAUUAGAUUAAUAAUAUUUUUUUUACAUGUUGGAUUAAUAAUUUUUUUUUUUACAUGUUGGAUUAAUAAUAUUUUUUUUACAUGUUGGAUUAAAAUAUUGUAGUAGAUAUUAAUUAUGUUUUUCUAAAGUGGGUUAUGCAUAAAUUUAUAAUAAAAUAUUUUUUAUUCAUAUUUGUAAUUCUAAGGACAAUUUGUAAAAUAAAUUGUUUUUAGACUUUUUUCUUUUUCCAGUUUUAUCAAAUAUUAAAUUGAAGGUAGGACUUAAAUGUCAUAAGAUACUUUUACAAUCCUUAGACCAUAUUUGGUAAAACUUAUUACUUAUUACUUAAUUAUUUAAGUUGAUUUGAAGUUAAAUUAUAUUUAAAUUUUGAUUUAACACUUAUUAUUUAAUUUUUACUUUAAACAUUAAAGUUGUUUGUUAAAAUUAGUUUAAAACUUAUUUUAAACCAUCUGUAGACCCUCAUUUAGGCAUGGGUCACCUUUUCUCUAUUUGUUUUUGCAGAUCACAUUUUUAGCCAAGUGUCACUAUCCCAGCGGGCCACGUGUCACAUCCUUAGUGGUCAUAAGAAAUCAACCUCACUUUUUGAAGCUGCAGUAGGACUUUGACACGUGGAGGAACUUUCUGAAGGGGGGUCCCGCAGGCAGAAAAGGUGGCUGCAGAAGGAGUGAGGCAGAAAAAGGUGGCUGCAGCAGAGAUCGUUGGGAAGGCAAAUCCAGAGAAAGGAGAAAAGAAAAAGAGAAAGGAGAAAAAAAAAAAAAAAAGGAAGAAAAGGAGUUUUUCUGAGAGUUGGGAGAAAAAAGAGUAUUGGUUGAACUUGAAGAAAAAAAAGAAGGGAGAAAGGGAGAGACUCGAUGGAGAGAGGAGAUAUUGGAGAAGAUGUAGAGAGAGUGAGAGGUGCUUCCAUGGUCGUUUGAGAAGGUUUUUUUUUUAGCAGAGCACCCACGAAAUAUGAAACAGUGAGUUGGAAGCCUCAAAUAUUCAGCAGAGAAAGGGAUUUCCAGGUAUGUUUAUCAAUCCUCUAUAUCUUUUAUUGAUAUUUGAAUACUCAUUGAUCUGUUUGGGGUGGAUAAUGAAGGCCGCCAGUCUGCUUGUUGAAGUAUGACCCUGCAUUUGUGUUUGCCAUUGUCCAUUUUAACUUGCUCUGAUCCUACUGUGAUUAUGCAAUGCUUGAGAAUCAUGAGGGUGGCUACUCAUCUGCUCAGAAGAUUCCUGGAUGAUUCAUGAAAUGGAUUCUCUGAGAUUUUUCUUUAUUUAUUCGUCUUCUUCCACGCUCUGUUUUUCUACUUUCCCUGUUUCUUGAUAUCCGUCCAUGGCACGCAUCCAUUUUCUCAUCCCUGCUCGAAAGAGAUCCUAGAAAAUCUGGAGUAGUUGUCAUGGCAGCGAAGCUCACCUCAUCAGCAUCCCCAUACCCAUUUUCGUUUAUUAUUCAUCGUUUUAUCCAAUAUGCCUACGUCCCCAUCGUUCAUCUAUCCACCUCCCUCUCUAAGUCGUCAUACCCAUUUCCUCACUCAAGCUUGCAAGAAUCAAGCAUCCUCCACCACACUCAUCUUCCUCUCAUUCAUUCUCCAUCUCACUCCCUCGCUUACAUGGAGUCUCACGGGUGCAUGCCAUCCUUCACUCCUUCACAUACCCAUUAAAACCACUCACCCAAGCCCCCAUAUCCAUGCAACCCAUACCUAACCUUCAUGCUACUCAUAACAACGUUCUACCUUAUCCGGAUGUCUCACAUCCGGAAUUCUUCUCCGCCGACAUUCCACCCAGACGCCUCACAUCCGGAAUUCUUCCCCCGCCGCCAUUCCACCCGGAUGCCUCACAUCCGGAAUUCCAUCCGGCCAACGUUCUACCUUAUCCGGAUGUCUCACAUCCGGAACUCUCCUCCGCUGACAUUCCAUCCGGAUGUCUCGCAUCCGGAAUUCUCCUCUGCCGAUAUUCUAUCCGGAUGUCUCGCAUCCGGAAUUCUUCUCUGCUGCCCCAUUCCACCCGAAUGCCUCGCAUCCGGAAUUCUUCUCCGCCGACAUUCCACCCGGAUAUCUCACAUCUGGAAUUCUGUCCGGCCGACAUUCCACAUUUUUCUUCAUAUUUAGAGCAUUUUCUUUAGGUUCCAAAAUCACAUCUUUAAUAAAGCUUUGCUGCCACUUUUAUUUCCGGCAAGCAAUUUUCAUACUUCCUCUGUUUUUUAAAAUGUUUUGAAAUAAGCAAGGAAUCAAAUUCCGUAAUUCCGAACAAUGGAGUUAUCGGAAUUGAUUCAGGCAAGAUAAAACGUGCUUUGGUGGGGGCCCGACAUAUGAGAUUUGAUUGGCUUGAUUAUCAUACAUAAUUGAUUUAUCCUGUUCUUUGAUAUGUAUGCAAUUAUUCCUUAAUUGUGCGCUAACCUCACUUCUUGAUAGCGCUUUAUGGAUCACUGCCUAGGUACGUAUCCACAUCCGCUCGGGUCAUUUUCUGUAUGCAUGUUUAGAUUCUCACAUGUGCAUGAUCACUCUGAGUAUUCAUUGAUUUCCUCAUCAAUUGCCAUGUCAGCUUCAUUUUAUUAGUAAAGACCCGACUUUAGGGACUUAAAAAGGUGCUACGGUCUGUACCGUACCUUUCGGAUAAGUAACCUGACCUCCGAACCCGAUCCGAUUUUUCGCAGAUCACCUUUUCCAAAUAAGGAGUCACACUUAGGGUUUUUCUUUCUUAUUUUGUUUACCCUUUAAAAAUAAAACAAAAAUAAGUGGCGACUCCAAGUCAAUUUUCUUAAUCAAAUAAAAUCGAAUUUUCCAAAAAUGAAAAUCGAGCUCGUCAUUCGAGUGGGAAACGCAUUGAGCCGAAAUGCGGGGUCCACAAAAUGGCGACUCCACUAGGGAUUUUUAGAGGGUCAAGCUUGAACUUAGAAUGAAGCAAACGUGGUAUUCGAUUGGACGAUCAGUGGAUGCUCAUAUCUUGAUUGUACAUUGAGGAUUUCUUGAUGCAUGCUUAGAUGUUCUAUUCAUUUGAGAUUUUGACAUGUUGGAUUAUUGAUGAUUGAUCUUAUUGCAUUGCUUAGCAUAUUGAUUCUGAUUUUGGCAUUAUUGUUCUGAUCACUUCACAUGCAUACACUCACUACUGUAUAUCACUUAGCUUGACAUGUUGAUUCUCUUACUUGUAUACUAUUUUGAUCGUCUUUGAGCAUGAUUUUUGUAUCACUGUUCAUCUUGAUUGUUGUAUUCUCGCUUAUCUUGUGUGUACAUGAUGAUAUAUCUGAGCUUUGCCUGAUUGCGUGUUGCAUGACUGCCUUUCUUUGCGUGAUUGUAUGCCGCUUGUCUAUGUGGGUAGCACAUCUAUCCCCUUAUCUCCAACCCUCUAGUUUCGGUCAUUUCCUUCAUUUCGGUUCUCACUUUUGCAAGUGUGAGGCCUUGUAUGUGCUUGUACUCUGACCGAGAUAGAGGUUAGGAGUAGGGUCUAGCGACGGGCUACAUCGAUGCACGGGAGCAUUCUGGAGGAGAGCGGCACUUUGAUAUCGGGAGGAGUCCGAUCGUUGAAGACCUGUAUAGCCCGGAGCUAAGUUUCAUGGAUAUUUGUGUAGCCAGUAUGUUUCCUUUCUCGUUUUAGCUUCUUAGGGUUAUUAGAUGCACCCACACCAUUCACUGUGCACUCUAGUUGGCUAUUGAGCGUUGAGAGUUUGAGAGGUUUCACCAUAGGAAACCCCCUGGGAUGUCGAGGUAGUGCAUGUGCGGAGGUGAUGACCACCUUGCAUGGAAGUGCCCCGUCUCUUCGGAGGCGUGCAGAAGGUUGUGUACCGUCGGAGGGUAUGAUCACUUCUGCUAGGGUCCUUUAAAGUCCACCCAUAUCCAUUUAGAGUCACCUUGACCUUGUCAGUUGAGCCGUAGAUCCUUCGAUUAGGACUCCCUCCCUACACGUGGGUGCAUCUGAGGGCCUUCAGAGCCUCUUUAGUUACAGUUCGGAUCCAGUAUUCCCUCUUUUUAGUCUCCAGUUGAGAGUGCUCGGAGAUCGGUAUGAGUUUGAGUAUCGGUUGGAUCACCUUUCGUCUUGUCGCCUUAGUUUGUGUUUUUCACUUGACGAGUUUAGCAUGUUUUCUCCCUAGGGUUUUUGUUCUUAUUUCUUGGCUCGACACACCCCUUCACUUUGUUUUCACUCACUCGAUACUUUGGGAUAUGUUCAUUGAUCAUCUUUUUACACUGUACACCUAUCACGGGCUCAGUACCUCAUUCUUUGUUUGAUCAUUGGUUCGAUUUUCGACUCGAUGCUCAUAUUUUCAUUACAGAAAGGUGAAAGACACAUUUUCAUAUUCACACAUUUUUUGAGAGAUUCGCCUUGAUCACCUUAUCAUUUUUUUUCUCUUAUGGAGCUCAAGUUGAAGGUUGAAUUAAGGAUAUUUUGUUAUAGAUGGAGUAUCGAUCUCGUGACAGUGUUGUUUUUCACACCUCAUUCAUUUUGUGGAUCGUUGAUAGAAAUUCUUUAGUCACAUUUGUAGCCAUCUCACAGUGGACACCUUCAUGACCUUAGAGUUUCUGUCAUAUUUCCAAUUAUAGAUUGCCAUCGCAGGACCAUAUAUCAAAUGAUGUGUUGUACUUUUGACUUGGGGCGUUUUUUUCACUUGCACAUUGUAGUCUUGAGGCUUGACCUAUCAUGGAGGAUAUUGAGCCUAUUAGCAUAGGAUCAGAGAUUUGACUUAGGGAGCUCGAGACUGUGACACAUCUUCUGAUGAUCAGAGCAGUACCUUGCUCACUUCCCACACCUUGCUUUGUUUUGACCUACAUCCAUCCAUUAUGAGUUUUGCACAGCAUCACCCUUGAUGACCAUUAUAUGACCUUUCCAUCCUCGGUUUUUCUAGCUUUACACAUCCCUUCUCUGAUUCGACCAGGUAGAGUGUGAGGAGUUUGAGCCCAGGGUUGAUCUGGCAUGGCGAGAGUUAUCUUAUGAUCUUUGGGUGGCUUACGAUGAGGAUUGGUCGAUUGCUUGAUGAGACUGUCACUUAUUUUGCCGUGAGUAUAGAGAUUGAUCUUGUAUAAUGAGAGUUGGCUUGUGAUGGGUAGUCGCACCUGAUGGGAUCACUGCUUACUUUGCUUUGAGAUGAUCAUCUUUGAGAUUAUUAUGGAGCAUUUGGAGUACAGUUGGUGCAUGAUUCUAGAGGGUUGACAUGGUUAUAUCAUAUGGACAUCGAUCUUAGGUAUCGAUCAUCUGAGGGCUUGAGAGCAUGAUUUUUGAGACCGUGGUCGUAGGAUGGGUGGCCUUCAUUUCGGUUAGCUCACACCUUAUUACCUUUAUUGGCAUCUAGACCGUUGCUAGCCCUUUGAGCCUCGCAUGAGCAUCAUAGCCUUUUCUUUCUUAUAGCCUUGCUCACCUUUUACACCGGGAUAGGGGCCCUUCAGUGUAUGCAUGCAUUGUUUGAGAGUUCCAUGAGCCUUGGACCGAGGGGCACAUCUUUCUCAUUAUCUGUUCUCAUCACUACAUCAUUGCAUUUCAUCUCAUCUCACUGUUCGUGUUAUUCAUCUCAUCAUCCUAUUCUAUCUACUAUUCGUUUCACAUCAUCUUCCUUCAUCCCGAGGGGUGAUCAUCCUCAGUUCAUUACAUGGAGGGUAGUCAUGUCAUUUCCACUAUCUAUCUUAUGGACACUGAUCCAAGGAUCCUCAGUUUGAGAAGGUCACCUCAUCAGAGAGAGUUUGUGAUAUAUUGAUAUUUGAGAGCAUGUUUAUUCAUUUUUGAUCCCGUCUUUGGGUCUUCUUUGUAUGCGUUCAGAGCAUGUACAGUUCAUUUAUAUGUCGUUAUAAAAAAAAUAAAUAAAUAAAAAUUAAAAAAUUAAAAAAAAUGGAAAAAGAAAUAAAAGCAUGUGUGUAUUUUUAUCUAUCACUGAGUAUGUAUUGAUAUCUGAGGGUCACUUGAUCGAGCAUGUUUGUUGACGGGAGUUCGUAUGUGAGCUUCCCGAGAUCCCUCAGGCUUUGUAUUCAUUUUGUCGUAUAUCUUGUGAGCGAGAUGAGUGACCUUCUCUUAGGAGCUUUGGGUCAUUGUCCAUUCCAUCAUCGUGUUCAUAGUUGAUGUGACUUCACUCCAUGUCUGAUCCGAGUCGAUCAUUACUCCUUUUGGUGUUAUUUGCUUCAUUAUCAUCAUCCUCGUUUUCAUUUCUGAUUCAUCAUUCUCAUUUCACAUCUUAUUUUUUUCCUACAGUGACCCAUCUCGGGUUUGAUACUUCCUUCACAUCAUCAUCACACAUCUCACUAUCAGUUUGAUUUGCUUCAUUUGUUUCCUCAUUUACAUCAUGUUCAUAGUAGACACCCGUAGGUCCAUGGCUCACGAUAUUUUCUAUAUAUGUUGCAUUUUAUACGUGAGGGCAUGGGUUUUGAUCAUUGGGUAUUUGGGCCUAGUUUCCCUUUAUUUCUAUCACCCUAGCCUUCGUUACGUCUGUGGACCCGCAUUUUUCACGUGCGUCCCCACUCGAUCGGCCAGACUCGCUUUUUAUUUAUUUGUGAAAAUUUGAUCUUUUGAAAAAAAGUUGGAGUCGCCACUUAUUUUAUUUUUAUUUUUGAAGGGAAAAUAAAACAAGAAAUAAAACCCUAAAAAAAAUGACUCCAUAAUUUUUGGAAAAGCGUGUCUUUGAAAACCCAAGUCUUGGUCCGGGGAUCAGGUUACUUAUUGGGAAGGUACCUCUAGGAGGUAGCACCCCUCUAAGCCCUAAAGAGGUCUCUACUAAUUAAGUUAAGGGGAAUAUGGCAAUUAAUCGGUUAAUUAUGGAUACCUAAGUAGGCUAGGUGAUUUCAAAAAAUUUGCAUGCUAAACAAGAUCAAAUUGCCAUAAAAGAAAGGUUAGGAUGCGUACCCGGACCGCUUCUCAAGCGCUAUCAUAAAACAUCAGAGUUAGUAUAGAAGUAUAACACACAACAUNNNNNNNNNNNNNNNNNNNNNNNNNNNNNNNNNNNNNNNNNNNNNNNNNNNNNNNNNNNNNNNNNNNNNNNNNNNNNNNNNNNNNNNNNNNNNNNNNNNNNNNNNNNNNNNNNNNNNNNNNNNNNNNNNNNNNNNNNNNNNNNNNNNNNNNNNNNNNNNNNNNNNNNNNNNNNNNNNNNNNNNNNNNNNNNNNNNNNNNNNNNNNNNNNNNNNNNNNNNNNNNNNNNNNNNNNNNNNNNNNNNNNNNNNNNNNNNNNNNNNNNNNNNNNNNNNNNNNNNNNNNNNNNNNNNNNNNNNNNNNNNNNNNNNNNNNNNNNNNNNNNNNNNNNNNNNNNNNNNNNNNNNNNNNNNNNNNNNNNNNNNNNNNNNNNNNNNNNNNNNNNNNNNNNNNNNNNNNNNNNNNNNNNNNNNNNNNNNNNNNNNNNNNNNNNNNNNNNNNNNNNNNNNNNNNNNNNNNNNNNNNNNNNNNNNNNNNNNNNNNNNNNNNNNNNNNNNNNNNNNNNNNNNNNNNNNNNNNNNNNNNNNNNNNNNNNNNNNNNNNNNNNNNNNNNNNNNNNNNNNNNNNNNNNNNNNNNNNNNNNNNNNNNNNNNNNNNNNNNNNNNNNNNNNNNNNNNNNNNNNNNNNNNNNNNNNNNNNNNNNNNNNNNNNNNNNNNNNNNNNNNNNNNNNNNNNNNNNNNNNNNNNNNNUGUAUAGAUAAAUAAGUAAAUAAAUUAAAAAAAAUGGUAAAAAUAAUAAAUAAAUAAAUAAGUUAAGGAAAAUAAUAUAAAGAGGACGAUAACCAAUAAAAAGUGAAUGAUAAUCAUAAAAUUAAAAUUAAAAACAAAAUAAAUAAAUAAAUAAAUAAAAUAAAAUAAAAUAAAAUAAAAGUCUUCGUAGGCCUAGUGUGCCUAAACGGGCCUAAGGUGAGACUAAGUGGGCCUAGGGUAGUGCCUAAUGGGCCAAGUGUAUCUAAAAGCUAUCCUAAAAAAACAAGAAAAGCCUAAGUCUAAGUUAGGGCUGCCAAGGGUCACAAUAAGGGAUCAAAUAAUCCCUCAACCAAAAUCUCCGAGGUGACUCAGAAAAAGGUAAGUGGUAUGAGUAGCCAUGGGCCACCAAGGAACUAUUGUGGAGCAUUGAAAAUGAAUUUUAAAGACAUGUGCUAAAGGGACAAAAUUGAGGGUCUACAACGUCCUUGAGUCUUAAGACCACCCUGGGCCAUGACAUCACACAUUGUGUUUGAUAGCUCUUAUGUGAGCGAUACUUGGGAUUGAUUCGAGAGCAUUCUGAUUGUGAUGGACCGGGAGUUAUGGUAUGACCUUACACUGGGGCAUAGCCAUCUCAGAGAGUUUUUAUCGGAUGACCAUUAUGUCGAGGCAUACUCUUCUUAGUCGAUGACGGAUUUUUGAGCCACGUCCAUUCCUCGGAGGAUAUCAGAUGUCCUUUUUCACAUUGGAGCAUGAGACAUGAUUAGCGCAUUUCAUCUAGAGUACUUUGCACAGGGGCAUACCCCUUUCGGUCGAUGAUGGUUUUUAGGCAUAGUUGUUCCUUGGAGGCGAUUAGAUUCAUUUCACAUUGGAGUACGGGAUAUGAUUGGUUGAUAUCUUUGAUAUUAUCGUAGGAGCAUAGCCUUCUCAUCAUUGUUGACAUAUUUUUGAGAUGAUUGGAUCAGGACACCGACACUUAUGAGAGCAUGCAGCCGAGUUUAGUUAUUUCAGGGUUUGCCCUAUACUGGGGCAUAACCCUUUCAUUGGCGGCUGAUCUUAGAGAUAUUAGUUCACAUUGAGACAUGCUAUUUCUUUGGAGGAGGUCAGAUACUCUCUUCACAUUACCCUGAUGACUUUGAGGAGCAGAGUUUCAUUUUGAUCAGAUGAUGUAUGAUUGGUUGUACUCCUCUCAUUGAUGUUUGAUUUGGGGAUGCUUACACUGGGGCAUAGCCCACUCAUUGAUGAUGAUUUUAUGAGAUGACAAUUUAUGCCAGGCACAUAUUUCCUAGAGUUUAUCUUGCACUGAGGACUUACCCAUUUUGAGAUGAUGCAUUCACACUGGGGCAUACCCACCUUGCUGAUUUUGACACUGAGACUCCACAUCCUGUUUAUGAUUACUGCUUUCGAGGGAUCAUAGAGUCAUUGACACCCUGGGUUCAAUUUUCUCGACGUACUUGGUCCGACUUGGGUACCCACUUUCCUUUGUUACACACCUAUACAUCCUACAUUGGACUCUAUUAUACCUGCACCCAUCCUAUCAGAGCCUUACAUCUUUUGAGCCUACAUAUUUCAUCAUCUUACCUGACUUUAUCCCUUUCUCUUGAUCAGAGGAAUAUGUAGACCAGUCUUGAGCUUUCUGGUUUAGUUUUCACAUGCCUUUGGACAUUAGGUUCAACAUCUUCCAUGAUGGUAGGGCUUAUUAGAUUGUUGAUGUAUUUGUGAUGAUGUACUCAUAUUGAUAAUUGAGACACUGUGUCUUGAUUUGCUUACAUUUCAGACCUAGAGUUUUGGUUAGCAUUUGUUUGAUCCAUUAUUUUGGUUUUACUUUGUCAGCAUAGUUUUGGUGACGUUUGGUCUUGUUUUAGCAUUUGUUCAUUGAGGCUCUGUAUAUGUUUUUUUCAUUGCAUCAUCAUUGGGCAUAUCCCAGAGUGUCUUUGUUUGGUGACAUUUUGUGUCUUAUGUUGGUUACUAUCUUACACUAGGGCAUCCCCCCCGUCCUUGAGUUCAUCACACCUUUUGUGUACUUCCUCACCGCUUGAUCUAUUUCUUGAUCUUUGUGAGUCAUCAUACUGGGGCAUACCCCCUUUAGCGCUUUUCCUACUAGGACAUUCCCCUCUCUUUGGGUUCAUUAUGUCUCGUGCUGAUUUCAUGGUUGUCAAACCCCUAUUGUCAUUUCGUUUAGGGCAUCCCCCUGCUGUCAUUUCGUUUAGGGUAUCCCCCUGCUGUCAUUUCGUUUAGGGCAUCCCCCUACUGUCAUUUCGUUUAGGGCAUCGCCCUACUGUCAUUUCGUUUAAGGCAUCCCCCUACUGUCAUUUUGUUUAGGCACAAGUAUGCUAACCAAAUCAGGAUUCUGAUCCAGGGUGUGACUGUGUACUUUCGUCGGUUGCUAAAGAUGAUGAGGACGAUUUCUAGGAAGAGGCUUAGUGGAACUAUCAAGCGUAGCUCCCAUUCAUUCCAAAGUUUCCACACACUUUCUAGCAAUAUCUGCAUUGCUCUCGCUCCUCUUCUCUGUGAAAAUAGAGCCAAAAAUAGAAUAAAAGAAUAAAUUUGUAAAAUAAAAUUCUUAAAUCAAAUCCAUACAAAAAAUUUCACUUUUAUUAAUUUACCAGUCGUAACUUCCCAACAAUUUAUAACUCAACAUAAAAGUUUAGCACUUAGUUUUUAAUCUUUUAUUAAAGACCAUCUAAAUGAGCUUCACUUUUCACUUAAAAUUAGAAAGUUAAGGCAUGUUUUUUUAUAUUUGUUUUAAAUUAAGGAAUAAAAAAUAGUUUUUUAGAAUUUAUUAAAAUAAGGGUGUUUGAAAAGUUGUUCCAAAAAAAAAAGAAAAAAACAAAAACAAAAACUUACUUAGAUAAGUUAUUUUUAAAAAUAAUUUUUCUAUUUUGAUUUUAUAAAAACAUUGUAAAUUUAAUUUAUAUAAUAUUAAUUUAAUUUAAGUUAAGUCUUAUUAAAAAUAAAAUUAGUUCUAUAAUUAUAAAUAAAUAAAAUAAAAUAAAUAGCUUUUAGUAAAAACAUGAAUAAUAAUAUUAUAAUAAAAGCAUAAAUUAUAUUUUUCUUAUAAAAGAAUAUACUAUUUUAGUAUGUGUUAAAAAAAAUGUCAUUAAUUUAUUUUUUGUUAAAAGUGUACAAUAAUAAUAAUUUAACGAUAAAUUAUUAAUAAUAUUUUAUUUAAAAUUGAACAAUAAUAAUAAUUUAAUAAUAAAUUGUUAAUAAUAUUUUAUUUAAAAUGAAUAUAGAAUGAAGUUUAACUUUUUUAACAUGUAAAUAAACCAAAAUUUAUAUUACAUGUAUACAUUUAGUACUAAAUUACAAACACAAUAUUCUAGAAUGCUUUGAUUUAAUAAGUUUUUUGAAUUACAAAUUAUUAUUAAAAAUUAAAAAAUUCAUCAAAAGAAUUUAAAAAUUAAUAAAUUUUAUGUAUAAAGUAUAGUUUGAUUUGAAAAUUAUUUAAUUAAUGAAAAAUUAUUAUAAAGUUAAAGAAAAUUCAUAAAAACACAUAUAAUUCAAAGGAAUAUUAUAUUCAAAUAUUUUCGAUAUCUAUAUUGGAUUGUGGAGAGAAAAACAAUGAUAUCAUUUUCAUUUUUUUUAAUUCUUCUAUAUUUUUAUUUUUAAAAGAAAACCAAAUGAAAACAACUUCUACUUAUUCACUAAAAACUAUUCUUUAUUUUACUUUGUUUUAAAAUAUGGAAAUAAAGAUAAUGGCCAUAAAAAUUUUGUAUGCAAUUUAAAUGAGAAAUAUUUUAUCAUAUAUUAGUAAAAUUAUCAUUAAAAAAGAUUGACUAUGACUAAGAUAAGUUGUUUUUUUGUUCUCUUAUUUUCAAGUAAAUUUAGAAUUUAUUUAAUGAAUUCUUACUAAAUAAAACAAAUCAAAUAUUAUAAAAUCACUUGGUUUGAUAAAAAAUGAAUUUAAAAUAUAUCGACAAAAUUCCAAAAUCAAAACCGAGAUUUAACCACAUGAUAUUGUACCUCAUCCAAUUCUCAAUAAAAUUAUAAUAAGAAAAUUGUAUUAUGAAUGAAUUUAUUACAAAAUUUCUAAUUUAGCUCCUUAUAAUACAAUAAAAUUAAAAGAAAUCAACUAUCAUCAAUUUUAAUGAAAUUUCUCUAAUUAAAACUCUGGAGUAUAAUUCAAAUGCAUCUAAAUGUCCACAAGAGUUAAUAAUUUUAAUUAAUUUUGAAAAAUCAAAUGUUAGGUGGUCAUGUUUUUCACCUUCCAAUAUUUGGAAUUGCUCGCUUAAACCGAGACGGACAUAUAAAAGGCAGACAUGAGUAGUAGCUCCCUACCUCGUUGGAGCUAUUGACCGUGUUGAAUCCAUCCACAAUGACCUAGCAGCAUAGCACAUCUUCACCCACACCUCACUCAUUGUCUGAGGGGGUGGUGUACGAGGACGAUCCCUGUUUGUCAACCAUAUCCCUCAUCGUUUUUAGAGUUUAAGUUCAAAAUAAUCCAUUGGUAGAAAAAAAUGGUAAGAAUAGUACCAAUCUCAAAAUAUUUGUCAAACUAAUCUUUUUGCAUCUACGUAAGCAUCUACAUGGAUUUUUUUUUAAGUGUGUAAAACCACCGUUGGUGACUGUGGUUUUAAAAGUUUCAUAAAUAUCCUUAAAACCACAGUCUAUGACUGUUGUGUUACAAUUUUCCUUAGAACCACUGUUAGUAACUGCGGUUUUAAAAUUAUUUAUAGUUCAUCCAUGUUUUAAUAGUAUUAUGAUUUUAAUAUUAUUUUAAAAAUAUUUUUUUAUCAUAAUAACCAUAAAACCAUCAUUAUUAAGGAGUAACCUAAAAUCAUAAUUAUUAAUAUAAUUUUUAUAUGAAAAUAUAAAAUUUUAAAAUAAUAUAAAUAAUUUAUUUAAUUAUUUUAAAAUUUAAAAAUAAUAUGAAAAAAUAAUUUUCUUUAAUUCAUAUGUGAUAAAAUUCAUAAAACAAAUAAAUAUUUUAUUUACCAUAAAUAUAUAAAUUUUUAUGGGAAUACAGACAAAAUUAUUUUCUCAAAAUUUCAAGGAAAAUAUGAAAAAAUAAAGAUACUAUAUAUAUAUAUAUAUAUAUAUAUAUAUAUAUAUAUAUAUAUAAUUUUAAAACAGUUGUAAAGAAAAAAUUUAUUAAGGAUAAUUUGUAAAAAAAAAAAGUAAUUUUAAACUGACAAUGAAAAAUUGUAAGAAAUUUUGAAAAUAUCCUUAAAAUCACUGUCAUAGACUGUGGUUUUACAAUUUUUUUUUUAAAACCACAUUUACUAAUUAUGGGGUUUCACAAAUAUCUUUAAGAGAAACUCAUGUAACCAUACAUCAACUAAAAAAAUAUGAGAUUUUAAAACUUUGCUUUUUUAUUUUUUAAUUUUAGUGUAAAUUAUGGAUGUAUCAAAAUUUCUUAACGAUGUACUAGGUUUUCUUAAAGUUCUUUUUGGAGUAGGAAAAAUUUCUUACAAUUUUCCAUAGUCAGUUUAAAAUUAUUUUUAUUUACAAAUUAUCCUUAAUAAAUUUUUUCUUUACGACUGUUUUAAAAUUAUAUAUAUAUAUAUAUAUAUAUAUAUAUAUAUAUAUAUAUAUAUAUAUAUUAUCUUUAUUUUUUCAUAUUUUUCUUAAAAUUUUGAGAAAAUAAUUUCGCCUGCAUUCCCAUAAAAAUUUAUAUAUUUAUGGUAAAUAAAAUAUUUAUUUGUUUUAUGAAUUUUAUCACAUAUGAAUUAAAGAAAAUUAUUUUUUAAUAUUAUUUUUAAAUUUUAAAAUAAUUAAAUAAAUUAUUUAUAUUAUUUUAAAAUUUUAUAUUUUCAUAUAAAAAUUAAUGCCAAUGAUUAUGAUUUUAGGUUAUUCCUUAAUAAAAGUGGCUUCAUGGUUAUUAUGGUAAAAAAAUAUUUUAAAAAUAAUAUUAAAAUCAUAAUAUCAUUAAAACAUAGAUGGAUUAAAAAUAAUUUCUGAAACUUGUAAAACCACAAUUAGUUUUAAGGAAAAUUGUAAAAUCACAGUUACAAAUUGUGAUUUUAAAGAUAUUUUUAAAACCACAAUCAUAAAGGUGGUUUUACACACUUAAAAAAAAAAAAUUCAUGUAGAUGCUUACGUAGAUACAAAAUUAUUAUUAUUUUUUUUUUUCUAUCGAUGGACUAUACUGUUUGUUUUCUCCAUCGAUGCCUCAAUCCCCCGUAUUCGCUUUUGUGGUCCGUACGAUGAAGUUCCCCUUGACGGGAAAGAUUCCAUGGUCGGGAAAGAUUCCGUGGUACUAUUUUCGGAACAUUUUCACCUUCCAAUAUUUGGAAUUGCUCACUUAAACCGAGGUGGGACAUAAGAAGGCAGACAUGAGUGAGUAGCUCGCCUCCUCGCCGAAGCUGCUGACCGUGUUGAAUCCAUCCACAAUGACUGGCAGCAUAGCACAACAUCUCCACCCACACCUCACUCACCAUCUUCCAUUUCUCUCCCAUCUCCAUUUCCAGUGAUUUCAACGUUUUGGCAAGCCUACAUGCCUCGAAUAACACCGACUUGCUUUUAUCUCCUUUCACCAUUUUGGGAUCCAGGUCAACUUCAAGCAGCAAUCUGCAAGCUUCAUUUCUGUUAGAUAUGGACUCCCUUCUUUGCUGGAAGAAUCUUUUAGUCGCUGAACAAGUGUCGCGGAACCUGAACUCCCCUAUCCCUUUUGGCAGCAUAAAUGGACACGUGACUAGUAGAUACAACAUAUACUCAGACAAGCAUUUGCUUAUUUCACGUCUUGACUUGAGAUUGGUAUCUGGGGAUUUGUCCACAUCACAAGUGUAAUAGAGAUCUGUAGCAAUAUGCCAAAGGAGGAGGCUGUGAUCAAAUUCUACAUCAACUACACUCCAACUAAGUUUAACAAAAGACUUAUUUUUUCUGGUCACAUAACCACCUCUACGUUUGAGUAGCGACUUGAGAUCCCUGUCAUCCUUUGUCAUCUCUACGAGGUAUUGGAAGAUGGGUUCCUUCAUGUCAUCGGCCUUCUCCCAAGUCAUGUACCAGUACCUCUCCAAGAAUCUGUUCAUGUCAAAGAACCUGGGAACCUGAUUGAACUUAGUGUUGUCUCUGAGGCAAGAAUUAAUUAAGUUGUUCUGUGCCAUGCGUCCAGACCAUCUCUUGUCACUGGUUAAAACUGAUCGAAAAGGGGUGAUGGCCCGGCAAAUGGAAUCAGUGAGGGAGUUCUUCUUACUGCUCAACCAGACGAUGCUCCAGUCAGACAAAAUCAGCAUAAUGAUAGCAUAAAUCUCUAGAAAAAUAGCUCCAAAGAGUAACGCGUAAGUAAUGUUGAUGUCAAUGUUUGAGAACUCAUGCCUAUCGAUGAAGAAGUAGAAGGCCGCUAAGGUGGAAAUAGUGGACAAGAAGCUGGCAGUGCGGAGAAGAAUGCCUAGUAGAGAAUAAACCACUGUUGCCUUGGUGUAGAGCACAUCAUACAUAAAACUAAGCUCCACCUCUACCACUUUGAAGGCAUCUUCGAAUGACAAUUCCUUGAUGAUGCGCAUAUUGGUUUUUUGGUCAUUCAUGCUGAGGAUGAGGUCUGCAUAUAGAUGCCUGAAUUGCUUCUUGAAUAAGAAGUAAGCUUUAUCAAUAUAUGUUCCAACCGGAAUAGUCAUGCCUUCAUCAAUAGAUCGACUGACUGCAAUUGCCCUCACUUCGCCUUUCUGUAAACAAGAAUAAUCAGGUCCAGGAUUAGGAACUGGAAGCAAAGAAUCUCUAAAGUGAUUCUUGCUUGCAGAUCUCAGAACCCAGGUCCUCUCUCCAUACUUGAUCAUUCCAACCACAAACAUUGGGAUGGAUAGAAAUGUGAGUGGAGUUCCUGCCCAUGACCUCAGAAACACGUAGAAAGCCACUCCAACUUGGACAACUAGUCCUAGCAAGUGCCUUAACCACAACUCAUUAUAUUCUGAGGAGUAAGCCGAUAUAGUGUCCGGACCACCAAGGUGCAAGAGAAGGAAUGGCGCCCAAAAUGCCAUGAGGGUAUAGUUUGGAUCCAGAAGUUUCCCUUCCGAAUCUCCUUGGCUGUUGGAGAGGAUACCCAGGGAUACUGUCGCCACCCAGUCUGCGGACAAGUAUGCCGACCAAAUCAGGAUUCUGAUCCAAGGUGUGGCUGUGUGCUUUCGUCGAUUGCUAAAGAUGAUUAGGAAGAUUUGUAGGAAAAGGCUUAGUAGAACCAUGAAGCGUAGCUCCCAUUCAUUCCAAAGUUUCCGCACACUUUCUGAGAAUAUCUGCAUUGCUCUCGCGCCUGUUCUCUGUAAAAAGAUCCAACAGAAAACAACUAAACAUUCAAAAAUAUUAGAGCCUAAAAUGAAGAAUGAAAGAAUAAAUUUGUAAAAUAAAACUCUUAAAUUCAUACCAAUCAUUUUUCACUUUUAUUCAUUUGCCACUUGUAACUUUCCAACAUUUAUAACUCAGCAUUAAAAUUUAGCACUUAAUUUUUAAUCUUCAGUUUUAUUAAACACCUUAUGAAUAGCUUCAAUUUUCACUUAAAAUUAGGAAGAUAAGUUGUUUCAACAUUUUUUUAUACUUUUUUUUUAGAAACUAUUUUUAAAUUAAAAAAUAAAAUAUAAUUUUAAUAAAUUUUAUUAAAAGAAAUAAGAGUUUUUAACAAGUUGUUUUUUAAAAAACAAAAACUUGUUUCCAUAAAUUAUAUUAAAAAAUGGUUUUUAUUAAAUUAAUUAGUUAAAAUGGAUAAAAUAAUAUUUUUGAUAUGAAAGUCCUUUUACUAUUUCAAAUAGUUAGAUUUCAAAAUUUGGGUUUCAAAUAAUUCUUUUAAUCAAAUAAUCCUUUUCUGUUUUGAUAUUGUAAAAACAUUGUAAAUUUAAUUUAUAUAAUAUUAAUUAAAUUUAAUUCAAAUCUUAUUAAAAAUAAAAUUAGUUUUUUAAUUACAAAUAAAUUAAAAAAUUCAUAGGUUUUUGUAAAACAUGAAUAAUAAUAUUAUAAUAAAAUCAUAAAUUAUAAUUUUUUAUUUAAAAAAUCACUAUUUCAAUAUGUAUUAAAAAAUAUGGAUAUUAACAUGUUUAUAAAAGGGUCAUUAAUUUCUUUUUUGUUAAAAGUGAAUAAUAAUAAUAUUGUAUUUAAAAUGAAUAUAAAAUAAAAUUUAGCUUUUUUAACAUGUAAAUGAACCAAAACUUUUCAUUACACACACACUCGUUUAGAAUGUUUGGAUUAAAUAUAUAACUAAUUAAUUCAAUUUUUUGAAUUUAAAAUUAUUCUCAAAAAUUAAAAGGUUCAUCAAAAAUUUAAAUUAUUAAUUAUGUGUUACUUAAUUUAGAAUCUAGUUAUGUAAUUAAAAAAAUUAAAAAAUUAUAAUUGUGUAUAAAAGAGAAAUAGUGAAGUCAUAAUUCUAUUUUUUGAGUUUCAAUUAUAUAUUAACUCUUUAAAUUAAUUUAUCAAAUAUCAUCUUAUAUUUAGCAUUGAAACUUCAAUUAUAUUGUUCCCUAAAAUAAAAAUAAAAGUAUUAUGUCUAGUAACUACACAUGAACUUACAAGAAAUACUUGAAUAAAGGGCUGGUUUUGGCUCUCCUACGACUCCUUUUUGUGACUCACAAUUGGGAGUCCUUUGUGUGCGUAUUUAUUGGGGAAAAUAGAGUUUCCCUUGAAUCUGAGGAAAGGAUGCGGUGCAGGAGUUGUUGGUCACAGUACGCAUACUUUAAGGGCAUCACCCGCAAAAUGACAUUAUCUUUACUUCAUUAUAAUGCAAAUAUAACUCUUUUCCUUUCAUUUAUUCCCAAUUUUGCUAUGUGCAGAAUCAUCUGAUCACUGGGGUGUACUCAUAGUCACAUUAAUAAAUGUAAGGGAGAAGCCCAGAGUGUAGGACUUGGUCACAAGUCGAGAAACACAUACUAAUUUCGCCUUUGAUUUUGUGGAACAGUGUCAUGGCUGCAAUUUUGACCGGAUGAUUACUAACCCAAAUUCAAACCGAACUAAAAAGCAAUUGAUCAAAAUCUAACCCAACGUAACUUCUACCCCAAAUUUUUCAAUCAAAACCUAAACUAACCUCAUUUCUCUAAACCCCGAUUGAGUUCAAGGCAGUCAAGUUUUGUUUCAGAUUAAUUAAGUUACAUAAUUCAAAAUCCUUUUAUAAUACAUAUAACAAAAUUUUUAUAUAUUUAUAUGAAAAUUUAAAUAAUAAAAUAAGACAAAAUUUAGAUAUAGCAAAAAUGUAAAAACAAAAUUGUAUAUAUUUUUAUAAAAAGAAAUGAAGAUAUAUAUUAUAUAAUAUUAAUUUAACAUUUUUUCACAAAAAUAUAAAAAAAUGAAUAUUAUUGUACAAGAUAAUAUAUAUUAUAAAUAUUAAGAAACAUUAAACUGAAUUCAAAUUAGGUUUAUUCAAACCUGAGGAAAAUAUAAUGUUCUUUUGAAUUAUAUAAUUCAAAAUUUAUUUAUAAUAUUUUUUUAAUAAAAUUUUUAUAUAUUUAUAUGAGAAAUUAAAUACUAAAUAAAAAAAAAUAUAUGUAACAACAAAAAGUAAAAAUAAAUUUACAUUUAAAAAAAAUGAACAUGUUUAUUAUAUAAUAUUAACUUGAUAUUUUUUUAAAAAAAUCUAAAAAAAAUGAAUAUUUUUAUAUAAAAUAAUAUACAUUAUAAAUAUUACAGAAACGUUCAAAUUAGGUUUUUGUUGCCCAAACCCUAAUCUUAACCUAUGCACAAACCAAAUUGAAUUUGAUUUGAAAACUUUAACUCAAGCUCAAUCCCAAUAAUAAAAAUGAUUAUCUAAACCCGCCAAACAUUAUAUCAAGUUUAGAUUGAGUCGAGCUGACCCGCCCCAAAUUGCACCCUAAGCACUAUCCAAUGAAUAAUGAACUUGUGCAUUCACUUGAAAAGUUCCCUAUCAUAAGUGACAGAACAGUACUAUAUUCACUGAGUAUGGCUUCUGCUUUCUUUUUCUUUUUCUUUUUCUUUUUCCUUUUUCACACCUCACUUGUUAAUUUUCUUGUUUUUCAGAUCCUCCUGUGCCACAUUUUACCUUCUAACCAUUAUUUCUUAACUACGAAAAAACUCACAAGACUAGACAGAAGAUUAGCACAGAAAGAUGCAGCAGAUUCUCCAUCGCUUGCUCCUCUUUUUCUCCUUACACUCAACUCAUGUGUCAUUGACCAACUCAAAGAUCAAAGGGCAAUAAUAAUUUGUUUAAAAAUUAUUAUCACAUAAUUUUAUGUUAAAAAACGAUAUUGUAAAAAUGUAUAUUUUUUAAUUGAUGGAUAAUUAUGAUAUUUUUUUUAAAAAAAUUCUGUUAUGGUAUUAUUGUCUUGAUCAUUACCUUGUUCAUGGAAGCUAAUAUACAAAUGUCGGUAUCUUAAGUUUGCAACAUAAUAUCUUUAGAUCUUUGAAAAUAAUGUCUCAAAUCCUUGGGAUUGUAAGCUACAUAAGGGGAUUAGAGUGCUCAAAAGCCUCAGAAUGGUAAUCCUGAUUAUAAUGCCAUGUUAAAUGUUAUAAAAUGGUGAGACUAUGAUUGCUGAGGUGGUGGUUCACUGUGUGAAAGGCGGAGCGUAGUGGUGACUGGUGAGAUGGUAUGGUGGCCGACCAAAAAAAGAGAGGAAGAAGAUUUGCUGGGAACAAGGAAAGCACCCCAAAUCAGUUUUUCUUUUUCUUUUGACACUUUUUCUUUGUCCAGUUGGAAUUUUCUUUAGCUAGAUGGAGUGCUGAUCAGGUAAAUUUAGAACUCAAGCAUAGUAGGAAUAACCCAACCUAGAGUUUGGAUUAGGUCUUGGUGGACAAGAGACUGAUCACUCCAAAUCAAUUUCUCUUUCUUUCUUCUUUUAUCAGUUUUUUGAGCAUCACCCAGAAUUCUUUAUUCACAGGAACAUAUUUACAAGAUUAAACAGAAGAUUAGCACACAGAAAUACAGAAGAAGAUUGUGGUGAAAUGAUGUAGUACAGCAAGAGAGUUGACAGUGGCAGAGUGGAGAAUAAAAAAGAUCGAUCAGUCCUUGGUGUGACUACCCUAUAUAUAUACUAUAUUAAGAAUCAAACAGUCAAUAUAUAUAGUUUGGCAUCGUCCAGUUAAUAUAUUUUUAGACAUCUUCUCAGAUGAUUCUGAUCAAUGAUUCAAUCUCUUCUUGUGUCAAUUCCUUUUGGUAGUUGUUCUGAUUCAAGAAAAUCACAGUUAAGUACACGAUCAUGUGAUCCAUCCAACACCUUCAAUUUGGCCAAUUUUGGUUAAUUUCAUAGUUCUAAGGUCCUAGAAAAUCAUGCCAGACAGCCAGGACCAUUUUACAUGUUUUUUUUUUUACUUUGUUACUGUUGGGAUGCAUUUGGUUUGUGGGAAUCAAAAUGAAAAUAUGAUGAGAAUGAAGGUGAAUCAUAAUGUUACAUAGAAGAGAUGAAUCAAAAUACUAGUGAGAGCGAGAUUUGAUUUCUAUACUAAUGAAUUUUUUAUUCCUAUUUCCUUUCUAAAAAAAUAAUUCAAAUGAAGAAAUAAGUCGGAAUGAAACUAAUUUCCCAUUCUCCUUAUCUAUUCUAGGUUCUAAACCUAAUCUUAAGGUUAUUCUUAUGCAUUUUUCAUCCAUGUACUUCUGCAAUUUUGAGGAAUUCAAACUAUUUCCAAAGGACGAGAUAGAAAACAAUGUGCUUAAAGGAAAACAAAAGGAAGAUGUCAAAUGGUAUGUUUGGAAGUUAUUUUAAUACCUAUUUUUUUAUUUUUAAGAAAAAAAUAGGAAAACAUGUUUGACAAUCCAAAGAAAAAAAAAUCAGUUUUUAAAGAUAUAAAAUAAGGUUUUUUCUUAGAAUGAAUAUUUUAGUCGUUUAAUUGCAAUUAUUUUUUAAAAAUUGUUUUAAAAAAUAAUUACAUAAAUAUAGAGAAAAAUUGAAAAUAAAGUAUCAAAUAUAAAAACUAUAUUUGAAAAAUAUAUAAAAAAAUGUUUAAAACAGUUUAAGUUUCCAAAUAAACUUUUAUUUUAUAAAAUAUUGAAGAAAUUAUUUCAAAAUUAGUUUUCAAAAACCAUUUCUUAGAAUUGUUUUAAGAAAUAUACUUUCCAAAUAGAGUCAAGGCUUUUUAAUUUAGUAUAAGGAAAAAGUGUGUUUUGGUACAAAAGUAUUAAAAAAAUGGAAAAUAAAAACCUCCAAAAAUAAUUCAAAUUUAAGGCAUCAAAAUCGAAAAUCUUGAUGUUAGAGGAUGAUAUUAUAAAUAUAUAAUUUAUAUUUUAUGAAAAUUAAAAAUAAUUAUAAAAAUAUAUAAAUAAUUAAUAUAUUAAUAAUAUUUGAUAAAUUGGUGAUGACUUCUCAACCGACAAAAAACUCAUUAAUUAUCAUCUUAUUAUUUUGAGUUUCCAUCAUUACCUUCAUCAAGAAGGUCUUUUAUUCUCUUCUUAUUCCUUUGAAAAUAAAGCAAGAUAUUUUAUUUUCCUCUCGUUCCUUUUUUUUUUCUCGGUUAUUUUAUGUAUUUUCUGUUUCCCCCCACCUGUAUGCAUUCUCUAUUUUCUCUUUUUCAUUCCCUCAUUCUAAUUAUUUGCUUUCCUUUCUCUGUUUUCCUUUCAGUCUAAUUAUUUCACUCAUUCUAACAAUUGGCUUUUCCAAGCGAAGAGGGAUCUAGGUAAAAGAAAUAUCAUACAUGAGAGGAAGGCUUUCCGAGACCAAUCUGACCAACUAACAAGGCUGAAUCCAAAGAAUCGACUAACAGUGUUCUGUGCAUCAUCUACCGAAUCAAGGUUGCUCUACGAUCUUAGUGGCUGUAGAUAAGGUGGAAUCGCCCACCGAAACAGAGAAUCUGGUUCUUUCUGCCGAGCCACAGGCCAAGUCCUCUGUUUCAAACACAUCCGUAUCGGAACCGAAUGAAGUAGGCACCGGAACAGUACAUCCUGCAGUUCUUUCCUCUUGACCUCUUUGUUUCUUCCAAAAGCUCUCAACAGGCCUUGAUCCAGCAGCUGAUCUACCACCAGCCUAAACAUACCAUCCAAAAGCAUUUGCAUCCGUUUUUUUUCAGGACCAACUGGACCACAACGUUCAGUUUCUCUUCUCGAACCAGCAAAUCCUGGUCCCUUAAUAGACUUAUAAAUAUCCGAGCUUUAAGCUGCAAACUCUUACAUAGGAGCCAAUUGGAGAAGAGAAAGCUGAGUGGUUUUCCGCAGGAUCUUUUGCAGAAGUAGAGACGGUGUAUCGUUUUCAUAGCAGGCCUAGCUUUUCUCCGCUCACACGGUUCGCAGGUUGGAAAAGUCCCUUCGCAAGAGAGGAAAGCCAAAAAGAAGAGAUUGCUUUCCUCCUUCUCGAACUCUCGUGAUCUACGGCCACCCUUGGAAAGACUUUUUCCUAUGAUGGUGAUUCCUAAUAUGAACGAGACAGGGGGAACGACAAUUGCUGGCCUGGCCUACUCAUCGGGUUUGUGACAACAGUUUAAAAAAAUACUCUUGUUAAAAAUCUCCUACCUCCUCGCUCGUCGGUAUUAGGAAAAGGUCCAACGUGAUUGGCACACACAAAACAAGCCGUUCCUGAUCUUCGAUCACCCUGCCCUUCAUUCAAUAGAUCGCUUAGCUCUACUUAGUCGAUUCCCUGUGUUCAUGGCUUUGAAUUUUUGGAAAUGCUUUUAUUUUCGAUAAAGAUCUCGAUGACCGCUUAAUUCAUCUGUCCUUUCCCGCUUCUGGAUGAGAAGUUUUUUUUUUUAUUCCCUGAUCUACGAGCACCCUGAGAAAAGUGAUCUAUGAACCUUACAGGCUUUCGACUGAAAAGUGACCAAUGGAAUAGGCUUUAGAGUAGCUCUUUCCAAAUAGGUCGAGAAAUUAAAUUUUAAGGAGGUCUCUAGUUGGGAUUCACAAGUGUAAAUAGAAGUCAGGUGAAACAUAGGAAUUCCAGAGUAAGAAUAAUAGGCAGAAUAUCAGAUCAGUUCACCUUAAGACCUCAUCUUAAGCCUAUGUUCGCACGGUUAGAAAUAGAAUUUUAAGGAGAACAAAAGUCGGCAUUGUUUCAACCAGCCUAGACCUUGAUACAAUUUAAGCCGUUAAACGAACUCAACAUUCUCCGACUCAAUCCAUGCAAUCCAACCUCUCAUGAAUUUUAAACAAUUUCUCAGAAGAAUAAACAAAUAAAGCAUAAUUAAAAAGAAGAAGAAGAAAGAAGUCGGUUUGAAAGCAAACUAAGAAGGGAAAUGUACCAGAGUAUGACGAUGGUGGGUUGGUUGGAGCUGUUCACGAUGUUCCGCUCAUGAAGGUGGGAGUAGUGUACUGGUGAGAAGGUGGAUGGCCGGAGAUGGUGGCCAACGGCAGUGAGAAUGGUGACUUUGUGACCCUUGAAUGGGUUUGCAUUAGUAGUUUUAAACCAGAGAAAAGGCCAAAAAAGAAAAAGAAGAGAUAGAGAGAGAGAGUCGUCUCGUGGGGCGGCGGAAGCGUGUUUCUGUAGCAAUAAUUCGAAGAAAGUAGGUGGUCGACGGCAGUAGUACUAGUUUGUUGAGUCACUUUGAUUCCAAAAUUGAAAGUCCAUACCCACUUUGAUUUAAAAAUAAUAAUAUAAUAAUAAAAAUAAUAUCAAUAAUUCCUCCUUCACGUUUGUUGGAUUCAUCAAUGAAGUUUCUUGCAGUGGAGGCCAGCAGUGAUGCUUUCAGUUAUAUCACAGGGUGGCUUUAGCAGUGUAAAAAUAAACAGGUUUCACAUUUGAUAGCAUUCAAAUACUAAUGAAAUAAAACAUUUUAGUACUUAAUAUAUAUAAAGGCUGCAAUCCUCAAGCAACAAACAGGUUUUUGUAAUUGGAUGGAUGAAUUGAAUUAGAAAUACUAAGAAUCAUGAUUCAUUGGUUAGUGUAUUCGGGUCCAACUAUGGUCAAACAUAGUGAUGUGAUGUCAGGAUGACAUUAUAAAUAUAUAAUUUAUAUUUUAUUAAAAUAAAAAAUAAUUAUAAAUAUAUAAAUAAUUAAUAAUAUUUGAUUUAAAAAAAUAAUAUUAUUAAAUUAAAUCAUGAAAAAGAUAUAUAUAUAUAUAUCACUAUUUUCAAUUUUUAUGUGAUAAAACAUUUAUAAUUUUAAGUGUAAAGAUAUACUUAGGAUGAAAAUAUAUAUAUAUUUAUAGUACAAUCAAAUAUGAGAAAACUAUUUUUUAUUUUCAUUUUUUUUUUAUUUUCGUAAUAUUUUUUGAGAACCAAACAUAACCUUUAUAUAGAAGCCUUAAAAGAAGUGAAAUGAAUUUGAAAUAAUAUUUAACAAUAAUUUAUUAACUUUGAAUCAAAAUUUUAUUUUCUUUUCACUUUAUCUUUUUUAAUUUAUUUUAAAAUAUUAAAAAUAUAAAUUUAUUCAAAAUUUGCUAAAAUAUAAUAAUAAUAAUAAUAAUAAUAAAGUUCUAAUAUUUUAUAAACUAAAAUUAAUUUGACAAGAUAAGUUAUUAAUAUAUAUUUAAAUUAUUUAAAUAAAUUAAUGAUAAUAUAAAAAGUUAUUACCACAUAUUUGUAGUAAAAUUUUAGAAAUUAAAUUUCAAAUAAAAUAUUUUAUAUAAAUCAAUUUAUUUUUUUUUAUUUAAAAUGUAAAAAAACAUGUUUUAAUAAAAGUAUUUUUUAAAUUUUAAAAUAAUAAAAAGAUAUUUUAAACUAAUUUUUUUUUAUAAAAAUUUGAUAAAUAUUAUCUUUAAUUAUACUUAUGUAAAUUGCAAUUAUAAAAUAAUUUUAAUAUGUAUAUUUUUACUUAUUUUAUCAUUUUUUAAAAAGUUUUCUAAGUAUCUUCAUAAAUUUUGAAUCAUUUCUAUUUGAUCCAUAUUUUUGUCAAAAUACUCAUUGAUUUUUGUUAGAUAUUUUCGAUAUAUCCGCAAAAUCAAAAUACCAAUAUAUCCAUAUUUACUGAUAUUUCAAAUAUUACUUCUCAUUUAUUCAAUUAUGGAAACAUAUAAGACCACAAGUAAUCGGAAGAAGAUUAGAUUUAGGCGAAUUGAUGUAACAAUGGAGGCCAGUCAACAACAGUGGUGCUGUUGAAAUUAAUGGAUAUUUAGGGUUAUAGGUUUCAAAAAUUGUUUAGGCUUAAUUGAUUUUCCAAACCCUCUUUGGGAUAUUUAGGGUUUUAAAAGAGAAGUAAAAACAAUUAUUAUUACAUAACUUUAUGUUUAAGGAUGAUAUUUUCAAUUUUUCUUUUUAAGUUAUUGAUAGUUAUGAUAUUUAAUAUAUAUAUUUUUUUUUUGCUACGAUUAGAAAAUACACUAUUAUUGUCUUGGUCAUAACUAAAAGUGCUCAAUCUCUUUUGAGCUGUAUGAGAUUACCUUGUUCAUGGAAGCCAACAAUGAUGUCCAAAUAUAAAUGUUGGUAUCUUAGGUUUGCAAUAUAAUAUUGUUCUUUGAAAAUGAUUGUCCCAAGUCCUUGGGGAUUAUAAGGUACGUAAGGGGAUUGAUGUGCAGUAGAGCCUCAGGAUGUUAAGUCUCAAAAGUCGAAAUAAUGCAAAGUUGAAUGUAUAUAAAGGCUUUACCUCCCUACAUUAAUAAUCAAUUUGCUUUAAAAUGAGAUGACUAAACCCUUGAGCUUAGCAAGUGGUCUCAAGUUAUGGAUUCACGUCACCAAAACCUCAUGUUCUCAAAUUUUAAAUUUGCGAUAAUAACGCUAUAGCAUAAACACUAAGCCCCAAAAUAAGCUUCAGGCAAUCCUAGGAUGGAAGUACUAUAAAAUAAUAAAUUUAAAAUUUCAUAAUUAUUAAUUACUUUUGAAGCAUUUUCUCUUCUUUGAAUUCCAUCCAUAUGACCUACUACUUAAUUUUUCAAAAUUAAUUAUUAAUAAUAUAUAAUGAGAUUUUAAAAAUACAUAUGAAAAAAGUCAAUCUAGAUACAAAUUAUUAUUAUUUUUUUUAUAAUCAAGGAACAUUUCAUAGUUAAACUCUUAGGACUUUCAUGAAGACCCAAACUACCUCGUGGUGCUGACCAUUUCGUAAUAAUUAAUACUAGAUAAAUUUAGGGUAUCAUUAAUGAUAAGAUUCGAAUCUAAAACCACGUGUUACUUACCUGAACCACACUUCCUAGUGUUUGAUUGUAGGUACAAAUUAUUAUUAAUUAUAAAAAUUAAUAAUUAAAAUUAAAUUUAAAAUAUUAAAUUAUUGAUAUUCUAAUUUAGUUACCAUAAUAAAUUUUUAUUUAAAGAAUUUAUUUGCUGAUUAUAAAAAAAAAACUAAAAGUGUAAACGAUAAAAAGAACAAAUAUAUCACCCAUAAGAUGGGUAUAAACAAUAUUGAUUUUAAAAAACAAAGAUAAAUAAAAUAGUUAAAAAUAUAGCCACUUUAUAAAAUAUUUUAUACCUAAAAUAACCUUUACAAUAAAUUUUAUUUUUCUAUUAUAUCAAACAAAUAUUAAUAUUGAAUAUCAAUUUAUUAUUAAUUAAUUUAUUAUAAAAGAUAUAUGAAUAUGGAUUUAUUAUUAAAGAUAUGAGAUAAUAAGUAUUAAUAUUAUGUAAGCAAAUGUGUGAUUCAUAAUUAUUUAUUAUAAAAAAUAUAUAAAUAUAAGAAGAUUAAGUAUCAAUAUUAUGAAAAUAAAUUAAGUAAUAUAAAGAAUUAUUUAUUUUUAAAAAUAAUUGAAUAUAAUAAGAUGGUAAGUAUUAGUUUUAUGUAAAAUAUUGUAAAUUUAAAACGGAACUUAUAUUUUUUAACCCUUCAAUAUCUAUAGGAAAAUCAUUCAAAAUAUAUGAAUAUAAAUUAAUUACUAUUUUUUUUCAUUAUUAAAGAUAUAGGAAUAUGAGUUUAUUAAUAUAGAAAGUUGCUCAUUUACUAUAAACUUUUUUGUUUAAUUUUUUUUACUACAUUUUGUAAAAUAUUAAAAUAUAUAUAUAUAUAUAUAUAUAUAUAUAUAUAUAUAUUUUGCUGCCUCACAUGCAUGACACGUGUGACAGAUGAAUUCCUUGCAUGGCUGUAGGCAGAGAGGGUUAGACACCUAUGUCAAGUGUAAGUCAUAUAUCCCUUAUCAUAUAUGAAGGCAACUAGAAGUCUAUAAAAUGCACAAACUUCUAUCUCCUUUCACUUCCAUGGGUGGGAGAUAUGAUCUGAUAGCAGGCUUGAAAGCUAUGCAUUUUGUACUCAACCAAGCUUGAUUUUGUUUAGAUCAGUAUAGAUAAUAGAAGUGGUCAGUUGUAAUGUGCCUGAUGAGGAGAAUGCUCUGAUUGAACUCUUCCUCCAUGCUCCAACCAAGGAGAUCAUUCAUUUUUUCAGGCACAUGAUCACCUUGAUAUAGUGAUAUACAUGGAGAAGAUAGUGUACUUGUGCAGUUUCCUGGCAGCCUAAGAUUUCUGAGGCCUGUGAAUUUGGUCUAUCUAUAGAGUAUGGCAUAAUGUUUAUCAGCAAGCUUGAGUAUUACACCAAGCAGAAAGUAGUUUUUGAGUCUAGAUUGCCUUCAUUCUCCGAGGUUGAAAUGAAUACUUGAAAUGUUGAUUCGGUCUUGAAGUCCUUACCAAACUUUUGAAUAUCUCUAGCCCUUACUUCCUUCAAAGCUUAGAGAACCAUUCUACCAUAUUUAGCUACUUUCAGACAUCUUUGUAUUGCUAUUCUGAGUAGCAGCCAACCGUAUUGUCUAAAAAAUAUCACAUGGCCUGUCACUUGGCAAAUACUACUAGACGCAUUGUAGUUUGGGCAGGAAAGUCAGUAUGCAUUUCCCACCUUACCUUAGUCUUGUGGAAGAGAAGGAUUUCCACACUGGAGACCUUUGUUUAUUUGUGUUGACUCCUCCUAGAAAAAGAACUGAUGGUCCCAUCCUGCACUGUGGAUUCUCAAAGGAUAGUACUAAAAGAAGAUGAGGGCAGCCAUCAUCUUUGAACACUACAUAUUGAGACAAAAAAAGGUAUCAUUUUUUGGGGGAAAAAAAGGGUUGUGAUCCCCACCCCACCUAACCUUGGAAAUUUCAAGGAGACUGCAAAAUGGCUUUUCAAAAGACUCAGAACAUUUCCAAAGCGAAGUCCAUAUUAUUAUUAUUAUUAUUUUGUGCUAAUUCCAUGUACAAGACUCAUAAAUUUUAGUGUGUUGCAUAGACUUAAGAGUUGUGCUUUCUUCAAUCAAAUGGAUCUCCCUCAUCUCACUCAGUAGAGCACAUAGGCCUCAUAUUUGGCUUGCAACUGUGGCUUUUGCCUUCAUCACACGGUGGAGUGGAGGCUUUCAGUUCUAUCACACGGUGCCUUUAGCAGUGUCAAAAUAAACAGGUUUCACAUUUGAUAGCAUUCAAAUACUAAUGAAAUAAAACAUUUUAGUACUUGAUAUAUAUAUAAAGGCUGCAAUCCUAGCAACAAACAGGUUUUUAUAAUUGGAUGGGUGAAUUGAAUUAGAAAUACUAAGGAUCAUGAUUCAUUGGUUAGUGUAUUCGGGUUCAACUAUGGUCGAUCAUCGUGAUGUGAUGUUAGGAUGACAUUAUAAAUAUAUCAUUUAUAUUUUACUAAAAUAAAAAAUAAUUAUAAAUAAUUAAAAAUAUAUAAAUAAUUAAUAUAUUAAUAAUAUUUGAUUUUCUUAAAAACUUUAAUAUUAUUAAAUUAAAUCGUGAAAAAGAUAAAUAUAGAUAUAUCAAUAUUUUCAAUUUUUAUGUGAUAAAACAUUUAUAAUUUUAAGUGUAAAGUUACACUUAGGAUGAAAAAAUAUAUAUUUAUAGUACAAUCAAAUAUGAGAAAACUAUUUUUUUCUUUCCUUAAUAUUUUCUGAGAACUAAACAUAACUUUUAUAUACAAGCGAAGUGAAAUGAAUUUGAAGUAAUAUUUAACAAUAAUUUAUUAACUUUGAAUCAAAAUUUUAUUUUCUCUUCACUUUAUUUUUUUAAUUUAUUUUAAAAUAUUAAAAAUAUAAAUUUAUUCAAAAUUUGCUAAAAUAUAAUAAUAAUAAUAAUAAUAAUGAAGUUCUAAUAUUUUAUAAAUUAAAAUUAAUUUGACAAGAUAAGUUAUUAAUAUAUAUUUCAAUUAUUUAAAUAAAUUAAUGUUAAUAUAAAAAGUUAUUACCACAUCUUUGUAACAAAAUUUUAGAAAUUAAAUUUCAAAUAAAAUAUUUUAUAUAAAUCAAUUUAUUUAUUUUAUUUAAAAUGUAAAAAAACAUGUUUUAAUAAAAGUAUUUUUAAAAUUUUAAAAUAAAUAAAUAAAAAUAUAUUUUAACCUAAUUUUUUUUUAUAAAAAUUUGAUAAAUAUGAUCUUUAAUCAUAUUUAUGUAAACCGCACUUAUAAAAUAAUUUUAAUAUGUAUAUUCUUACUUAUUUUAUCAUUUUUAAAAAAAGUUUUCUGAGUAUCUUCAUGAAUUUUGAAUCAUUUCUAUUUGAUCCAUAUUUUUGUCAAAAUAUUUAUCGAUAUUUGUUAGAUAUUUUCGAUAUAUCCGUAAAAUUCAAAUACCAAUAUAUCCAUAUUUACUGAUAUUUUAAAUAUUACUUCUCAUUUAUUCAACUAUGAAAACAUAUAAGAGUACAAGUAAUCAGAAGAAGUUUAGAUUUAGGCGAAUUGGUGUAACAAUGAAGGCCAGUCAACAACAGUGGUGCUGCUGAAAUUAAUGGAUAUUUAGGGUUAUAGGUUUCAAAAAUUGUUUAGGCUUAAUUGAUUUUCCAAACCCUCUUUGGGAUAUUUAGGGUUUUAAAAGAGAAGUAAAAACAAUUAUUAUUAGAUAACUUUAUGUUUAAGGAUGAUAUUUUCUAUUUUUCUUUUUAAGUUAUUCAUAAUUAUGAUAUUUAAUUGAAAUUUUUUUGCUACUAUUAGAAAAUACAUUAUUAUUGUCUUGGUCAUAACUAAAAGUGCUCAAUCUCUUUUGAGCUAUUGGAGAUUACCCUGUUCAUGGAAGCCAACAAUGAUGUCCAAAUAUAAAUGUCAAUAUCUUAAGUUUGCAAUAUAAUAUUGUUCUUUGAAAAUGAUUAUCCCAAGUCCUUGGGGAUUAUAAGGUACGUAAGGGGAUUGAUGUGCAUUAGAGCCUCAGGAUGUUAAGUCUCAAAAGUCGAAAUAAUGCAAAGUUGAAUGUAUAUAAAGGCUUUACCUCCCUACAUUAAUAAUCAAUUUGCUUUAAAAUGAGAUGACUAAACCCUUGAGCUUAGCAAGUGGUCUCAAGUUGUGGUUCACGACACCAGAACCUCAUGUUCUCAAAUUUAAAAUUUGUGAUAAUAGUGCUCAUUGGAUUAAUAUGAUAGCAUAAACACUAAGCCCCAAAAUAAGCUCCAAGAUAAGGGUGUUGCACCUAGUUUUCAAUCCUAGGAUGGAAGUACUAUAAAGCGCUAGCUAGAUAGUAAACUCCAAGUUUUCAACAUUAGGAUGGAUGUGAUAUAAUUCUCAAAGAUGGUUAACUCAACAACCUCAAUGUAAGUUGUUUCAGGUUUUCAUCUCUAUGAUGGGUGUGUAGUAAAGUCUCAAGAUGGGUGUGUUCCAAGCUUUUUUAAGUAAGCUUUGGAAAGUCAUCAUGUCCUCCUCAGAACAAUAAGUGUCGAGAUAUUAGUAUUAUAAAGCCUUGGGAUGGUCGCUUGGCCUAGAAUGGUUAAUCUGUGAGAUGGGUGCACUAUAAAACCUUAGAAUAGGUUUAUUGUAAGCCUUUGGGGAUGUUAUUGCUUAUAGCCAAUUGACUUGGGAAAGUGUGUUGUGAACCUUAAUAUAGUAAUAUAAGGGUUCGUGUGUUAUUGAUUUUAGGAAGUUUUUUUAAUGUAAAAAGUAUUUAAAAUAAAAAUAUUAGGUGUUUGUCAAAAUUUAGGAAACAUUUCUAACAACCUAAAAAUCAUUUAUAAUAUUAAAAAAUCACUUCAAAUAAAACACUUUCAAAUAAAACACUCUCACUAAAAAACUUCAAGUAGAAAUAUUGUCAAACACAUUUUAAAACAUUGGAAUGGAUGCGGUGAAGACAACCUUUGAGAUAAGUGUGUUUAAGCAUUAGUAUGGUAAAUCCUAGAUUAAAGUAAUAUCAAAUAUCAUAAAAAAUUUGUCUUCUUUUAUUGAUGCUUAAUCGAUGUAUUCAACUAUCAUGAUGAAAAUCUUAAAACCGACAAUAAAAUAGGUCUUGAAUGAGAAGUAAGCAUUAUGUACACAUUUUGGAUUAGGAAUAGUUGUACGUGUUUCAUUUACGAAGACUGUAGAAAUGCUUUUUUGUGAUUUUUUUUUUGAAGUACCCUGCCUUUAAAAUCUUUAAUUAUUGAAUUUUUUUAAAUCAAUGUCUAUAAUUGUAUUUUAACUACCUAGCUACAAUCUAAAAAUUAAAUCGAGGUAUUAACUCCACUAAAUAAUAGAAUGACAAUAGCUUGAAUAAAAAUUAAUUAAACGUGAUAAAACUAUAGACUAAGUGGACAUUGAUGGUUUUGGACAAUGUAAAACCAGUGUGCACCCAAGACUCGAAGAUAUCGAAUUGAAUCAAAAGAAAAGUUCAGGUAUUCUCUUGAAAAGUUUAGGUAUUUUGUAUAUUGUAUUGCAUUAUGCUUGAUUGGUUCAGGAAUGCAUUAAGAAAAAUUACUUUUUCAUAUAAGGAUAAUUUCAUUUAUCUCUCUUAAAGCUUUGACUAAAUAUAUAUAACUUUUAUUGAUUUGAAAUUUCAUCAAAUAUCUUUCAUAUAUAUUUAUAUUUAUUAUUUUCAUUCACCUCUCAUUUCAUCUAAAAUAAGAAAGGUGUUGGGUGAAAUUUCAAACAAAUGGAGGUUAAGUGUAUUUGAUCAAAUAUUGAGGAGAGAUGAGUGAAAUUAAUCUUUUAUGUUUGGUUUUAUCAUUAAAAAAAUAAAUAUAUAUAUAUAAUUAAAAUUAAUUAAACAUAAAAGUAUGUUUAAUGUGGAAUAAAGAGGUAAAGAGAAUAAACGAGAAGUAUAUUAUACAUAUCAUACAACUUUGUAGAGAGAGAUGUAUGAAUUGGCACCUAAAAAAUAGUACUUUGUAUCUAUCUUGCAAAUGUUUUAUAAGUAUCCUAUAUGCAAUAUAAUUCGUUGAGUCAAAUACAAAAACAUAUGAGUAUUUGAAAUAUUAAGGAUGGCCAAGGAUUGGUUUUACUUCAUCUAAUAUUUGGAAUUGCUCACUUAAACCAAGAUGUGCAAUAAGAAGACAGACAUGAGUGAGCAAGCUCUCCACCUCGCCUAAGCUGAUGGUCGUGUUGAACCCAUUCACAAUGAGUAGCCGCAUAGAAUAGCCUCUCCGUCCAUAUAUGACUUAUUAUAACCCAUUUCUCUUCUGUCCCCGCCAUUUCCUCUAAUUCUAAUAUUUUGGCAGGCUUACAUGCCUUGAAUAAUACAGACUUGCUUUUAUCUCCUUUCACAUCUCUAGGUAGUGGUUGCGUAUCAACUUCAAGCAAUGAUGUGCAAGCUUCAUCUCUAUUAGAUAUGGCCUCCCUUUUUUUGUUGAGAAGCUUUUAUCUCCCUUUUUGGUAGGCCACUUAUUAAACCAAAUUUCAUGAGAAGCUUGACAUUACCAAAAUAAAAAUCAAAAUCAAAAUUUCCCAUAAAGUAAUGUACGAAAUCCAUGGACCAAAGAUCUUUUGAAAAGAUUAUAUUAGAAACUAUAGCUUAAAUUCUAUAAAAAUAGGGAGAAAAAAAAAACAAAAAAAUACAAUUUAAGCCAUUAAACGAAAUCAAUAUUCUCUGAACCAAUCCAUGCAAUCCAAAAUCUUAUUAAUUUUGAACAAUUUCUCGGAAUAAAAAACAAAUAAUAAUUAUAAACUAACAAAAGAAGAAGAAGAAGAAGAAGAAAGAAAUCGGUUUGGGAGCAAAAUAAGAAGGGAAAUAUACCGGAAUAUGACGGUGGGGGCUUGAUUGGAGCUGUUCACGGUGUUCAGCUCAUGAAGCUGGAAGUAGUGUACUGGUAAAAAGAUGGAUGGCCGGAGAUGGUGGCGGACGCCAGUGAGAAUGGUGACUUUGUGACUCUUGAAUGGUUUGCAGUAGUAGUUUUAAACCAGAGAAAAAGCCAGAAAAGAAAAAGAAAAAGAAAAAAGAAGAAGAGACAGAGGAGCAAGACUGAGAGAAUUGUCUUGUGGGCCGGCCGGAGUGUGUGGCUAUAGCAAUAAUUGAAAGAAAGGAAUCCAUCCCUUUUUCACUUUCCUUUCAAUCUCUUUUUUGUCGCCAUUAAUCAAUUUUCUGUCAAUAAUUGGCAACAGUGCAUGUUGAAGUUAGGGGAUGGUUUUUUGGAAGAAACGAUGGAGAGCAUAUUGAAGUUGGCGGGGCAGAUGUGAAUUUGGAAGAUGUGAUGUUGGUAUUAAGGUUUUUUGCAAAUUUAAACUAUGUGAAUGUAAGAGACAAUUAUAUGUAAGUAUAUAAUAAACAAUAUAAAGACAAUUGCAUAUAAAUUAAAAGAGUAGAGAAGAGAAAAUGCAAACACAAGAUUUUAUAGUGGUUUGGCGCAACCCGACCUACAUCCACUCUCCUCUAUCUUCAAGCCCAAGCUUGAGCUUCCACUAAUUUAAGGCUUCCAAACCAAGCCUUCAAGCAAUACAAUUGGAUUAUGGUUCAAAUUCACCCUCUUGGACUUUUGGCUCCAAGCACCCUUUACACUUCUCAAGAGAUAUCCCACUCUUGAACAACCCCUCAAGUGAUACCACAUACUUGAGAAACUUCCUCUCAAAGAUUUACAAAUAAAUGAUCUCACAAAAUUCUAGUACAAAAACUUUAAGCUCAAAUGAUACAAGAAAACUAAGAUUGAAAGGUGCACUAAAGAUAUAAAAGUUUUAGAACAAUGGUGCACUCAAAAACACUAUUACAAGGCUCAAAUAUAUUCAAGAAAUGUUUGGGAAGGUUAAACUCUUUUAAACAAUGAAGAUUGGAGCAUUUUUAUAGAAGAAAAAAAAUCAAACUAGCCAUUGGGGGUUCGAUCGAUUGACUAACUAUUAUCAUUUAAUGCUUGGUAGGUGAUCGUUGGACCUCGACCGGGAAGGGGUGAACCUUAACCGGGAAGAGGAAGCUAUUGGAUGAGAGAUAGUGUUUUUUGGCACUCCUCGAUCGGACCUCGACCAAACAAGGGUAACCGGUAGACCGGUUCCCUAAUCGAUUGAGCCGGUUGGCCAAAGCCUCGACCGGUUCAGCCUUUUGGUCCCGAAAACCUAUCUUUUUGAAUUCCUUUCUUUUCUAACACUUAGGUAAGGUCUUUAGGUGAAUGCCAAUUUUAAAACGUUUUGCCUAAGGUACAUUUGAUAAAACUCGGGUUUUAAUGAAAUCGAAGUUUUAAAGGAUAAACCGAGUUUUCUAAGAUGCAUGAAAUGAUAUGAAAAUCCUAAGUGCACCAACAACCUUCCAAAAAGAUCUUAUGAAGUUUGGGUCUUGAAAAACACUUCUCUUUGAGGUGGUCUUCUUCUUCAUGAUUUCUUUUUGACUUGGUUUGUCUUUGUGAUUGCCACUUUGGAAAUCAUCUUGCCUAAUCACACUUGAAAUAUAAUCAUUAGUUCUAAACCUUGUUUUGUUAUCAUCAAAACCGAGAUUAACCAAACCGUGGUUUCACAAUCUCUUAUGAUGACAAAACCAAGGUUGCUAAAGAGCUCCCCUUCAAUAUAUGCUCCUUUGAAUUUAGAAAAUAUUCAAGUUUAGAAACUUCAAGGAGUAUAUUAAAGAUGCUCAAAAUGAUAUAAUUAAACAUAAAUAGCAUAAAGAGCAAUUUAGCAAUUGCAAAAUAUUAUUAUUUAAACAUGAUGCAUGUAAUUAUAACCAAUAAAGCACAUAACAUCAAUAUGAAUAGGAUUGCUGAAACAAAAUUGACAUUUCUUCCCAAGUUAGCAACCUACCAUUACUUCUCCCCCUUUUUGUCAUCAACAAAAAGUUUCAAUAAAGUAUAUAAGGGAAAUCACAUGUUAUCAAAAGUUUAAAAAAUAAACAAUAAGCAUGAUAUGAUUUCUCAUGAAAAUGAAUCUCCCCCUUUUUCAUUUGAGAAUAGUUUCCAAAUAAAAGAUUGCUCAUCCUUAGAGCAUUUCCAAUUUAAAGCAUGAUUUGGAAAUAUAUGUGAGAGAACAUAUGCAUUUAAAAAGAUAUAUAAUAUGCAUUGAAUAACACUAUUAGAGUUUACAAGCAUAUGAACAUUCAAUUUUACCUAGGUAUAUUAAAAAAAUUUCUUUUUAAUCCAAACCUUGGUUUAAAGAUAUACCAAUUUUAUCAAAGUGAUGCCAAAUGUUAUAUUAUUGACAAAAAAUAUGCCAAGUGUUAGAAAAAUAAUAAAAUGAUAUUGCAAAUUAAGCUUUAAAAGGGAUACCAUUACCAAUAUUAUCAACGCAUUCUUUCUAAGGUAAGCAUAUCCUCAUUUUUGCAUGGAUCCCUACAAAAACAAAUUAAGUAACCUUUGGUACCCAUAUCUUUUUGGGUCCUAGAGGGUUAGUCUUUCUUCCAUUUGGAAUCCAAAAUAAUUUAGAGUUUUGAAGAACAUGAGGGGAUUUACCAAUGUGACCUCCUCUUUCACAAAGAUUGCAAAUAGUUGAAUGUGAAAAACUAGAGGUUUCCUUUACAAAAUAAUUCUUAAAAAAAAAAUUGAUUUUUGAAAGGCUUGUAGCCUAGCCUUUUUUUUUUUUUAAUAUCAAAAAUGCACUUUUGAUUUGCCAAAAUCAUAUCAAAAGUCUUUUGGCCAUUUCAGAAUUUUUAACUCCUCAUUUUCCUUUUCAAAAGGGAUUUUUGCCUUCUCAAUAUUUUCAAAAUUUUCAUUAUGCUCACUGAGCUCAUUUUGAAGACAAUAAAUCUUUUUCUUGAGAGAUAUAUUUUUGAAUCCAAGUUUUUCAAGAUCAAAAUAUAAUUCUUGAAGUACAUCUUGAAACUCGUUAUGGUUAGAGUUGGAGUUUACCUCAUCUUAAUGUUCUUCCAAAGCCAUAAAGCACAUAUUGGCAUCCUCAUUUGUGCAUUCUUCUUCCAUGGAGUCUUCAUCACUUUCACUUUCACUCUCCUCCUCUUCAUCAUCAUUUAUUGAAGCCAUAAAAGCUAUACUUUUCUUAUUUUCUUUAACUCUUUGAAAAUUGUUCAAAUUUAUCUCAUAAGUCAUGAGUGACCAAUGAGUUCUUCAAGUGAGAGUUUGGUGAGAUCCUUUGCUUCUGGAAUAGCCGUCACUUUUGUUUCUCAUUUCUUUGGUAGAGACCUUAAAAUCUUCAUGACUUUCUCUACUUUUAUGUAGGUCUUUCCCAAGGCUUCAAGUUCAUUCACAAUCACCAUGAACCUAGAAAUCACCUCAUGAGUGAUUUCUAAUAGUCUCCAAAUUUCUUUAGCCGACUUACAUUGCCAAAUAUGAUUAAAUUUAUUUCUAUAAAUAGCACAAUGUAAGAUAAAAACGGCUUUGGCAUUUAAUUGAACUUUCUUUCUAUGAAGUUCAUCUCAUUCAUGCUUAGGUUUUGGAACCAUCACUCCAUUUUCUAAUUUUGAAGGAAUGUGGGGACCAUCUUUAAUGACAUCCCAUAAAUCAAGAUUAGUAGAUUGGAAAAACCAAGUCAUUUUAAUUUUCCAACAAGGAUAAUUGGUUCCCAUGAAAAGUGAAGGUCAGGUGGUUGAAAAACUUUCAAUGUAAGAUGAGCUUGAUGGAUUAGCCAUUACUACUUAGAUGAUUAAGUCUUAAACAAGAAGCCUAGUUCUGAUACCAAUCGUUAGGACCUCAGACACUACCAACUCUCUUAAAAGCAAUUGCUUGUAGGAAAGGCGCAUACCCUAACCUUAUAGUGGAUUCACCCAAGCACUCAUGGCGAACAUAAGGGGAGUUGAUGGAUGCGGCCAACCUUCCAAUUGCUUUUAGGAGAGUUGGUAGCGCCUAAGAUCCUACAAGUGGCAUCAGAGCCGAGGUCACGGGUUCGAACCCUAGGGGUGUCGCUGGGAGGGAGAUUGUUGGCAGAUCGGAGGGUUGACCGCAUCCAUCAACUCCCCUUGUGUUCGUCAUAGGCGCUUGGGUGAAUGCACUAUAAGGUUAGGGUAUGCACCUUUCCUACAAGCAAUUGCUUUUAGGAGAGUUGGUAGCACCUGAGGUCCUACAGGAUGGAUGUGAUAUAAUUCUCAAACAUGGUUAACUCAACAACCUCAUUGUAAGUUGUCUCGGGUUUUCAUCUCUAUGAUGGGUGUGUGGUAAAGUCUCAAGAUGGGUGUGUUCCAAGCCUUUUUAAGUAAGCUUUGAAAAGUCAUCAUAUCCUCCUUAGAACAAUAAGUGUUGAGAUAUUAGUAUUAUAAAGCCUUGGGAUGGUCGCUUGGCCUAGAAUGGUUAAACUAUGAGAUGGGUGCACUAUAAAACCUUAGAAUAGGUUUAUUGUAAGCCUUUGGGGGUGUUAUUGCUUAUAGAUAAUUGGCUUGGGAAAGUGUGUUGUGAACCUUGAUAUAGUAAUAUAAGGGUUCGUUUGGUAAUGAUUUUAGGAAGUGUUUUUAAUGUAAAAAGUAUUUUUUUUUAAAAAUAAUUAAGUGCUUGUCAAAAUAAUUAAGUAUUUUUUUGAAGUACCAUGCCUUUAAAAUCUUUAAUUAUUGAAUUUUUGAAAAUCAAUGCCAAUAAUUGUAUUUUAACUACCUAGCUACAAUCUAAAAAUUAAAUUGAGGUAUUAACUCCACUAAAUAAUAGAAUGACCAUAGCUCGAAUAAACAUUAGUCAAACGUGAUAAAACUAUAGACUAAGUGGACAUUGCUAGUUUUGGACAAUGUAAAACCAGUGUGCACCCAAGACUCGAAGAUAUAGUAUCUAAUCAGAUGAGAAGUUUGGGUAUUCUCUUGAAAAGUUUAGGUAUUUUGUAUAUUGUAUUGCAUUAUGCUUGGUUUAGGAAUGUAUUAAGAAAAAUUAUUUUUUCAUAUUAGGUUGAUUUCAUUUAUCUCUCUUAAAGUUUUGACUAAAUAUAUAUAACUUUUAUUGGUUUGAAAUUUCAUCAAAUAUCUUUCAUAUAUUUUAUAUUUACUAUUUUCAUUCACCUCUCUCAUUUCAUCCAAAAUAAGAAAGGUGUUUGGUAAAAUUUCAAACCAAUAAAGGUCAAGUGUAUUUGAUCAAAUCUAAAGGAGAAAUGAGUGAAAUUAAUCUUUCAUGUUUGGUUUUAUCAUAAAAAAUAAAAAAAUAUAUAAUUAAAAUUAAUUAAACAUAAAAGGUAUGUUUAAUGUGGAAUAAAGAGGUAAAAGAGGUAAAGAGAAUAAACGAGAAGUAUAUUAUGUAUGAAUUGGGAUCUAAAAAAAUAGUACUUUGUAUCUAUCUUGCAAAUGUAGUUUGUAAGUAUCCUAUAUGCAAUAUAAUUUGUUGAGUCAAAUACAAAAACAUGAACCCUAAACAUAGGAGUAUUUGAAAUAUUAAUGAUGGCCAAGGAUUGGUUUUACUUCAUCAUCUAAUAUUUGGAAUUGCUCACUUAACCCAAGAUGUGCAUUAAGAAGGCAGACAUGAGUGAGCAGCUCUCCACCUCGCCUAAGCUGAUGGCUGUGUUGAACCUAUUCACAAUGAGUAGCCGCAUAGAAUAGCAUCUCCAUCCACACAUGACUUAUCAUCUCCCAUUUCUCCUCUGUCCCUGCCAUUUCCGGUGAUUCUAAUAUUUUGGCAAGUCUAUAUGCCUCGAAUAAUACGGACUUGCUUUUAUCUCCUUUCACAUCUCUAGGUAGCAGUUGCGUAUCACUUUAAGCAACGAUGUGCAAGCUUCAUCUCUAUUAGAUAUGGCCUCCCAUUUUUUGCUGAAAAAAUCUUUUGGCCUCUGAACGAGUGUCUCGGAAUCUCCCCUAUUCCUUUUGGAAGCAUAAAUGGUCAUAUGACUAGGAGAUGGAGCAUGUAAUUAGAUAAUAACUUGCUUAUAUUGUACCUUGAUUUAGGAUCAGGGUCUUUAUGAUCAAAAGAACUGCCAUACAUAUCUGUAGCAAUAUGCCAGAGAAGGAGGCUGUGAACAAAUUCCACAUCAACUAUACUCCAACCAAGUUCAUUAAUAAACCCCUUUUUUGUAAUCACAUAAUUACCUCUGUGUUUGAGUAGCUGCUUGAGAUUUCCACCUUCGUUUAUCAUCUCUAGAACCCACCAGAAGAUGGAUUAAUUUAUAUCAUCCACUUUCUCCCAAGUCAUGUACCAGUACUUGUCCAAGAAUUUGUUCAAGUCGAUGAACUUGGGAACCCGAUCAAACUUGGUUUUGUCUCUGAGGCAAGAAUCAAUUAAGUUGUUCUGUGCGAUGCGUCUAGACCACCUCCUGUCACUGGAUACAACUGAUCGAAAAGAGGAGAUGGCUCGACCAAUGGAAUCAGCCAGGGGGUUCCUCUUACUGCUCAACCAGAAAAUGGUCCAGUGGGACAAAAUCAGCAUAAUGAGAGCAUAUAUAAAUCUCAAGAACAAUAGCUCCAAACAGUAACGUGUAAGUUACGCCGAUGUCAAUGUUUGAGAACUCGUGCUUAUCAAUGAAGAAGCAGAAGGCCACUAAAGUAAAAAUUGUGGAGAAGAAGCUUGUGGAGCGGAGCAGAAGGCCUAGUUCAGAAUAAGCCACUGCUGCCUUGGUGUGGAGCACAUCAUACAUGCAUAAAACCGAGCUCCAUCUCUACCACUUCGAAGGCAUCUUCAGAUGGCAAGCACCUGAUGAUGCUGUCACUGAUUUUUUGUUCAUCCAAGCUGAGGAUGAGGUCUGCAUAUAGAUGCCUGAAGUGCCCCUCGAAUAAGAAGUAAGCUUUAUGAAUAUAUUUUGCAUCAGGAAUAUAUAGUAAUGUCAUCACCGACAGUAGGUGGUGGAAGGGGACAUUUAAUCGCCACCUGAAAUCCUACAUCCUCUCGUUUUCUUGAACUAUAAUCCUCCAUGAAUUUAUCAUAAUCAGGUCCAGGAUCAGGGGGUCGGAGCAAGGAGUCUCUGAAUUGCUUGCUGCUUGCAGACCUGUGAACCCAGGUCCUCUCUCCAUACUUGAUCAUUCCAGCAAUAAACAUUAGAAUGAACAGAAAAGUGAGUCCAGUUCCUAUCCAGUACCUUAGAAACACAACCAGCCGCUCCAACUUGGAUGACUAGUCCAAGCAAGUGCCUCCGCCCCAACUCGCUGUCCUGUAAGGAGUAGGCAGUGAUGCUAUCCAGCCCACCAAGGUGGAGGAGAAGGAAGGGUGCCCAAAAUGCCAUGAGCGAAUAGUUUGGAUCCGGGGAGCUUCUGGAGAGAGUACCAAGCGAAACAGUUUGCCAUCAAGUCUGCUAACAAGUAUGGCAGCCAAAUUAGAAUCCUAAUCCAGCUUCCAGCUAUACGUUUUCGUUGGUUGCCAGAGAUGACAAGCAUAAUUUGUAGCAACAGACUGAAUAAAACCAUCACACGGAUAUCCCAUUCGUCCCAAAGUUUUUGCACCUUUGAGAAAAUCUCCAUUGCCUGCCUCUUCUCACUACGUAAUUAUGAGAUUAAUUCACUUGCAGUUUUUUCAGAUUCUCCAGUGCCAUAUUUAUUCCCUAAUCAUUAUUUAACUAUGACAAACUUACAAUAGUAGGCAUAGACCUCCAAUGGCCUUGAGGGGACUCUAACGGGUGACCAUUAGAGAGCAAACCCAAGGCCGGACCAACUGAGCUACCCUCAGGGUUAAAAAAAAAAAAAUGCCUUUGUAAAUUAUUUGUAAAAGGAAAACCAUUGGGCAUUAUGGGGUUCUUUAAUCAUUUGUUGAGAAACAUAUUGAAGAAUAAGAAUUGUCCUAAAAGAAAGAAAGGUGGCUUAGACAAAUAGAAACCGACAAAAGUGGAGUUGUUAACAAAUCUUUCCAUAUUUCCAUAAUUUAUUUAAACCUAUUAUUUUAUGAUGAUCAUGUGAGUAAAACAUUUAUAGAUUUAUAUAGUUUAAGGUCUUUUUGGUAACUUUCUUUAUUUUUUAUUUGAAACAACUGUAUAAAAAAAAGCAAUUUUUUAGAAUAUUUCUUUGAUAUUUUCUAAAAUAAAAAUCUAUUUGAGAACUUUAAAUAUUUUUAAUUUAUUUUGUAUAUUUUUAAAUAUUUUUUAAAAUUAAGUUUUAUGAGCUUUAUUUUCAAUUAUUAUCCAUUUUUUAGAAUUAUUUUUUUUAAAUAUCAUUUUAAAAACAAAUAAAAAUUAUUAAAAUAUGUCAUGAGAAAACAUCUCAUUUUUUCAAGGAAAAAAAAUUCAAAAAUUAACAAAAUCAAAUUCGGAUUAUGUUAAGAAUAAUGUGACUAAGGUCGGAAGACUUUAUAGUGGAUUUGUAUUGCCUAGGUUAAAUCAUUUUGAGAAAAUUAGGCCAAAGAGACUUCACAUGCAUUAUUUAGAAAGAGGUGUUAAUUAACUUUUAUUCAUAAAAAAAUAAAAAAUAAAAAUAUGAUUCUUUCUAAAUUAAUUGUGAAAGGAAGACCAUUGAAAGUUGAAACACCACUGUGGGCCUUGAUCCCACUGUUGAUGCCUCGCGCUCCUGGUGUUCCACGUAGUUGCCAAAUGAAUGGACAUGCGAUCUCAACCCACAAAGGUUCUUGAUUCAAUCGUUGUACCUGCAAAAGACAUCCGGACAGGGUGUCCGGACGCACCCUCCGAUGGUUUUGUUAGCCAUGGUUAGAGAGGGAGAUAUAAAUCAGUUGACCUUUUACUAGGUAUCAGGAGAUCACCUUCUUCUUCGUGCGAAGGUUCAUAUAUAGUGUCAGGAGUACUGUUCCUCUCAUUAAUGGCGAGGAGAUAUUUUAUGUUUGUCAUGAUGACAUUCGGAGGCAGCAUGGUCAUCACCACCCUACUGGCGACUGUCAGAAACCGUGGUAGGUGAUGCUGCUGUCAGAGAUCGUGGGAAGUGUUCAUGUAGAAUGAUCGUGGAAAGUGACUUGUUGUCACCUCAACUCGUCCUUUCACUCUACAGGCAAUGGGACGUGGGCCAUGGCUGGUUUGUUGCGAUAGCGUGUAAGACUCGCUUUACUUUAGUCAAUGAUCCAGACAAUCAUAUCCGGAUAGCCCAUGUUGGUUAUCCGGAUGUAUUGUGGAGCGGACGUAUUUAUGGAAGUCGUCCGGAUGCCUAUGCUUCGUAAGCGUCGUUUGCUCUUCCUUGAGGCAGUCCGGAUAUACAAGGUGCGCCAUGUGUGCUUUAUAAGAAGGUCCGGAUGAGGGUGACCCGGAUGACAAUGCGUGCCAUGUGUCACUGUAAGAUACGUGCCACGUGUCUUGGCCAAAUGCGUGGCACGUGUUCUCAGAGGGCGGGGUCCCUACAAUGCCCUCCUUUUUUAACUUGCCUAUUUUGCCUUAGAAAAAAUGGGCGGGUUAAAAAAUAAUUGGUUUUUGAAACAGAAGUCGACCUUUCGUCUGGUUGGGCCACAUGGCGAGUGGGGGUGCGGGAGCCAAGAAAGGCAUUUAUAAUGAGCCGCCGACUCUGGGUAUUCCCAGGCAGCAUGUCGUUUCAAUGAUGGCGCUGUUUGGGUGUUUGGUUUUCCGAGGGCUUGUCUCCCUAUAAAUAGCAUACUGUGCCCAUUGUUGCUUUUUUUUCCUACUGCUUUUUCUGAGAUUGCUUUCUUCUUCAACUUUGUACGUACCUUCGCUUUCUUCCGAGUAAAACUCAAAAUUUUCCUAACGGUGAUUUGCGCUUUGACGGUGUUUGCCUUGCGGUUUUGCAACCCUUGCUCUUCUCUUACAUUUGGUACGUAUUCUUUGUGCCUUGUUCUUUUCUUUUCUGCGCUUUGGUGUUUGUUGGUUUGUUGCUGGUUUGUUUGGGCGAGUGUUGUUUGUGACUGGGUAUUUUAAGGGUUUCCGUUGCCCCCCUGUGUUUUUGUGGGUUGGGGGUUUCUUGUUGGAGUAGAGUCAAGGAUUUUUGGAAUGGGUAUAUUGGUGGUGCGAGAUUUUCUGAGUGUUGUUAUUGUUUAGGGUUUGCGGGGUUGGUUGGCUGUGUUUGACUGUUGCAUUUCUUGUAUGUAGGUUUUGGUUCAAUCUCGGCCUAAAAAUGUCUUCAAAGAAGAAAGCUGCUUCAUCUGCCCGAGUCGGCGACGCUCAUGAGAAGUCUACAGACAAACUGAGCGUAAAGGAGUUCCGAGAUCGAUUCUACAUUCCAAAUGGCGUAAUUGUGGAAUUUUUGAAUGGGGAGGAUGUCGUAUCUACUGAAAAAGCUGAACAAGAUACCGUCAUCUUCUCCAAGGAACAAUUCAAUGCGGGGCUCCGAUUCCCUCUACCGGCGUUGUUCAAGGAAUUUCUUCAUUUCACCAAGAUUCCACCCGUCUUCAUUCACCCCAAUAUCAUCCGGGUGCUGAUGGGAUGCAGCAUCAUAAACAUGCUGUACAACCUCGAUCUCACGCUGCUGGAGGUGUUUUUUGUCUAUUCGCUGAAGAAGGCAAAAACUGACAUCUUCAGCCUGUCCGCGCACCUACCCUCCCUUCAAUUGGUGACGAAACUGUCAGACUCGACGAAGGGAGGGGCGAGGGGACACGUGAUGGUCCGGGGUGCAUGGGCGGGGUCGAAGCAUCCGGCGAGGCCCUUCUCUCCAAACUACUCCUUAGUGAUUCCGGGUAAGUUUGCUUUGCGACUUUUGUCCGACUUUUACUUUGUUGUCUUUUUGUUAAUUUUUCCGGGCAGUAUUCUCAUCCUUUGUUUGCUGUCAAUGCAGGUUCGGAAAGGAGGGGCCACCUCGUGGAUUGGGUGGAAAAGACGUCUUUUGCCUGUCUCAGCAAGUUAUUUGAGAUAGACGCCAAGGAGAGGCAGUGCAAGACGCUGCUGACUGCGUGGAACCUGAUGGCGGUCGUCCGGGAGCCCCAAGAGUAUGUCAUCAACAUUCUCCCCAGGAAGAUGCCAAAGGAGGUAGUGCCUGGGGAGCAUUACACUGUGAAGGAUCUCCCGAUCUACCAGGAGUUCAAAGAGGUUGACGCUGAAAAACGCCGAGCACUCUUGGAUGAUCGGGAGAAGAGAAAGAACGAAGGAACCCUUCGGAAGGCUCCCAGACAGAAACGCGGCGCGACCUCUCCUCCAAAUAAAACUCCAGCAAAAAGAAGGAAGUUAGUGAAGAAGAAUGGGAAGGGGGUGAAGGAGUCCACUCCUCUCAAGGAUUUUAUCCCUCCGCCAAUUACUCAUGAGGCGGAGGUAAUAAUAGAGGAACCAGUGAACCCUGCUCCUCAUUCUAUCUCAAGCGGAUCCGGACACGUCGCGAGGCUGAACCACUCAAGUACCUUCUUAGCAGCGGUUGCCCGUCUGGCAAAUUUGGUUGAGGAAGCUGCGUUCAUCAACCAUCCGGACUCCCCUACUCCGGAUGUCGAUGCAGUUGAAGCCGUUUGCGCGGCCCCGAUGGAGGAAGCAGGGGCAGAAAGCCAGAGUCAGCCCUCUGAUGAUUCGGACCGUCUGGCUCUUGUUCUGGUGAAGGAGCCACCUUCAAAGAGGCCUCACUCGGCGCGCAAUCUGAGGUCCGGACUCCUCGGGCGGCUUCAAGAUCGUCAGCAAGAGAUCGAAGUUAGUUGCUCAUCCGCCCACGACGCUCAUCCGGAGGGGGGCGAAGUGGAGAUGACAACUGAGCCUCCAUCCGUCCCUGUGAUGGUCCCGGCUGAGGUUGCACCCGGGGAGACCCAUCCGGUCGUAAAUGUUGAGGCCCCGAAUCCGGAACAAGAGUCUCGUUCUGUUGCCUCAUCAGGCGGGGAUCCUGUUAAUGAUGCGUCUUGCACCUCCGCUAGCCCUUUUAGCUACGCGGAGUUGGAAGAUAAGCUGAAACAGAUUCCACCCGACUUGACCAGUGUUAUGCCUUCAGCCAAGAUGUUCGAGAUGGUGGAAUCGGUAUACUGUCUUUGUGCUUUUUUAUUUUUUGUCCUUCUGAUAUGUGUUUGUGGUGUGAUUUCUAACUUUGCUUUUCUCGUUUGACUGUUUACCUGCAGCUGGUGAGUGGUCUCCGUGGCAUGGUCAAUCAAUACGAUCUUUUCACUGACCUGCUGCGGACCACUGAUUACAUGAAGGCCUUCGCCGCUCGGCACAAAGAUACUGAAGACCAGUUGCGCCUGAGACUGGGGAAGGCUGAAGCUAGCGUAUCCACUGCCCGAGGGGAGAAUGAGGCCCUCCGGGCAGAUUUGGCUGAUGCAAAGAGCCGGGAGGAAUCAAUGGAGGCCCGCCUGCAGGAGGCAGAGGAUGAGAUGGCCCGGCUGCGGGGGGAGGUGAGGCAACUCCAGACCGAGGCUUCAAUUGAAAAGAAGCAGAAACAAGAUUUGCAAUUGCGCUUAUCAGCGCAAAAAGAAGAGCUAGAACGGGAGUUUGCUGCAGAGAGGGAGGAACUUGAAGCGGACUACCAAAAACAAGUGGAUGACACCUUCAUCUUUGGCUAUCGCUGUUGUAUGAAGAAGAAUGGCAUAAAGCGGGAUGUCCCUUCAAUUCCUCCGGGUGAAGAGAAGAAACUUUAAGGUUCUCCCUGAUAGCUUUUGUCUUUUUGCAACUGUUUGCUGUAAUCUUCUUUUUGUAUUUUCGUGGUCCGGAGACCUCUUUGCACAUUCAUUGAUACAUAUCAAUAAAAUAUGUCUUUUUCUUCUAUUUGUACUUGUCUCUCUUUUUCAUUGAUAAUACUGUUUUAAAUUGGACACAUUCCAUGGUCUAAGUAAUGGAGUCCCGUCUAACUUUUGUAAAUGAUAGGCUCCACUCUCACUUGCCUUAGACACUAUAUAGGGUCCUUCCCAGUUAGCUUGGAAUUUCCCUGCACCCACUUCAACAGUGUUUUCAAAAACUUUUCUAAGGACUAGCGUACCAUUUUUGAAGUUUCUGGGCCUUACUUUGCGAUUGUAGUGGGCGGAUGCUCUUUGUUGAUAGUCUGCCAUCUGGAUGGCUGCACUUUCUCUUACUUUAUCCGUCCAAUCCAAAUUUCUUCCUAAUUCCGUGUUUGCAUCAUUUUGCUUUGCUGCAUCAGUCCGGACAGUAAGAAGACCUAUUUCAGUAGGAAUGACUGCGUCCAUUCCAUAUGCGAGGGCGAAAGGAGUGUUUCCUGUUGGUCGUCCGGGUGUGGUUCGAUAGGCCCAUAGGACGCCGGGUAGCUCCUCCACCCACUUCCCUUUGGAUUGUUCAAGCAUUUUCUUUAAGGCAGUGAUUAGGGUCUUGUUUGUGGCUUCUGCUUGCCCAUUACUUUGAGGAUAUCGUGGUGUGGAAUAUGAAUUCCGGAUGUUCAGCUUCGAACAGAAAUUCCUGAAAGCAAUGUUGGUGACAUCUUUGUCUUUGAUGCUAGCAUAUGCUUCAACUUCCACCCAUUUACUAAAGUAAUCAGUGGCAACAAGGAGGAAUUUCUUCUGGGCAGGCGCUGCUGGGAGGGGUCCCACUAUAUCCAUGCCCCAUUGUGCAAAAGGCCAUGGGCCUGAGACUGACUUCAACGUUGCUGACGGCAUAUGUGGAAUGGGAGCAUACCUUUGACAUUUAUCACAUCUUUUGACAUAUGCUGCCGCGUCUUUCUUCAUUGUUGGCCAAUAGUAUCCUUGCGAAUGAGCCCUAUGUGCCAGAGAUCGUCCUCCCGAAUGAUUUCCGCAUAUUCCCUCAUGCAACUCAGUUAACACAUACUGGGCCUCUGAAUGCCCUAGGCACUGGAGGUAAGGUCCUGUGAAGGAUCGCUUGUACAGGUGCCCCCCAAUCAGGGUGAAACGGGCAGCUUGCACCCGGAUUUUGUGUGCCUGCUUGGGAUCUCCGGGUAGAGUGUCUGUCCGGAGAUAUUCUGCAAUAUUGUCCGUCCAUUCUUGGUCGUUUGCUUGGGUUGCCUCAAUGGUGUUGCAAGUGGAGGUUUCUAUGACAGAAGGGCUGGUUUGCACAUGUAUAGGCAAUAGAAUGGCUUCUUUGAUGGGGAGGGAGACAGCUAUGCCGGCCAAGGCGUCAGCGCGCCUAUUGUCAGCUCGCUUGAUUUUUUCGAUUGUCCAUUCGAUGAAUUGCUGUAGGGUGUCUCUUACUUUAGCUAAGUAUCGCGCCAUGCGUGCGUCCUUAGCCUCAUAUUCUUCCUGGACAUGCUUUACCACGAGUUGUGAGUCGCUGUAGAUCUGGAGUUUGGAGACGGAUAGAGCAAGGGCGAGGUCCAAUUCGGACAAGAUGGCCUCAUAUUCUGCUUCAUUGUUAGAGGCAGAGAAUUCCAGCCGGAUGGCUUGCUCCAAAUGUUCCCCAGUUGGGGACUGUAGUAGAAGCCCAACUCCAAAGCCUGAUGAGCGUGAGGCUCCAUCAACUCGCAGAGUCCACCAUUCUUGUUUACUUGAUUCGUGGUGUUGGCUGGGUCUUCGGGAAUAUUCUAGCACGAAGUCAGCCAUUACUUGGCCUUUCAUGGACAAUCUGGGUUGAAAUUCGAUUCCAAAUUCGCUUAAUUCGAUGGCCCAUUGUAGCAUUCUUCCGGUUAAAUCUGGUUUGUGCAGAAUGUUGCGAAGGGGCUGGUCAGUUAGUACGAUCACUGGAUGAGCUUGGAAAUAAGGGCGGAGCUUCUAGGCAGCGCUUCGAAGGGCUAAGGCUGUUAGCUCCAUUUUUGAAUAUCUGGUUUCUACGUCUGCCAAUGCCCUGCUGACGUAGUAGAUAGGUUUUUACUCCUUGGGCGAGGGGCAGCGGAAUAGAACGGCGCUGAUUGCCCAUUCUGAUACCGCCAGAUACAUAUACAAUUUCUCCUUUGGAAUGAGACUGUUCAAGAUGGGCGGUUGCGUAAGACAAUGCUUAAUCUUUUCGAAAGCGUUCUGGCAACUGUCCGUCCAUCCGUGUGCUCCAGCUUUUCAUAUUGCCAAGAAGAAGGGUCGCAAUUCAUCAAUGAAGCGGGCUAUAAAACGCCCUAGUGCGACGAGCUUGCCUGUGAGUCGUUGUAGCUCCUUCUUGUUCCUGGGAGGGGGUGUUUCCAUGACUGCCUUGACUUGAUCUGGGCUGACUUCUAUGCCCUUUGGCUGAUCAUAAAUUCCAGAAAUUUGCCAGCACUUACGCCAAGGGCGCAUUUAGAAGGAUUUAGCUUCAUGUCAUACUUUCGUAAGAGGUGAAAAACUUCUUAUAAGUGAAGGACAUGAUGCUCUCGGGUUUUGCUUUUAACCACGAUAUCAUCAAUAUAUACCUCUACCGUGUGGCCUAUCAGAGGUUUGAAGAUUUUAGUCAUCAAUCUUUGAUAAGUGGCGCCAGCAUUUUUGAGUCCGAAUGACAUGACUUUGUAGCAAUAGAGGUCGUGUGGCGUUAUGAAUGCUGUCUUUUCUUCGUCAUCCGGGGACAUGGGGAUUUGAUGAUAUCCGGAGAAGGCAUCCAAGAAAGAGAGCAUCCCUUGCCCGGAAGUGGAAUCCACAAUUUGAUCUAUUCGUGGCAAGGGAAAACUGUCUUUUGGACAUGCAUUGUUGAGAUUGGUGUAAUCUACACAAACUCGCCAUUUUCCUUCUUUUUUAGGUACCACCACUACGUUUGCCAACCAAUCCGGAUAAGAUACUUCUCUGAUGAAUCCAGCUAUUAGCAAUUUGUCAAUCUCAUUCCGGAUGACUUUUUGUCUAUUCGGGUGGAAACGUCUAAUUUUCUGUCGGACGGGUCUGGCAGUUGGAAAGACGUUAAGCCUGUGAGAUGCAAUAGAGGGAUGAAUUCCCUUCAUAUCAGAGUGUGCCCAUGCGAAAAUGUCAUGAUUCUGUCUGAGAAUGUUUUGCAUGCUCUGAGUUUCUUCUUGUGUCAUGAGGGAACUGAUGUUCGUGAGGUGAGUGUUUUCCUCCGAAAUUUGGAUUGUUUGCAAGGGGUAUGCUGUCGGGGGAUCUUUGUCCGCCGGACCCAAUAAUUGCUAUUGGUCAUGUGUAUGGCUGGGUUUAGGGGGAGAUGCAUCUUCCUGGUUGACCCCUGCUUCACGUGCUAUCUGAUAGCAUUGGCAAGCGGCUAAUUGACUGCCAUAUAGGUCGAUUUGGCCAUCGUUGGUGAGAAAACUCACUAUUUGAUGAUAUGUAGAGGGGAUAGCUUUCAUGUAGUGGAGCCAUGUGCGCCCCAAAAUGACAUUGAAGGGUGAUAACUCCUGUACUACUGAAAACUGUACGUUGAGAGUGACUGGGCCUACUUGGACCGGCAGUACAAUGUCUCAUAAGGAUGUAGUUGAAGACCCGUUGAAUCCGGAUAGGAUUCGUCCAGGGUUUUCGAGGCCUGUGAGAUUGUGUCCCAUGUGGCCAACAACUGAUGCUUGCACAAGAUUGGCCGAACUGCCUGGGUCAACCAAGAUACGCCGCACAUCGAAGUCCCCAAUUUCCAGGGACAAGAUGAGGGCGUCGCGAUGUGGUUGCAGUGUCCGGGUGGGAUCUACUGGUGGGAAAAUGAUUGUCCCAUCUAUGGGGCGAGGGCCCCCUCCAGUUAGCCCAGGCCAGAUGGAAUUGAUGCGUUCGUGUAUUGAUGCGGCCCGCAACAAUUUUUGUCUCUUUCGCCUAGAGUCGUACUCCUCGUCAGAUGGACCUCCGUUAAUAUAGUUUAUAAUGACCUUGGGGGCAGCUGGGGCCCUAGGGGUCCCGGGGUUGUGAUGUUGGGAUGCGUCCCUUCCUCCAUUAUCUGAUCGGAGGUAUUGCUUCAAAUGCCCUGCUUUUAUGAGUCUCUCGACCAGAAACUGGAAAGCUCGGCAUGUCUCUGUUGUAUGGCCAUGAUCCUUGUGGAAGGCACAUCUCCUACUACGAUCCCUUGUGGAUGGGUCCGUUCCAAUGGGUCUAGGCCACUUGAAGUCGGACAAGCCCUGGAUCAUUGGGAGAAGUUUCUCAUAUGAUAUGGAAAGAGGUGUGAGAGGUGGCAUUUCCGGGCGACUUGGCCCUUCCUACCUUCGGUCAGACGGCUUUGGCCGAUCCGGAGGUUUAGUGUUUCUCUCCGCAUUACUUCUAGAUGGUCGUCCGGCAACCAAAACUUGCUGGGUGGCUGCACGUACGUCAUCUUCGAGCAUUGAAUAUUUGUUGGCGCGCCUAAAUAAAUCAUCCAUUGUUGUAGGAGGUUUUUUAGCCAGUGAUUCGAAAAAUGGAGUGUCUGGACAGAUGCUUCGCUUGAAGAUCUGUAGGACAGCAUCCAUACUACAAGCCUCUACUUGAAGCACGGCUUGGCCAAAUCGCUUCACGAAUUCCCUCAAGGAUUCGUUAUCUUGCAUUUUUAUGUUCUGCAGGGUGCUGAUAUUUUGCUUGUGUCGAGCGGAGCACAAGUAUUGUCCCACGAAAGCUUCGGACAGGUCCCUGAAAUUGCCAACAGAGUUGGGAGGUAGGCGAUGAAACCAUGAGAGGGUCUGUCCUUGUAGGCUGACGGGAAAUACUUUGCAUAGUAGUGCAUCAUUGCCAAUAUCGAGCGUCAUUAGCUGUCGAUAAUGCAUGAUGUGAUCGAAGGGAUCGUUGGUUCCAUCGUAUGUGGAAAACUUUGGUACGAGGAAUCCCCUUGGGGGCUCGUAAUUAAUGAUAUGAGAGCAGAAAGGCGUGGAGAGCAUGUCAUCCAGCCUUUUGCUGAUGGAGCCAAUGGGUGGCUCGUUUGGGAUGUUUCUCCUAGUUGGUUGUUCCGCUGGGUGCGAAUGAACGUUCCGCAUCACGGGGGUGACUACGGGGUCACGAUGCGGGUGAACGUUUUGCACCAUGGGGGUGGCCAUGGGGUCAGGGCGUGGUGCCCAGGUUGUGGCCAUUGGUGACCUUGAUCUUCCAGGCUCUUAUGGGCCUAGUCUUGCGCGCAUCGAAUUUGACAACUGGGAUUUUUUAUCACGUUGUCUUUUUGCUGAAAAGUGAGUAGAGUCUGAGCUUUCCUCACGGGGAGCUCGAGGCAUAGGCGUGCGUGGCUCAUGAGGUCUUACGUUGCAUGCUCCUGGGAUAGCUCCUGUUGUCCCAGGAUAUAUUGAUUCUGGUUCUUGUUGAGGCCUUGAGUUUGCUACUUGGCCCCUUGAACGCUGACGUCGAGGAGGCCCUGAUGUUGAAGCCUGGAUGCGUAAUACAUCGUUUUCUUCUCUCAAUCUUUCUGUCUCCUGGAGGAGAGCUUUCAGUUGUUGCUCGCUUGCCAACUGUCUCCUUUCGAUGGCUUGACGCCAUUCAAGAUUAUCCUCCACUCCUUUACCAGAUGAUCGGCUUCGGGAAGGUGUGGCCAUCUUUUUUAGUGACUGAAUCAAAGUAAAAAAAAGUUCCCACAGACGGCGCCAAUGUUGAUGCCUCGCGCUCCUAGUGUUCCACGUAGUUGCCAAAUGAAUGGACACGCGAUCUCAACCCACAAAGGUUCUUGAUUCAGUCGUUGUACCUGCAAAAGACAUCCGAACAGGGUGUCCGGACGCACCCUCCGAUGGUUUUGUUAGCCAUGGUUAGAGAGGGAGAUAUAAAUCAGUUGGUCUUUUACUAGGUAUCAGGAGAUCACCUUCUUCUUCGUGCAAAGGUUCAUAUAUAGUGCCAGGAGUACUGUUCCUCUCAUUAAUGGCGAGGAGAUAUUUUAUGUUUGUCAUGAUGACAUUCGGAGGCAGCAUGGUCAUCGCCACCCUACUGGCGGCUGUCAGAAACCAUGGUAGGUGAUGCUGCUAUCAGAGAUCGUGGGAAGUGAUCAUGUAGAAUGAUCGUGGGAAGUGACUUGUUGUCACCUCAACUCGUCCUUUCACUCUACAGGCGAUGGGACGUGGGCCAUGGCUGGUUUGUUGCGAUAGCGUGUAAGACUCGCUUUACUUUAGUCAAUGAUCCGGACAAUCAUAUCCGGAUAGCCCAUGUUGGUUAUCCGGAUGUAUUGUGGAGCGGACGUAUUUAUGGAAGCCGUCCGGAUGCCUAUGCUUCGUAAGCGUCGUUUGCUCUUCCUUGAGGCAGUCCGGAUAUACAAGGUGCGCCAUGUGUGCUUUAUAAGAAGGUCCGGAUGAGGGUGACCCGGAUGACAAUGCGUGCCAUGGGUCACUGUAAGAUACGUGCCACGUGUCUCGGCCAGAUGCGUGGCACGUGUUCUCAGAGGGCGGGGUCCCUACACCCACCAUUGAUAACUGUGGAGAUCUGCCAAACUUAAUUGGAGAUGGUGAGGGGUUUUGAAAGUUGGAGUGAUGGAGUUGAGUUCAAAUUUUCAAGAGACAGACAUACUCUGCUUCACCUAUUAUAUAUUCAAUUUUUUUUGUCACCUUCUUUCCUCAGUUUUCUUCUAAUUUUCUCCUCUGUUUUUCUUACAAUUUUGGUAACUACAAUAACAUUUAAACCCAAUUUCUCAAUUAAAAUUAAAUUAAAUUAAAUUAAAAUUUAAAAUUUUUCUAUGUAAUUUAGAUGAAAAAUAAUUUAUCAUAUAUUAGUAAAAUUGUCAUUAAAAAAAGAAUGAGUAUGACUAAGAUAGACUAAGAUAAAUUGUUUUUUUCCCUCAUUUUGUUCUCUUAUUUUUGAAGUAAAUUUAGAAUUUAUUUAAUGAAUUCUUACUAACAAAAAAAAUCAAAUAAUAAAAAAAAAAUCACUUAAUUUGAUAAGAAAUGAAUUUAAAAUAAAUCUACAAACUUCCAAAAUGAAAUUAAAAUUGAGGUUUAAUUACAUGAUAUCAUAACUCAUCCAAUUGUCAAUAAAAUUAUAAUUAAUUUUUUUUUAUUAUAAAAUUUUAAGUUUAGCUCAUUAUAAUACAAUUAAAAAAAAUCAACUAUCAAUUAAAAUUGUAGAGAAUAAUUCAAAUUGGGCUAAAUAUCCACUAGAGUUAAUAAUUUUAAUUAAUUUUUAAAAAUCCAAAUUUAAGCGGUAAUUUUUUUCCCUAAAUUAAAAAACCAAAAAUUAAAGAAUUAAUUUGAAUAGUCAAAUAUACUUUCAAUCACAAAUGCAUAAAUUUAAAUGUAUGUGUCACAUAAAAACCACUAAGUAAUUAAUACAACUUAGUCUAGAAAAUUUUCAUUUCUGUUAGAUAUGGACUCCCUUAUUUGGAAUUUUCUCCUUCCUCUGUUUUGCUUGCAUUUCAUUUUUUGGGCAGCUGUAGCCAUUUGGUAACUACAAUUACACUUACACCCAAUUUCUCAUUUAAAAAAUUAAAAUAAAAUAAAAUUCAAUCUUAAAAAUUUUGUAUGCAAUUUAGGUGAGAAAUAAUUUAUCAUAUAUUAGUAAAAUUGUCAUUAAAAAAGAUUGAAUAUGACUAAGAUAAGUUGUUUUUUGUCCCCAUUUUGUUCUCUUAUUUUCAAGUAAAUUUAAAAUUUAUUUAAUGAAUUCUUACUAAAUAAAACAAAUCAAAUAUUAUAAAAAUCUCUUGGUUUGAUAAGAAAAGAAUUUAAAAUAUAUCCAGAAAGUUCCAAAAUCAAAACUGAGAUUUAACUACAUGAUAUCGUAGCUCAUCCAAUUCUCAAUAAAAUUAUAAUAAAAAAAAUUAUAUUAUAAGUGAAUUUAUUACAAAAUUUCCAAUUUAGUGAAAUUUCUAUAAUUAAAAUUCUAGACUAUAAUUCAAAUGCAUCUAAAUAUCCACUAGAGUUAAUAAUUUUAAUUAAUUUUGAAAAAUCAAAUGUUAGGUGGUGAUGUUUUUCUCUAAAUUAAAAAUCCAAAAAUUAAAGAAUUAAUCUAAAUAAUCAAACAUUGGAUUCAAUUACAAAUUCAUAAAUGUAUCACAUAAAAACCACUAAAUAAUUAAUACGACUUAAUCUAGAUAAUUUUCAACACUUUGUUAGUAAUCAAACAUAAUUAUUAUAAACUUUUGUUAUUAUAUUAAAUCUUGUUAUUUUGAAGCAUUUAGAAAUAUGUUAAAUUACUCUUUUUUUGUGCCCAACCCCCUCUUUCCUUAUAGGCGAGACGAAGGUUCUAUCCUCAUCAUGUGAAUCUGAAAAUUCUCUAAUCACACUUUAGGUAAAAAAAAACAAAAAAAAAAAAAGAAAAGUAAAGAGUGUUUUAUGGACCUAAUCUGUUUUUAGAAACUUUUUAUUUAAAAUAAAUAAAUAAAGCCUAAGGCUAUGUUUGGUUCCCGGAAAAUUUGAGGGAAAAUACGAGGGAAAGAAAAUACAAAAGAAAAGUAGAAGGAAAGAAAAAGUGAAGGAAAAUAAAAAAAUAGAUUAAAAUUUGAUAAAUUAUUUUUUUUGUUACUUCAAACUCAUUUUAUUUAUUUUAACUCAUCAAUAUAAAGAUUAAAUAAUUUAAAAAUACAUAAGUUUUUAAUUAGUUUUAAUUAUAUUUGAUUUUCUUUGAUAUUUUUCAUAGGACAACCAAACAUGAGAAAAUCAUUUUUCUUAGCAUUUUUUUUCUUUCCUUUGUACUUUCCGGGAACCAAACAUAGCCUAAAUUUCCAAUUUAGUGAUCGGGUUUAGUGCUUGAGGGAACAUAAGGCCGAGGAAGUGUGGGCCAUAGAAUUGGGCCUUCUUUCUAUAUUCUUAUUUUGGCAUUUCUUUACCCUACUUGAAUCCCAUCCCACAUCGAGCAGUCACGAAAGAAAUGAGAUGUUCAAAUUACAAGCUUCCUCGUGAUCAAGAAGUGGCAUCAAAGUUCCGGGGAAAUAGGGGGGGGGAACUCCAGGGGCCCAGGGGGAGGGGGGGGGGGAACGCCAGGGGAAUCAGGCAGACAUGAGUGAGUAACUCCCCGCCUCGCCGGAGCUGCUGACCGUGUUGAAUCCAUCCACAAUGACUGGCAGCAUAGCACAACAUCUCCACCCACACCUCACUCACCAUCUUCCAUUUCUCUCCCAUCUCCAUAUUCAGUGAUCUCAACUCCUUGGCAAGCCUACAUGCCUCGAAUAACACUGACUUGCUUUUAUCUCCUUUCACCUCUUUGGGCUCAACUUCUGUGUCAACUUCAAGCAACAAUCUGCAAGCUUCAUUUCUGUUAGAUAUGGACUCACUUCUUUGCUGGAAGAAUCUUUUGGUCUCUGAACAAGUGUCUCGGAAUCUAAACUCCCCUAUCCCUUUUGGCAGCAUAAAUGGACACAUGACUAGCAGAUACAACAUAUACUCAGACAAGCAUUUGCUUAUUUUGCAUCUUGAUUUAGGAUUGGGGUCAUCAUCAGAAUAGCUACAGAGAUCUGUUGCAAUAUGCCAAAGAAGGAUGCUGUGAUCAAAUUUCACGUCAACUAUACUCCAACCAAGUGUCUCAAUAACCCGCCUUUUUGUAAUCACAUAAUCACCUCUGUGUUUCAGUAGUGACCUGAGAUCCCUGACAUCAUUUGUCAUCUCUAGGAGCAAGCUGAAGAUCGGUUCCUUCAUGUCAUCCACCUUCUCCCAAGUCAUGUACCAGUACCUCUCUAAGAAAUUGUUCAUGUCAAGGAACCUGGGAACCUGAUUGAACUUGGUUUUGUCUCUGAGGCAAGAAUCAAUUAAAUUGUUCUGUGCCAUUCGUCUAGACCAUCUCUUGUCACUGGUUAUAACUGAUCUAAAAGAGGUAAUGGCUCGGUAAAUGGAAUCAGCCAGGGAGUUCGUCUUGCUGCUCAACCAGACAAUGCUCCAGUCGGACAAAAUCAGCUUAGUGAGGGCAUAAACCUCAAGAAAAAUAGCUCCAAAGAGUAAUAAGUAAGUAAUGUCGAUGUCAAUGUUUGAGAACUGGUGCUUAUCGAUGAAGAAGUGGAAGGCCGCUAAAGUAGAAAUAGUGAAGGAGAAGCUGGUGGAACGGAGCAGAAUGCCAAGUAGAGAAUAAAUCACUGUUGCCUUGGUGUAUAGCACAUCAUACAUAAAAUUGAGCUCCAUCUCCACCACUUUGAAGGCGUCUUCGGAUGACAUGUACCUGAUGAUGCCCUCACUGGUUUUUUGGUCAUCCAAGCUGAGGAUGAGGUCUGCAUAUAGAUGCUUGAAUUGGUUCUUGAAUAAGAAGUAAGCUUUGUCAAUAUAUUUUCUACUAGGAACAGUAAUGUCAUCACCAACGGUAGAUUGAAGUGGAUUUUCACCAGUCUUUUCUUUCCUGAUUCGCUCAGCCUGCGUGUCGUAAUUCCGUGAACUAUAUUUCUCCAUGAAAUGAGCAUAAUCAGGUCCAGGAUCAGGAACUAGAAGCAAAGAAUCUCUAAAGUGAUUCUUGCUUGCAGAUCUCAGAACCCAGGUCCUCUCUCCAUACUUGAUAAUUCCAGCCACAAACAUUGGAAUGGAUAGAAAUGUGAGUGGAGUUCCUGCCCAUGACCUCAGAAACACGUAGAAAGCCACUCCAACUUGGACAACUAGUCCAAGCAAGUGCCUUAACCACAACUCAUUAUCUUCUAAGGAGUAAGCCGUGAUAGUGUCCGGACCACCAAGGUGCAAGAGAAGGAAUGGCGCCCAAAAUGCCAUGAGGGUAUAGUUUGGAUCCAGAAGUUUCCCUUCCGAAUCUCCUUGGCUGUUUGAGAGGGUACCGAGGGAUACUGUCGCCACCCAGUCUGCGGACAAGUAGGCCGACCAAAUCAGGAUUCUGAUCCAAGGCGUGACUGUGUACUUUCGUCGGUUGCUAAAGAUGAUUAGGACGAUUUGUAGGAAAAGGCUUAGUAGAACCAUCAAGCGUAGCUCCCAUUCAUUCCAAAGUUUCCGCAUACUUUCUGGGAAUAUCUGCAUUGCUCUCGCGCCUGUUCUCUGUAAAAAGAUCAAACUGAAAACAACUAGACAUUCAAAAAUAUUAGAG
Molecule: long non-coding RNA, 140905 nt
Filed under: Vitis vinifera (wine grape)
Lineage: Eukaryota; Viridiplantae; Streptophyta; Magnoliopsida; Vitales; Vitaceae
Description: long non-coding RNA (VVIN_LNC002721)
Source: RNAcentral